UUUUUUUUUUUGUAAAAAUAUGUUUCCUUGCGUUUGCCUAUGCUCUAAUCAUGCGUGUCAUGUCAUCUGUACACAGCUAUGUUUGUACGUGACAGGUUCAAUUGUUUCUACGUAACAAUAUUUGUAUGUAACGUUUAUAUCUUCAAUCUCAGCCUUUGAUAUCUAAAAUUAGGGGUCAAGAUAAUUUAAUCUGUGUGGAUGAACAUAAUGGCUUGUUUGCUUCUUGUCUUAAUUAUAUAAUAGAUAAUACAUACCGAUGUAUACAGUCUAAUGAGUGUUGAUGCUCGUGACGGGUAUCGUUAUUUUCUGACCUUCACAGAUGAUUUGAGCUGAUAUGAGUAUAUAUACUUAAUGAAGCACAAGUUUGAAACAUUUAAAAAGUUCGAAGAAUUUCAGAGUGAAGUGGCGAAUCAUUGUAACAAGAAAAUAAAAUUUCUACAAUCUGAUCGCAGAGACAAAUAUUUGAGUUACGAGUUUGGCCUUCAUUUAAAACCAAUGUGGAAUAGUUUCACAGCUCACGCCACAUGGAACACCACAGCGUAAUGGUGUGUCCAAACGUCGUAACCGCACUUUAUUGGAUAUUGUGCAAUCUGUGAUGUAUCUUACCAAUUUAGCACUGUCGUAUUGGGGUUAUGCAUUAGAGACAGCUGCAUUCACUUUAAAAAGGGCACCAUCAAAAUCCAUUGAGACGACGCCUUAUGAACUGUGGUUUGGCAAGAAACCAAAGUUGUCGUUUCUUAAAGUUUGGGGCUGCAAUGCUUAUGUGAAAAAGUUUCAACCUGAUAAGCUCGAACCCAAAUCGGAGAAGUCCGUCUUCAUAAAAUACCCAAAGGAAACUGUUGGGUACACCUUCUAUCACAGAUUCGAAGGCAAAAUAUUCGUUGCUAAGAUGGAUUCUUUCUAGAGAAAGAGUUUCUCUCGAAAGAAGUAAGUGGGAGAAAAGUAGAGCUUGAUAAGGUAAUUUGCACCUUCUCCCGAAUUGGAAAGUAGUUCAUUACAGAAAUUAGUUCCAGUGAUUCCUACACCAAUUAGUGAGGAAGCUAAUGAUGAUAAUCAUGAAACUUCAGAUCAAGUUACUACAGAACCUUGUAGGUUUUCCAGAGUACAGUCCGCACCAGAGUGGUACGGUAAUCCUAUUCUAGAAGUCAUGUUACUAGACCAUGAUGAACCUACGAACUAUGAGGAAGCGAUGAUGAGCCCAGAUUCUGCGAAAUGGCUUGAGGCCAUGAAAUCUGAGAUUGGAUCCAUGUAUGAGAACAAAGUGUGGACUUUGGUGGACUUGCCCGAUGAUCGGCAAGCCAUAUUAAAUAAAUGGAUCUUCAAGAGGAAGACGGUCACUAAUACUAGUGUUACUAUCAACAAAGCUCGACUUGUCACAAAAGUUUUUCGACAAGUUCAAGGUGUUGAAUACGAGAUUUUCUCACUUGUAUCGACGCUUAAGUCUGCCUGGAUCAUGUUAGCAAUUGCCACAUUUUAUGAAAUCUGGCAAAUGGAUGUCAAAAACUGCAUUCCUUAAUGGAUUUAGUAAAGAAGAGUUGUAUAUGAUGCAACCAGAAGGUUUUGUCAAUCCUAAAGGUGCUAACAAAAUGUGCAAGCUCCAGUGAUCCAUCUAUGGACUGGUGCGAGCAUCUCGGAGUUGGAAUAUACGCUUUGAUGAGUUGAUCAAAGCAUAUGUUUUUAUACAGACUUUUGGAGAAGCCUGUAUUUACAAGAAAGUGAGUGGGAGCUCUAUAGCAUUUCUAAAACUAUAUGUAGAUGACAUAUAGUUGAUUGGAAAUGAUAUAGAAAUUCUGGAUAGCAUAAAAGGAUACUUGAAUAAGAGUUUUUCAAAGAAAGACCACAAUGAAGCUGCUUACACAUUGAGCAUCAAGAUCUGUAGAGAUAGAUCAAGACGCUUGAUAAGAUUUUUCCAAUUAGUACAUAACUUGAUAAGAUUUUGAAGUAGUUCAAAAUGGAACAGUCAAAGAAGGAGUUCUUGCCUGUGUUGCAAGGUGUGAAGUUGAGUAAGACUCAAAACCCGACCAUGCCAGAAAAUAGAAAGAGAAUGAAAAGUCAUUCCCUAUGCCUCAAUCAUAGGUUCUAUAAAGUAUGCUAUGUUGUGUACCAGACCUAUUGUAUACCUUGCUCUGAGUUUGGCAAGGGAGUACAAUUUUGAUCUAGGAGUAGAUCACUGGACAACCAUAAAGAAUAUCCUUAGAAAGGACUAAGGAAAUCUUUCUCAAUUAUGUAGAUGAUAAAAUUGUUCGUCGUAAAGAGUUUCGUCGAUGCAAGCUUUUACACCGAUCCAGAUGACUAUAAGUCUCAAUCUGGAUACAUAUUGAAAGUGGGAGCAAUUAUCUAGAGUAGCUCCGUGCAGAGCAUUGUAGACAUAGAAUAUUUUGCAAAAUACAUACGGCUCUGAUUGUGACAGAUCCGUUGACUAAACUUCUCUCAUGAGCAAAACAUGAUCACACCUUAGUACUCUUUGGGUGUUAAUCACAUACCUAUGUGAACUAGAUUAUUGACUCUAGUAAACCCUUUGGGUGUUGGUCACAUGACGAUGUGAACUAUGGGUGUUAAUCACAUGCAGAUACGAAUAUUAGUGUUAAAUCACAUGGUGAUGUGAACUAGAUUAUUGACUCUAGUGCAAGUGGAGGACUGAAGGAAAUAUGCCCUAGAGGCAAUAAUAAAGUUGUUAUUUAUAUUUCCUUAUAUCAUGAUAAAUGUUUAUUAUUCAUGCUAGAAUUGUAUUAACCGGAAACUUAGUACAUGUGUGAAUACAUAGACAAACAUAGUGUCACUAGUAUGCCUCUACUUGACUAGCUCGUUGAAUCAAAGAUGGUUAAGUUUCCUAGCCAUAGACAUGAGUCGUCAUUUGAUUAACGGGAUCACAUCAUUAGAGAAUGAUGUGAUUGACUUGACCCAUUCCGUUAGCUUAGCACUUGAUCGUUUAGUAUGUUGCUAUUGCUUUCUUCAUGACUUAUACAUGUUCCUAUGAGUAUGAGAUUAUGCAACUCCCGUUUACUGGAGGAACACUUUGUGUGCAACCAAACAUCACAACGUAACUGGGUGAUUAUAAAGGUGCUCUACAGGUGUCUCUGAAGGUACUUGAAAGGAUCAAUAUGGUUGACUAGAGGGGGGUGAAUAGGGAACUAACAAUUUUUUAGGCUUUUCUUUACCAAUUUAAACUUUGCAACAAAAUAGGUUGUCUAGAUAUGCAACUAUGUGAGCAACCUAUAUGAUGCAAUAACAACUAGCACAUAAGCAAGCAAGGGAUACAACACAAGUAGGCUUGCAAAAGUAAAGGCACGAAAUAACCAAGAGUGGAGCCGGUGGAGACGAGGAUGUGUUACCGAAGUUCCUUCCUUUUAAGGGGAAGUACGUCUCUGUUAGAGCGGUGUGGAGGCACAAUGCUCCCCAAGAGGCCACUAGGGCCACCGUAUUCUCCUCACGCCCUCACACAAUGCGAGAUGCCGUGAUUCCACUAUUGGUGCCCUUGAAGGCGGCGACCGAACCUUUACAAACAAGGUUGGGGCGAUCUCCACAACAAUUGGAGGCUCCCAACAACACCACGAAGCUUCACCAUAAUGGAGUAUGGCUUCGAGGUGACCUCAACCGUCUAGGGUGCUCAAACACCCAAGAGUAACAAGAUCCACUAGGGAUAAGAGAGGGAAUCAAAUUUCUCUUGGUGGAAGUGUAGAUCGGGGCCUUCUCAACCAAUCCCGAGCAAAUCAACAAGUUUGAUUGGCUAGGGAGAGAGAUCGGGCGAAAAUGAAGCUUGGAGCAACAAUGGAGCUUUGGGGGAAAGAGGUGGGUCAACUUUGGGGAAGAAGACACCUUUAUAUAGUGGGGGAAACUAUCCAACCGUUACCCCACUGAACAGCCAUGCACAGAGCGGUACUACCGCUUGGGCUGGGCGGUACUACCGCUCCCACCCAGCGGUACUACCGCCCUGACGAGGAAGGCAGGGUCCUGGCCCCAGAGCGGUACUACCGCGGGAGUAAGAGCGGUACUACCGCUUGGAGCGGUACUACCGCCACUACUGCCGCUCCUAGUACCGUAAAACCCGACACGAAAAAACAUCGGGCUCGAGUCGAGGCGGUAGUAGCCCGGAACCACUGCGGUACUAAGGCCGAAGACCACAAGCGGUACUACCGCUCUGGGAGCGGUACUACCGCUGGAAGAGCGGUACUACCGCUUGGCGAGCUUCGGCGGUACUACCGCUGAGGACCGCGGUACUACCGCUGGGACAGGACGGAGCAGGUACGGAGGGAAAGCCAGCUCCAAUGAAACGGAAGGAAAACAUCGGGUGAUACGGAUGUGUACGUGUUGAUUCCACCCUAGCCUUACCAAAGCGGAUACCCUCUUGAUAGUACGGUGACUCCUACGAAACUAGUCCACCAACAGAGAAACGAAGGAGCUACACCGUCUUGAAAAACACACCGAGGGGAGGUAAUCGUCUCGUGCCAAUGGAUGAAUCUCUGAAAGAACCUAACGCACACGAUUAGUCCGCAAAAGCAUUGUCAUCAAUCACCAAAACAUCUUGGGGAUAAAUAUGCCCUUACAAUCUCCGCCUUUUUGGUGGAUUGAUGACAAUACGGGAUUUGCACAAACAUGAGAGAUAUAGGACAAGCGCAUAAACCCCACCGUCCUAAAAUGUAGAUGGGCUCCCCCUAGAUGUGUGCUAUCUAGAUAAGUGCUUUGGACUGCACGGCACACAUACUAGGAUCAAUGCUCCCCCUACAUUUUAGUGACCGACCAACCACCUAAGCAGGAUAUAUGAGAGGAGCAUAGAUAACUUAGCAGAAUAAGCAUGCAACUCAUAAGCUAGAUAGUGACAUAGAUAAUGAUACUGGAAAGAUAAGGUAGCAUAUGUCUCACACCAUAUGACGGGAACUUAGGUCUCACUGACACAAACCAAACAAAGCAAACUGCAAGGAAAACACAAACACAGAGGACGGAAGACACAAAGCACAAAUCCCUAAACUCUCUCCCCCUUUGGCAUCGAGACACCAAAAAGGAGAGGGAGUGUUGCUAUGGCUCCAGGUGAUAGCAAUAGAGGGACACAAACAUCAGAUCUCAGCGGGAUCAUCUGCGCCACCGUCGUCGGUCGGGAAGUGCUCGGCAUUAGAAUCGGUCCACGGGCAGUGCUGCUGAAUCCACUCCUCCUCCUCAGUAAGCUGGUCCUCAGAUCCACUGUUAACUGUAGCACCCAACUGACGCAUGAGCUCCUUGUGGCGACCUCGGGCCUUCUUCUUAGCCACAUGAGUCAUGUACUGACCGUGAGACUCCAUGCAGAACAGCUUCUUCAUCUUGAGCUUGAGCUUCUUUGUCCAAGAGGGCUCUGCCUCAGAAGGCAUGUAGUCACCAUCAUCAUCCUCAGCCUCAGCCCCAGUCUCCUCCUCGGUCUCCAUGGCACUAGUAGACGAAGGAACUCCAGAUUUAGGGGCCUGAGUGCCCAAGUUGUCCUUCUUCCUCAGACGCUUGAUGUCGUGAGAAACCAGCUCUCCAGUCUCCAGCAUCACCUUGGGAUAGACACGAGCCCAUGCCUUCUCAAUGAGCAGCAUGAUGAACGGACCAUAGAUCGGGCACUUGCGCUCGGAGAUAGCAGAUAGCAGCUCAGACCACAUAACAUGAGAGAUAUCCAGGGACUCUCCGGUGUUCUAUUCCUUCUGACGCUGGCAGAAGAGAAGCAUGUCCAUGAGAUAAGAAUGAACCAUAUCCAGAUUCCCGAUACGAGGGAAAAGAGUCUCUCGGAAGACACGGUGAAGAAUAUCCAGAAAGGCAGGCAGCUCAUAAGUUUCCUUCUUCGCCUCAGGGUUGAUCCUCAAAGUGCAGUAGGGCCAUAGAGCUUGCUUGUGAGUGGAGGUGGUGUUGCGGUGUGGGCGAAAGCCGAGAGGAGACUCAAGUCCUUGAUCUUCCACCCCAAUCAACUCCAUGAAUGCUUUCCACUUGACUGAAAGCAGCUUGCCAUUGGUCAUCCAAGUCAGUGUCCUGUCCUCAUCAGUCCCGAGAUGAACCGUGGCAUAGAAUUGGGCCACAAUAUCAGCAUCAUAAUCUUUGUUGAAUUGCAUGACCCCAAGAAUGUUCAGCUGAGUGCACAUCUGAAGAGCUUCACCAAAGUAUUCAGGAUCCUUCUCCAUAUGGUCGGUGUCGAUGGAGUGCACGUUGACAAAGAGGUUCUUCUUGGCUUUGAGAACAUAAAAGAAGAUGGCAAACUGAAACCUGUUCCAGAACGGACGGUUGACCAAAGUGGGAUCUUGGUCUGCCUCAUAUGGGUUGCGGCGACGCCUUGCCCAGAACUCCUAGGGUUGCAUUUCUGGCACGGUUUUGCCAGCGGUCUUCGGCUUGACACCAGACGUCUUCUUGAGUUGAGGUGGAGGUGGAGCACUUGAGGAACCUCCUGCAGACUCAGUUGUGCGGUAACGCUUGGACGUGGCACGAUUGGGGUUGAUACGCCGAGCCUGAUGCUCAGGAACCUCAUCACCUGGAACCACACACAAGAACACACAAACAACCAGAAAGAACGAGCAUAAGCCACAAAAUACAACCAAAAAGAUCACUGAGAGGUGAGAGCAUGGUGGAACCUGGUAGAGGGCGGUAGUACCGCAACCUGCGAGCGGUAGUACCGCUCCAAGAGGUAGUACCGCUCCGGAGAGAGCGGUAGUACCACUCGAGACAGGGAAACAGCAGUUUCCUACUGCCAUGGUCAGAUCCGGCACUACCGUCCUACCAAAUUCAAAAAUACUCCAACCAAACACCAAUCAAAACUGCCUAGAAGCUUUCUCCAUCCUACUCAAGCCUAGAUUUGGCCAAAAAUCUAGAGAUGCAACUGCUAUUGCCCCUAAGAUGCUAGAUUGGAAAUCUAGACAAGAAGAGAGCGGGAACGGGGGCAAUAACGGCAUCCAUGGCAAGAGGACAAGGUGGGGAUCGUCUCCACCGAAGGAAAUGGAGAGGAAUGCCCCGGAGAGGGAGAUCCGCCGGAGCCCUCCCGCGGCGCCGGUUGCUGGAGAGAUGAACAGAGCGAGGGGGCGUGCGAAUGGGUAUGGGGGAGAAGAAAACUCCCCUGCCCCCGAUAUAACCCCCUGCCCCCGCCUCGCAGCGGUAGUACCGCGCUGGAGGGCGGUCGUACCGCUCGGAGCGGUAGUACCGCUUGCCACCAGCGGUAGUACCGCUCAGCAACCAAAUGGCCUCUAGACAAAUGACUAAAGCACAAAAGAGAUGAGAAAGCAAGGCCAAGAAAAAGGAAAGACCAACAAGGAAACACACACACUAACAACGAUCCAGAACCCACUCCUUCAAAACAACCACACGAAAGCAGAGCGAGCUCUGGCCUCUCUCAAGAGAGGGCGGUGGCCGGAGCCACCUAUGUCUGAGUCAAUUAGUAUGGCACCGCGAAGAAUUAUCCUUGGACCCAUGACCAAAACUCGUCUUUGAAGCACAAGUACCAUCGAAAAUGGCUAAUGUGAAAGAGUUGAUCGUUUUAUGCAUAAUGGGGGGGAGGGAGAGUUCAUUGAGAGAACAACACUCCCCCUAUGUCCAUGCCUACAUCUAAACUAGACACCAAGUUGAGUGAGGUGGGGUGUGCAAGGGUUCAAGUAACAUUGCUCGAAUCAAUGAUAUUUAGCUCAUGCCUUAGCUCGCGAAAUCUUGCUUCAUCCAAGGGCUUCGUGAAAAUAUCUGCAAGGUUAUCAUGAGUGUUGACAUACUUGAGCUCGAUCUUGCCUCGCCUAAUGUGAUCCCGGAUGAAAUGAUACCGAAUCUCAAUAUGCUUCGUCUUGAAGUGUUGCACCGGGUUGAGAGAAAUCUUGAUGGCACUUUCGUUGUCACACCAAAGAGGCACUUUGUCACAAAUGACACCGUAUUCCUUUAAAGUUUUCCUCAUCCAUAAGAGUUGUGCACAACAACUACCGACCGCCACAUAUUCUGCUUCGGUGGACGAGAGAGACACACAACUUUGCUUCUUUGAAGACCAACUCACCAAAGAGCACCCAAGAAACUGGCACCCUCCGGAAGUGGACUUCCUAUCCACUUUGUCUCUCGCCCAAUCGGAAUCCGUAAAUCCUUCAAGCUUGAAGUUUGCCCCUCUUGGGUACCAUAGGCCAAAGUUUGGGGUAUGAGCCAAAUAUCGAAAAUUCGCUUGACCGCCACAUAGUGACUUUCCUUCGGUGCUGCUUGAAAUCGUGCACACAUCCCCACACUCAACAUGAUAUCCGGUCUAGAUGCACAAAGGUAAAGCAAGGAGCCAAUCAUGGAGCGAUAUACCUUUUGAUCCACCGCUUUACCAUUGGGAUCAAUGUCAAGUUGGCACUUGGUGGGCAUUGGUGUAGUAGCCGGCUUGACAUCACUUAGCUUGAAUCUUUUUAGCAUGUCUUGAGUGUAUUUGGCUUGGUUGAUGAAGGUUCCUUCUCUUCUUUGUAUGAUAUCAAAACCAAGGAAGAACUUCAACUCUCCCAUCGAAGACAUCUUGAACUUGGAGGUCAUGAGAGCGGCAAGUUCCUCAUUGAAAGCUUUGUUAGGGGAACCAAAGAUAAUAUCAUCAACAUAUAGUUGGCAUACAAACAACUCCCCUUUGACCUUCUUAGUAAAAAGAGUGGGAUCGAUUAGCCCCACCUCAAAUUCACGAUCUUGUAACAACUCGGUAAGGUGGUCAUACCAUGCAAGUGGGGCUUGUUUAAGGCCAUAGAGUGCCUUAUCGAGUUGAUACACAUGAUCCGGGAAGUAAGGAUCCUCGAACCCGGGGGGUUGCAUGACAUAGACCAACUCAUUAAUAGGACCAUUAAGAAAAGCACUUUUCACAUCCAUUUGUUGCAACUUAAGGUUGUGAUGGGAAGCAUAAGCAAUCAACAAACGUAUGGAUUCAAGGCGAGCAAUGGGAGCAAAGGUUUCACCGUAGUCGAUACCCUCGACUUGGGAGUAGCCUUGUGCUACCAAUCUUACCUUGUUGCGAACGAUGUUCCCAUGAGCAUCUUGCUUGUUCUUGAAGAUCCACUUGGUUCCAAUGACGUUGUGGUCCCCCGAUGGCCUUGGCACCAAUCUCCACACCUUGUUGUACUCGAAGUUGUUGAGUUCUUCAUGCAUGGCAUUGAGCCAAUCCGAGUCUUCGAGCGCCUCAUAGACCUUUUGGGGUUCAACACAAGAGACAAAGCGUGAUGUUCACAAUAGUUUGCUAAUUGUCUACGAGUGCUUACCCCCUUUGUUAGGCUUCCAACCACAUUUUCCAUGAGAUGGCCUUGGGUGGUGAGCUUGGAAGCAAUCUUCGCGGCACGACGCUCUAAUUCCUCCUCGGGUGUGGAAGGAGGAGGGUUAACUUGAUUAUCUUGAGCACCGUCUUGAGCUUGUUCUUGAUCUUGAGCUUGCUCAUGAUCUUGAGCUUGCUCAUGAUCUUGAACUUGCUCGAGGGGGAGAACUUGACCUUGGGCAUCAUUUAGAGGUUCACCACCAUCUUGAGGUUGAUCUUGCCCUUGGUCUUGUUCAUGAGGUUGAGGGCCUUCACUUUGUUCUUCGGAAGCGUGUGGGUCUUGGGGAGGUGAUGGCUCCACUUGAGUGGAGCAUUGUCCUUCUCCUUCGGCCACAAGGGGUUCCUCAAUGGGUAGAAUAUGACCAAUACCCAUUCUUCUUAUGGCUUGGGGAGGAAUUUCAUCACCUACAUCACAAGUACCACUUUGCUCCACUUGGGAGCCGUUAUUUUCGUCAAACUCCACGUUACACGUCUCCUCAAUGAGUCCGGUGGACUUGUUGAGGACACGGUAAGCAUGAGAGUUUGUAGCAUAACCAACAAAUAUGCCCUCAUGAGCUCUAGCCUCAAAUUUAGACAAACGAACACCUUUCUUGAGAAUGAAACACUUACAACCAAACACCCGGAAGUACUUGAGGUUGGGCUUGUUGCCGGUGAGUAUCUCAUAAGGAGUCUUGUUCAAGCCUUUGCAGAGAUAGAGCCGAUUGGAUGCAUGACAUGCGGUGUUGAUGGCUUCGGCCCACAAGUUGUAUGGAGACUUGAACUCCGCCAUCAUGGUCCUUGCCGCAUCCAUCAACGUCCGGUUCUUCCUCUCCGCAACACCAUUUUGUUGAGGGGUAUAUGGAGCAGCAUAUUGGUGCUUGAUCCCCUCAUCACUAAGAAAUUCAUCCAAGGUGUCACUUCUGAUUGUCAAGAUCUUUGCAUUAUGUUGACGUUGAGCUUCAUUUGCAAAGUCGAUGACGGUUUGCUGAGUCUCACUCUUCCUCUUGAAGAAGUAUACCCAAGUGUAUCUUGAAUAAUCAUCCACAAUCACCAAGCAAUACUUUCUACCUCCAAGACUAUCAAAAGAUGGAGGCCCAAAGAGAUCCAUGUGAAGGAGCUCCAAGGGUCUCUUCGAGUAGAUGGUGGUCGUGGGAGGGUGAGCCUUCUCAUGAAGCUUUCCUUCAAUACAAGCACUGCAAGCACGAUCUUUGGCAAAACUAACAUUUGUUAGUCCACGGACAUGGUCCCCCUUGAGAAGACUUUGCAAAGAUCUCAUAUUAACGUGGGCCAAACGGCGAUGCCAAAGCCAUCCCAUGUCAACUUUAGCCAUUAGGCAUGCCGCGGUCUUAGUGGGUCGCUCCGAAAAGUUAAUCACAUAGAGACCGUUCUUGACAUGCCCAACAAAGGCUACUUUAAGAGUCUUGCUCCACAAGAGGGCCACGGUAUCAAUGUCAAAGAAGGUAGCAAAACCCAUGAGUGCAAGUUGACGAACGGAAAGCAAAUUGUAUGCAAGGGACUCAACAAGCAUGACUUUCUCGAUCGUUAGAUCAUGAGAAAUGACAACCUUGCCAAGUCCCAAUACCUUAGAAUGUGAGGCAUCACCCCAAUCAACAUUGGUGGGCAUAGAUGGAAUCUUUUGCACGUCCACCACCAAGUCCUUGCUUCCGGUCAUAUGAUUUGUUGCUCCACUAUCGAGCAACCAUGAUCCCCCACCGGAAGCAAACACCUACAAGAGAUCAAUGCUUGGUUUUAGGUACCCAUUUAGUAAUGGGUCCUUUGAUGUUAGUAACAAGGGUCUUAGGAACCCAAAUAUACCAUUCAAUGUACUCAUAAGGAGAACCAACGAAUUUAGCAUAAACAUGUCCAUCACUAGCACGACACAACGCAUAUGAUGGGUUAAAAUCGCCGGCUUUGUUGGAGGAAAUGCUUUUGCCCUUUUGGACGUCAACUCCCUUCACUCUUUCUUUCUUAUCCUUAGGAGCACCCUCUCCCUCUUUCACAAAAGUUUUCUUGAGAGGAGGAGGACGUUUGGUCUUGUCGUUCUUCUUCUUCUUGCUCUUGGACUUGGGUGCAAACCCAAUUCCUUCCUUGGCCACAACUUCCUUUUGAUUGCUCAAAAGGUCGUUGAGGUUCUUCUCACCUUGAAUGCAUGUCACAAGGCCUUUCUCAAGUUGAUCCUUCAAUUUGGCAUUCUCCUCCACAAGAUGCACAUGCUCACAACAAGGGUUAGUAGCACAUGCAUUAUCAAUUAAUAUCAUGUGUGGGAAGGUGGCCUUUUCCUUGGUUAGCUUAACUUGGAGUUGAGCAUGAGACUCCUUGAGGUUAGCAUGAGCACCCUUCAAGACCUUGUGGGCCUUGUCAAGUAUCUCAAACUCCUCUUUGAGUCUAGCAUGAUCAACCCCAAGUUUAGCCUUCUCGGAAGUUAGCGCACGAGACACAACAAGAGCAUGAUCAAGAUCUUUCUUUAACUUAGCAUGGUCAUCGUUGUGUGACUCCUCAAAAGUCAAAUGAUGCAAACGAUCUUCCUCAAGAGCAUUAGAGAGAUCCGAUAUCUCAUCGGCAUACUCACGACUAUGACCUUCCAUCUUAGAGAUGGUUUCUUCGUGAGCCUCGAUCAUGUCAUUGGCCUCACCAAGUUGUUCCAAGAGAGCAACAAAUUGCUUCUUGGACUUGCCCUUGAGCUUACUCAUAAAAGACUCCAAUUCAUUCACUUCAUCAUUAGACUCAUCAUGUUCAUCAAUGCAAUCCUCCAAGGAGGGAUUAGUAAUGAUGGUGGUUGUGAUGUUGGGGGUUACCUUGUUUUGAAGCUUUAGCCAUGAGGCACUUGGCGGUGAUGUUUUCGUUGGGUGAAUCAAAGAGAGACACCCGGGGAGUAGUAGCAAUGGCAAUGGAUGCCAUGGCCAUUGCUUCUCCAUUUUCAUCAUCAUCGUGAUCCUCUUGGUAUUCUUCUUGAACCAAAAACCCACGAGUGGGAGUCUUCUUGGCGAAGUUGUUCUUGUUGGGGAAGGACUUGGCUUUGUCUUUUCGGAUGAACUUGCCACCAUUGUCUUCCCGCUUCUCGUAAGGACAAUCCGCAACGAAAUGGCUCACAUUGCCACAGUUGAAGCAAGUUCUAACUCGUUGCUUGCCCUUGACGCCACUUGAGUUGUUCUUGUUGAAGUUGGGUCUUGUAUUCUUCUUGCUCCAAAAUUGUCUUGAAGCAAGGGCCAUGUGCUCAUGAUAAUCAUACUUGGUGUCUUCGGGUUGCUCUCCUCAUCUUCCACUUCUUCCUCUUCUUCCAUAAUAACCUUGGCGUUCAAAGCAACGUUGGGCUUCUUUGCCUUUUGAGAACAGAGCACCACAUUGUCGGCGGUCUUGUCCAAGAUGCUCAUAGCAACGAACUCAUCCAACACUUCACUUGAGGUCAUGGAGUGGAAGUCCGGUCUUUGACGAAUGACGGGGGACAUGGCCUUGUUGUAGGGCAUCAUGGCCUUGAGGAAUUUGCGCUUGAUCCAAUUGUCAUCCAUGUCCUUGCUUCCAUGAUCUCGGAGUGAGACCGCGAGUUUGGUCACUCUUCGAAAGAGCUCACGAGGUUCUUCAUCUUCUUUCAUUGCAAACUCAUCGGCUUCAUCUUGCACCACUUCAUAGUUGGAGCGUUGAAUGCUAGAACUUCCUCGAUAGAGAGACACAACACAUUUCCAUGCGUCUUUAGCCAUGGCAUGAGGUCAAAUAUGAGGGAGAUCUUCGGGAAGGAUUGCAUCUUGGAUGAUGAAGAGAUCACUCUCAUUGAAUUGAUUAUCCACGGCUUCUCGAGGGGUGAAGUUGCUUGGGUCAUGAGGAUAUAAACCUUCUUCAAUGAUUCUCAAAAGGUUAGUAUUCACAUGUUUUAAAUGACGCUUGAAGCGAUAAACCCAAGAAUCAAAAUCUUCAUGUUUCUCAUACUUAGGAGGAGGACCGGCAUGAUUUAAAUGAGUAGAGGGAAUCAGCCCUCCAUAAAUUGGAGGUUCCACAUGGGCAAAGAUGUCGAUGCCAUUUCUACCACUAGUAGAAGGACUCUUUUCACUGUGGGCUUCCUCCUUGUCGGAGGUAGCAUCCGUCACCUUGUUAGUGGGAUCACCCACUUUCAUAGGCGAGGUGGAUGGUUUGAGUCCUUCAAGAAAUUUAGUAAGCAUGCUUUCAACCUUGGUCGUCAUGGAGUCUCUCAAUGUGUCUAGAGCCACAUUGAGAUCCUCACGAGAGACCGAGGUUCCCCCAUCGGCCGUAGACGAGAUAAGAUUCACACCGGAGUGCUCCUCCACACCGUCUGUGGUGUCAACCAUAAUCUUCAGACGACAAAGUCCUAAAUAAAGAGACGAGGCUCUGAUACUAAUUGAAAGGAUCGAUAUGGUUGACUAGAGGGGGGUGAAUAGGCAACUAACAAUUUUUAAGCUUUUCUUUACCAAUUUAAACUUUGCAACAAAAUAGGUUGUCUAGAUAUGCAACUAUGUGAGCAACCUAUAUGAUGCAAUAACAACUAGCACAUAAGCAAGCAAGGGAUACAACACAAGUAGGCUUGCAAAAGUAAAGGCACGAAAUAACCAAGAGUGGAGCCGGUGGAGACGAGGAUGUGUUACCGAAGUUCCUUCCUUUUAAGGGGAAGUGCGUCUCCGUUAGAGCGGUGUGGAGGCACAAUGCUCCCCAAGAAGCCACUAGGACCACCGUAUUCUCCUCACGCCCUCACACAAUGCGAGAUGCCGUGAUUCCACUAUUGGUGCCCUUGAAGGUGGCGACCGAACCUUUACAAACAAGGUUGGGGCAAUCUCCACAACAAUUGGAGCUCCCAAAAACACCACGAAGCUUCACCACAAUGGAGUAUGGCUUCGAGGUGACCUCAACCGUCUAGGGUGCUCAAACACCCAAGAGUAACAAGAUCCGCUAGGGAUAAGAGAGGGAAUCAAAUUUCUCUUGGUGGAAGUGUAGAUCGGGGCCUUCUCAACCAAUCCCGAGCAAAUCAACAAGUUUGAUUGGCUUGGGAGAGAGAUCGGGUGAAAAUGGAGCUUGGAGCAACAAUGGAGCUUUGGGGGAAAGAGGUGGGUCAACUUUGGGGAAGAAGACACCUUUAUAUAGUGGGGGAAACUAUCCAACCGUUACCCCACUGAACAGCCAUGCACAGAGCGGUACUACCGCUUGGGAAGGGCGGUACUACCACUGAAGAGCGGUACUACCGUUCCCACCCAGCGGUACUACCGCGCUGACGAGGAAGGCAGGGUCCUGGCCCCAGAGCGGUACUACCGCGGGAGUAAGAGCGGUACUACCGCUUGGAGCGGUACUACCGCCACUACUGCCGCUCCUAGUACCGUAAAACCCGACACGAAAAAACAUCGGGCUCGAGUCGAGGCGGUGGUAGCCCGGAACCACUGCGGUACUACGGCCGAAGACCACAAGCGGUACUACCGCUCUGGGAGCGGUACUACCGCUGGGAGCGGUACUACCGCUGGGAGCGGUACUACCGCUCGAAGAGCGGUACUACCGCUUGGCGAGCUUCGGCGGUUCUACCGCUGAGGACCACGGUACUACCACUGGGACAGGACGGAGCAGAUACGGAGGGAAAGCCAGCUCCAAUGAAACGGAAGGAAAACAUCGGGUGAUACGGAUGUGUACGUGUUGAUUCCACCCUAGCCUUACCAAAGCGGAUCCCCUCUUGAUAGUACGGUGACUCCUACGAAACUAGUCCACCAACAAAGAAACGAAGGAGCUACACCGUCUUGAAAAACACACCGAGGGGAGGUAAUCGUCUCGUGCCAAUGGAUGAAUCUCUGAAAGAACUUAAGGCACACGAUUAGUUCGCAAAAGCAUUGUCAUCAAUCACCAAAACAUCUUGGGGAUAAAUAUGUCCUUACAGUACUUGUUGAGUUGGCGUAUUUCGAGAUUAGGAUUUGUCACUCCGAUUGUCGGAGAGGUAUCUCUGGGCCCUCUCGAUAAUGCACAUCACUAUAAAACUUGAAAGCAAUGUGACUAAUGAGUUAGUUGCGGGAUGAUGUAUUACAGAACGAGUAAGGAGACUUGCCGGUAAUGAGAUUAAGCUAGGUAUUGAGAUACCGACGAUCGAAUCUCAGGCAAGUAACAUACCGAUGACAAGUUGUUAUGCGGUUUGACCGAUAAAGAUCUUCAUAGAAUAUGUGGGAGCCAAUAUGAGCAUCCAGGUUCCGCUAUUGGUUAUUGACCGAAGACGUGUCUCGGUCAUGUCUACAUAGUUCUAGAACCCGUAGGGUCCACACGCUUAACGUUCGCUGACGAUUUAUAUUAUGAGUUAUGUGUUUUGAUGUACCGAAGGUAGUUCAGAGUCCCGGAUGAGACCAGGGACAUGACGAGGAGUCUCAAAAUGGUCAAUACGUAAAGAUCGACAUAUUGGACGACUAUAUUCGGACAUCGCAAAUGUUCCGAGUGAUUCGGGUAUUUUUUGGAGUACCGGAGAGUUACGGGAAUUCGCCGGGGAGUAUAUGGGCCUUAUAGGGCUUUAGGGGAAAGAGAGAGGGGAGGCUGCGUGCCCCGCAAGGCCUAGUCCGAAUUGGACAAGGGGGAGGGGCUACGCCCCAUCCUUCCUUCUCUUCUCUUUUCCCUUUCCUUGACUCCUACUCCUACUACUUGGAAGGGGGGUAAUCCUACUCCCGGUGGGAGUAGGACUCCUCCAGGGCGCGCCAUAGGAGGGCCGGCCCUCCCCCCUCCUCCACUCCUUUAUAUACGGGGGCAGGGGGGCACCUCUAGACACACAAGUUGAUCUGUUGAUCUCUCCCAGCCGUGUGCGGUGCCCCCCUCCACCAUAUUCCACCUCGGUAAUAUCGUAGCGGUGCUUACGCGAAGCCCUACGUCGGUAGCAUCAUCGACACCAUCAUCAUGCCAUUGUGCUGACAGAACUCUCCCGCAAAGCUCAGCUAGAUCGGAGUUCGUGGGAUGUCAUCGAGCUGAACGUGUGCUAAACUUGAAGGUGCCGUACGUUCGGUACUUGGAUCGGUCGGAUCGUGAAGACGUAUGACUACAUCAACCGUGUUGUGCUAACGCUUCUGUUUUCGAUCUACGACGGUACGUGGACGGCACUCUCCCCUCUCGUUGCUAUGCAUCACCAUGAUCUUGCGUGUGCAUAGGAUUUUUUUGAAAUUACUACGUUCCCCAACACCUGCAAGCUUAAAUAAUCCACAAACUUCAUCCACAUAGAUUAGGUGUAAAUCGGGAUGCAAUGUUCCAUCUCCUGUAAAGGGAUUAGCUAGCAGUUUCUCUACCAUACCCGAAGAAUUUCGAAGUAAACAUUGUCAGUAGGGUCAGUAGGUUGAGGAGCAACUCUUUGCUCUACUGGUCGGGGUGAAGAUACCCCGAACAAGCCCCUCAAAGGAUUAUGUUCCAUAGUAACAAGUGACAGUAAAUUUCAGCACACUAUAUAAAUUUUUCCUUACCAAUUAAGUUCCAUUUACCAAAGGCGCUUCACUUCCCGGCAACGACGCCAGAAAAGAGUCUUCAUGACCCACAAGUGUAGGGGAUCUAUCUUAGUCCUUUCGAUAAGUAAGAGUGUCGAACCCAACGAGGAGCAGAAGGAAAUGACAAGCGGUUUUUCAUAAGGUAUUUUCUGCAAGCACUGAAAUUAUCGGUAACAGAUAGUUUUGUGAUAAGGUAAUUUGUAACGGGUAACAAGCAAUGAAAGUAAAUAAGGUUCAGCAAGGUAGCCCAAUCCUUUUUAUAGCAAAGGACAAGCCUGGACAAAUUCUUAUAUAGAGAAAAGCGCUCCCAAGGACACAUGGGAAUUAUCGUCAAGCUAGUUUUCAUCACGUCCAUAUGAUUCGCGUUCGUUACUUUGAUAAUUUGAUAUGUGAGUGGACCGUUGUUUGGGUACUGUCCUUUCUUAGACAAGCAUCCCACAUAUGAUUAACCCCAAUUGCAAGCAUCCGCAACUAUAAAAGAAGUAUUAAGGUAAACCUAACCAUAGCAUGAAACAAGUGGAUCCAAAUCAGCCCCUUACGAAGCAACGCAUAAACUAAGGUUUAAGCUUCUGUCACUCUACCAACCCAUCAUCUACUUAUUACUUUCCAAUGCCUUCCUCUAGGCCCAAUUAAUGGUGAAGUGUCAUGUAGUCGACGUUCACAUAACACCACUAGAGGAGAGACAACAUACAUCUCAUCAAAAUAUCGAACGAAUACCAAAUUCACAUGACUACUAAUAGCAAGACUUCUCUCAUGUCCUCAGGAACAAACGUAACUACUCACAAAGCAUAUUCAUGUUCAUAAUCAGAGGGGUAUUAAUAUGCAUUAAGGAUCUGAACAUAUGAUCUUCCACCAAAUAAACCAACUAACAUCAACUACAAGGAGUAAUCAACACUACUAGCAACCCACAGGUACCAAUCUGAGGUUUUGGUACAAAGAUUGGAUACAAGAGAUGAACUAGGGUUUGAGAGGAUAUGGUGCUGGUGAAUAUGUUGACGAAGAUUGACCCCCUCCUGAUGAGAGGAUCGUCGGUGAGGACGAUGGUGAUGAUUUCCCCCUCCCGGAGGGAAGUUUCCCCGGCAGAACAGCUCCGCUAGAGCCCUAGAUUGGUUCUGCCAAGGUUCCGCCUCGUGGCGGCGGAGUUUCGUCCCAUAAGCUUACUUAGGUUUUUUCCAGGGUAAAAGACUUCAAAGAGCAGAAGAUGGCCACUGGAGGGCUGCCAGGGGGCCCACGAGGCAGGGGGCGCGCCCCCCACCCUCGUGGCCAGGGCGUGGACCCCCUCUGGUACUUCUUCCGCUCAAUAUUUAUUAUUAAUUCUGAAAUGACUUUCGUGGACUUUCAAGUCUUUUGGAGCUGUGCAGAAUAGGUCUCCAAUAUUUGCUCCUUUUCCAGCCCAGAAUCCCAGCUGCCGGCAUUCUCCCUCUUCAUGUAAACCUUGUAAAAUAAGAGAGAAUAGGCAUAAGUAUUGUGACAUAACGUGUAACAACAGCCCAUAAUGUAAUAAAUAUCGAUAUAAAAGCAUGAUGCAAAAUGCACGUAUCACACAACAAUAGAAGCAAGACCAAUUAAUUCAUCCUUACUAGGCAAUUCUUUUUCAUGAUGAUUUCCACUAAACUUGGAAAAACUAAACUCAUGAGAUUCAUCACCAAAUCUAACACCUACAGUUUGUUUCUUACAAUCUAUUCUAGCAUUGACGGUGUUCAAGAAAGGUCUACCAAAUAUAAUGGGACAAAAUUUAUCCUAUGGGGUGGUAAGAACAAGAAAAUUAGUAGGGUAUUUUAUCUUCCCACACGAGACUUUAACAUCUCUAAGAAUCCCAACUGGUGAUAUAGUAUCUCUAUUAGCAAGUUUAAUAGUAACAUCUAUGUCUCCUAAUUCAGCAAGUGCUAUUUCAUCUCUAAUUUCUUCAUAUAAGGAGUGGGGAAUGGCACUCACACUAGCACCCAUGUCACAUAAACCAUGAUAACAGUCAUCUCCUAUUUUAAUUGAAACAACAGGCAUGCCAACAACUAGUCUAUGUUUAUCUUUCCCCUCGGGUUUAACAAUUCUAGCAGCUUCUUCACAGAAGUAAAUAACAUGCCCAUCCAUAUGUUCUUCCAAGAGAUCUUUAACCAUAGCAAUGCUAAGUUCUACUUUAAUUUGUUCAUCAUGUUUAGUUGUUCUAACAUAGCUUUUGUUAACCACCGUUGAAACUUUAGCAUGUUAUUUUAUCCUAACAGGGAAAGGUGCUUUCUCAAAAUAAGCUGAAGUAAUAACUGGAUCAACAUUAUAAUGUAUAGUUUCUUCUUUAACUGGUACUGGUUCUUUAAUAGGUGGGUGAUAUUUAACCCACUUCUCUUUAGGAAGUUCAACAUGAGUAGCAAAUGAUUCACAAAAAGAGGCUACUAUUUCAGAGUCAAGUCCAUAUUUAGUGCUAAACUUUUGAAAAGCAUCGGUAUCCUUAAAAGGUUUAACACAAUCAUACUUAAGCUUUAUACUCGACUCUUUACCUUCGUCAAGUUCCCAAUCUUUAGAGUUGCGUUUAAUUCUUUCCAAAAGAUCCCACUGGAAUUCAAUAGUUUUCUUCAUAAAAGAACCAACAUAAGAAGUAUCCAGCAUGGUUUGAUCAUUACGAGAAAGUCGAGCAUAAAAAUUCUGAAUAAUAAUUUCUCUUGAGAGCUCAUGAUUGGGGCAUGAAUAUUACACCGACUUAAGCCUCCCCCAAGCUAGAGCGAUACUUUCUCCUUCACGAGGUCAAAAGUUAUAUAUAUAAUUCCGAUCAGGAUGAACUAGAUGCAUAGGAUAAUUUUUUUGAUGGAACUCCAAUUUCAAACGAUUCCAAUUCCAUGAUCUAAUAUCAUCGCAUAGCCUAUAUCAUGCCAAUUCUUUUCCCUUCAAAGAUAAAGGGAAAACCUUUUUCAUCACUUCAUCUCUGGGUAAACUUGCAAGUUUAAACAAUCCACAAAUUUGUUCCACAUGUAUCAAGUGCAUAUCAGGAUGUUCAGUUCCAUCUCCUGCAUAAGGAUUAGCUAGCAGUUGUUCUAUCAUAUCCGAAGGGAUUUCUUAUUCAAUAUUUUCAGUAGGUGCAGUAGGUUGAGGGGUAACUAAUUGUGGUUCCGGACGAGGUGAAGAUACCCUGAACAAACCCCUCAAAGGAUUGUUUCCCAUAGUAACAAGUGACAAAAAAAUUUAGCACACUAUAUAAAUGUUUCCUUACCGAAUUCCACUUACCAAAGGCGCUUUGCUCCCCGGAAACGGCGCCAGAAAAUAGCCUUGAUGACCCACAAGUAUAUAGAGUCAAUUGUAGCUCUUUUCGAUAAGUAAGAGUGUCGAACCCAAUGAGCAGCAGAAGGAAAUGACAAGUGGUUUUCAGCAAAGUAAUGUCUGCAAGUGCAAAAAUUGUAAGUAGCGGAGUAGUUUGGUAGCAAGAUAAUUUGUAACGAGCAAGUAAAAAUAGUAGUAACAAAAGUGCAGAAAGGUAGCCCAAUCCUUUUGAGGCAUAGGACAGGCCAAAACGGUUUCUUAUGAUAAGCAAAGUGUUCUUGAGGGUACACGGGGAUUUCAUCUAGUUACUUUCAUCAUGUUGGUUUGAUUUGUGCUUGCUACUUUGAUAAUUUGAUAUGUGGGUGGACCGGUGCUUAGGUGUUGUUCUUACUUGAACAAACCUCCUACUUAUGAUUAACCCUCCUGCAAGCAUCCACAACUACGAGAAAAGUAUUAAGAAUAAAUUCUAACCAUAGCAUUAAACUCUAGGAUCCAAUCGGUCCCUUACGGAAUAGUGCAUAAACUGGGGUUUAAGUUUCUGUCACUCUCGCAACCCACCAUCUAUUUACUACUCAACAAUGCAUUCCCUUAGGCCCAAAUAUGGUGAAGUGUCAUGUAGUCAACAUUCACAUGACACCACUAAGAGAAUGGCAACAUGCAUACCAUCAAAAUAUCGAACACAUAUCAAGUUCACAUGAUUACUUGCAACAUGAUUUCUCCCGUGACCUCAAGAAUGAAAUUAAAUACUCACAAAUGAUAAACAUGCUCAAGAUAAGAGGGGUAUUGAAUAGCAUAAUGGAUCUGAACAUAUAAUCUUCCACCAAAUAAACCGUAUAGUAAUCAACGACAAGAUGUAAUCAACACUACUAGUCACCCACGGGCACCAAUCUAUAGUUUUGAUACAAAGAUUGAACACAAGAGAUGAACUAGGGUUUGAGAGGAGUUGGUGCUGUGAAGAUGUUGAUGAAGAUGGCCCUCCCCAAGAUGGGAGAGUUGUUGGUGAUGAUGAUGACGAUGAUUUCCCCCUCCGGGAGGGAAGUUCUCUCGAGACGACGGCGCUUUGUCCCGAAUGUACUCCCCUUAUUUUUUCUAGGUCAAAAUGACUUAUAUACCAGAAGAUGGGCACCAGAGGUGGGCCGAGGAGGGCACAACCCACCAGGCGCGCCUGGGCUCCCUGGCACGCCCAGGUGAGUUGUGCCCACCUGGUGGCCCUCCUCUGGUAGUUAUUUGCUCCAAUAUUCCUUAAAUAUUCCAUAAAAAUUCUCCCUGAAGGCUCAGCUUGUUUGGAGUUGUGUAGAAUAGGUAGCCUGACGUAGCUUUUUCAUGUCCAGAUUUCCAGCUGCCGGAAUUCUCCCUCUUUGUGUGCACCUUGCAAAUUAUGAGAGAAAAGGAAUUAAAAUUACUCUAAAAAGCAUUAUUAUGGAUAAAAACAUUGUAAAUAACAGUAAGAAAACAUGAUACAAAAUGGACGUAUCAUGCAUCAAAGCUUUCCGGCAUUGUCCUCCUGUUAUGUUUGGGGAUGUUAUUACAGUUACAUUUUCAAAGAGACUACAACUGAUAAUUAAGAUACAAGUACAUCUGAAUUAAAUGGUUCGGCUGAACUUAAAAAAUAUAGCUUACAUACUACAUGAAGUCAUCAUCGUCAUCCUUCAUUGGUGCAACCCUCUUGCCCUUCGACGUUGCGGUCCUCUUGCCCUCCGUUGAUGCAGCAUUCUUGCCCUUCGACGACGCGGCACUACUCUUGCCCUUCGACGAUGCAGAACCUGGAAGCGGCAGCAUGAAGAUAUCAUCUUUGUCCUCGCUGUCGUCAGUCCAUAAAUAUGGAUUCUUUGUUGCAUUCCUUCUGAAAGUUUCACUCUUGGGCUCCACUACCUUCUUCCACCUUUCAUGCAACCUAAGAAGUUCUUUACGUACCUCCUCAUAGGUCCUUUCAGGCCACCUAGACCUACGUAAUUUGUGAGCCAACUCAUUCACUAUGGUGUCACUACCGGUGAGUUCGUUCCAUGGAACUAUCCUAUUGUCCAUCCUAAAAUCUGUGGCUAGCCUCAGAAGACAUCUGCUCAUACCAGGGUGAAAACUACAAUCGAAAGGAUAAUGGGACAUCUCGACUACACUACACUGGAGUGCUUAUCCACCUCCGUGUGGAGGGGGUUUUAUAGGUAGAGAGGAGAAAAUGGCAGGAAAGAAUGACUACGGUAUGGCGGGAAAGGGUUGGCGGGAACGGGUUGGCGGGAAACGGGUAGCGGGAACAUAUGGAGGGAAAGAGUUGGUGGGAAAAUAUUGAGGGGAAAGGGUUGCGCGAAUAUAUUUUUUUAAUGUCUAAGAUGGGCAAUGGUUGCACAAUCUUCAUAAGCCAAAAUUAAAAAAAGAAAUCAUUUCGGCCUAACGUAAGCCGAAGAGUGGAGCCAUGUAGCUUCGGCCAACCGUUAACGUGAAAAGGUGGGCCCAAGGACUUUUCGGCCUACUGCUGACCAAAAUGGUCUUUUCGGCCUACUACUGACCAAAAAGGCCUUUUCGGCCCAGGUACGCACCUCUUCGGCCAAGGCAAGGCCGAAAGCCCUUUUCGGCCAAGAGGAGGCCGACGAGGUGCUAGUUUUGAUAUAUUUUUUGCAUUGCAUGCUAUAGUUUCUGAAUUUGCUAUAAAAAGCGGUAGUUUUAAAAUAAUCAAUACAAGGUUCGCAGAUGCUGAAACUUUUUGACGGUGUGAACUGCCUUAGCUUCCUCUGUUCUAGAUGAUGUCAUUGUAGCUAUUUCUAUCACUUUCUAUGCCCCAUGUUCUAUUUAGAUCUGCUAACUCUCAGUCUGUUAAACCUGCUAAUGACAGGAUUUGUUCAUGACUGUAUAUCUACGUACUUUCUGUCAGUUGGAAUAUAUUAUCCUUGGUGAUACCAAUGUUUCUAGCUUUCACUGUGAUAAUGAAGUUAUCUUUGGCAGUCGCAACAACCUAGGGUGCACCGGCAUUGUAACAGCUUGGAUUUUGGCCCUUUUUCUUUUUCUUUUGAUUUAUUUGGUUUUUUUGCUCUAUUUUUCUUUUUGGAGUGGUUCCGUGGCCUUGCCACCUGGGAAAUCAUCCUCAUUCCCCCUCCCAAGUGGCUCAUCAUUCUCAAAACCUUGCCAAGAUCAUGUCCCUUCACUCCUUGACCAAACCCUAAAAUCUUUUUUCUAGGGAAAAUUCCUUUUUCAUUAAAGGAAUAACCCUAUCUGCCCUAGGUUGUGAAGCAGCCUAUAUUUUUGUCCAUACAAAAAUUCCCAAAUAAUUUUCAUAAUUCCUUUGGGUCAUAUAUAGCUCAAAUAUGCCCAAACAUUGCCUUGGCCAGUUCAAAAAUAAUUCCCCAAUAAUUAUUCUUCCGUUCUGCCCUGAAUGGCACUUUGUGAAGGAAGUGUAAUUUAUAUUUCUCCUAGUGCCUCCCAAUCUUUUUGGGCAUGAUUAUAUGUCCAAAUAAUUUCCCCAUGCACAAGUUCAAAUUUAUUUGCCUAGCCAAUCUUGCUCAUUGAAUUUUCAAAGUUUCUGUCAGACAGAAGGCUUUGUGAAGGAAGUACUAGCUAGGAGUACCCAAAUGAGUUGAACUUUUUCACACUCCUUAAUGUUUUCUUAUUAAUCCCCUCCACCCAUUUGCAGCCCUAUACAAUCAUCUAUGUGAGCACAGGCGCACAUCUUUGAUUCUGGCAAUAUUUUCAGGUUGUGAAGCAAGUGCAUUAUAUAUUUCUUCAAAAAUCCUGAUAAAUUAUCAGAUCAUUCUUAUACCCAGAAAACAUCUGUCCACCCAAUUUGGCAUCAUUUCAAUAAGCCAUUUGAUCACCAAAAUUAUUCCAAGUUUCUGGACAGAAAUGAUGUUUGUGAAGCAAGUGCCAUUUUGGCUUGUCCAUUUGGCAUGAGCUUUUUACAGCAUCAUCAUAUGUACAAAUAAUCAAGCUUUGCCCAAUCUUAGUGCAAGUUGACACUCUAUGUGAGUGCACAAUCAUGAUCUAGUUUCUGGACUAUUUUGGUCAGUUGUGAAGCAACUGCAGUAAAUCUUGGUCCAUUUCCCCUCAAAACCUCCAGGAUGAAAGUCCUUCUUACCCUAAACCUCUCGGACAAAUUAUUUACCGAGUUACCUAGCUGGUGUCCCCACUGCACAGCACAAACACUCGACUGCUGGUUUACUUUGGAGCUAAGUGCAAAACUCUUCUUUGCCUCUGGAGCGAUUUGUUUCCCCAUUUAUACUAAGGUCACUAGGGUCAUUCCACUAGACAUGGUCGGCCCAGCCAGAAUGCGCCAUUUGCACCAGAGCCCGUGGUGAUCACGAUGUCGUCACACACAUUUCGUGCUCUGGCUGGUUCUUGCCACUCUGCUCGUCUCCUCCCUCCUCGUCUUGACCACCAACCAUGUCUAGUAGCUGCCCCGUGAGCCUCUGCAUCGCCCUGCGCCUCUGCCUCGUCGCCGUUCGCCAUAAAUGAGUCGCUAGCUCCACGCCCAUGCCACGUCCAGCCUCUACCCGCCAUUAAAGCUUGGUCGGGAGCUCGUCCGUGAGCUCUAGAGCCCUCCUCCGCGCCUAUAUAAGGACCACCGAACCCCUCCGCACCUCCCCAGCCUCUCCCCAAGCCUCCUCGACCACCGGAGUCGCCCAAUCUCGCCAUUUUCUUCUUCGGCCACCGCAGCCACCACCGGAGUUCAUCUCCGUUCCAGCCACCGCAGGCCCCCUCUCCUCCUCCCAAGCCCUCCACUAGCUUACCCUCAUUCCACUCAGCCGCCCCACCCCCUUGCCCCUUGCCGGAGUACCCCACAUCACCGAGAGCCCCCUCCGCCCGAAGCUCUCUAUAGUCUUCCAUCACCGUGGCCUCCCCUCCGUUUUGCUCCUCCCCGGCGCCGAUUCUUCCUCUCACUGGACACGGCGUGGUUCUCUGAUCCCGCCGGUGUCCUCAGACCAGCCGGAGCCCGCCGGAUCAGCCUGCGCCAUCGCCGCCCAUCCACCCCUGUCUCCUCCUAUCACCGUGCGCUGCCGCGACCUCGAACCUCCCCGACGCCUGCUAGCCUCCGGGAUGGAUGCGGGAGGCCAGGCCGCAGCCGCCGGUGGUUGCCGCUCGACCGGAGGUGGCCUGAGCGGGCCGCCACGUCACCGGCAGCUCGGCCCCUCCCCUACCUCUUCUGUCCUGCGCGGGGGAGCAGUGAGGAGGAAGACUGUUGAGAACCGACAUCAACGAAGCAGCUUUAGCGAAUCGUCGUUAGGAAACGUAGUUAGCGGUUAUUAGGCGUCCCAAAUCUUGUAUAAAUAUGUGAUUAAAGCAUCAGAUCAUUCGUACAAUCACUUUUAUCUUUAUACAUUAUCAGCACUGCUCUACCGAAAGAGAGAUAGAGCCAUCACCGGGAAGGACAAGAAAAGGUAGGUCAUGGCAGGGAGAAACCUGUCAUCAGCGGCUUUUGCUUUCGCUCGCUUUAUCCAAAGAGAGAGCCGUCGCCUUUCCUGCACUCCUCGCGACCGUGCCGCACGUCGCCGUCAUGGCCUUGGUGUAAGGAGCGGCCCAUGUCGCCGCUUCUUCGCCGGGAACCACCGCCAGAACCGCCGCCGUGGAUAUGCAUGCCAUGGCAACCACCCUGUGCACCAGGCUGGGCCUUCCGCCACGACCACUGCUACAAAUGGAGAGAUACCUGCAAUGCACCAGGCCGGGCCUUCGGCUCCGGCAGUCGCCAACGAGUACGUCGGACACGCGACUAUACCAACUGUCUUCUCCAUCCCUCUGAUGGAGUGGUUGCUUGCAGGGCCAUCGGCGCCAUUUCUCGGAGAAGAGGAGAUGUUCCCUUGUGAACUCGCGCCGCCACCGCUGCCCCCGUACUGCCUGCAGCACGAGUUUGGACCGUGCCCAACGCGUACGGGCGCACAACUGCGGCUGCCGUCACCGACGCCGUUGGAUGAACUGCCGGAGCACUUCUUCCCUCCUGGAUACGGUCCUUCCCGGAUCUCCCAUCUCCGACGCCGGCAGCAGUGGAAGUCCACGCCUACUCCACCGUCCCCGAUCUGAACAUGGCCAUCAAGGAAGAAGAAGAGAAGAUGGAAGGAUAGGGCUCGUCGUCGACGCCGCCGCCGCCUCAUUCAUCACCGGCGACACCACCCCUGCCUCCAGCGCCACCCCUCCCUCCCACGCCUCCACCAGAGGCGCGUCGGAUACUGCGGCAGUUCGCCGCGGCCAUGGCGCAAAACCGCGCAGCCGUCCGGGGCGCGUGGUCGCCGACGGCCCUCGGCCUCACCGGCGCCCCCGGGGCGUGCAGCAGCGGCGGGGGCCGUGCGGAGAUGCGGGGCACACCCCGCCUCCCUUGACGACGACGCCAUGAGCAGGGAAGAGACGGUGUGGUGAGGUGUUGUGCCAGAUCGAGCACAGAAGUGGGGAACGGGAGAAGCGGCGCUGUGUGGGAAACCCUCGUGCGUGCUAUCAUUAUCCUUCUCUCUGUCGGUGCAUGGGCCAGCCCAAGUCACGUACGUUCUCACCAAACAGGCCUACAGGCCAAGAAAUCCAAUAAAUGGCUGCUGGCGCUGUGUCAUUUCCAACAGGAAAUAGCCAUAGUGUAUAUAUUGUACAGCAGCUUGUUCUUUCUAUUUGAGAGUAGUAUUUUAUUGUAUUAAGAACCUCUGCUUAUCAUAUUCAGUACUAUAUUAUAAGUGUGAAUAUUUAGACUAUGUAUCGUCUAACAUAAAGUCUCAGACUAUGUGUACAUAUUCUAUAUGAUUGCUUCAGCAUUUUUUUAGAAUAUGUAAUUCUUAACUGCAACAAUUUUAUUUUACAAUUCAAAAUUUGGGAUCACAAGGCAGAUGAGGCAUCUACUGCACUUUGCAGAUUACCCUCAUCGUUGAAAGAUCUACAUUUUGCCUUUUCUAUUUUGGCAAAAUGACUAUCUUCAAGUGCUCUCCCAAAUAUACAAAAUUGAUGUGACUACCUCGAAUUUUAUACUUGCAAAUCACAAGGUAAUUGUGUGAUCUACUGCAUCAAAUUGCAGACUAUCCACUCUUGUUGUAAGGUCUACAUCUAGUAUUUUGACAGAUGACUACCUUCAAAGUGUUUUUGUAAAAUGUAGUGUGACACAAGGUAAUGGACAUAUGAACAUCUACUGGUCAAAACCAGAUUAUGCUCUACAUUAUUGUGAGAUCUACACCGCAAUGGUGACUAUCUUCAAAGUGCCAUAUACAUAAAAUGAGGUCUACACAUAUAAGUAUAAAGCAUCUAUACUUGAAAAUUUUGCUUCUUCGAAGCAUUUGUUGUACUUAUAUUUUACUCUCAUAGUAAAACUAAAAUUAUGCAUGAUAAUACCAUGCAGGAAAUGGCUGGCGUCAUGAACAGAGAAUUUCAUGAACUUGAACUAGAUGGUAGUAACUAUUUACCAUGGGCUAUGGAUGCAAAGAUAGCCCUUGAAAGUCGUAAACUCGGUUCCACCAUCAUCACACCCAUUGAAGGCGCCGGAGAAAUCCCCACGGCAACCAAAUAUACCGCUUUAAGUUUCUUAAGGCACCAUCUCCAUCCGGACUUAAAGUCGGAAUAUUUGAUGGAAGAAGAUCCACUAGUUUUGUGGAACUCUCUCAAGGAGAGAUAUGACCAACAAAGAGCAGUUAUGCUGCCAGAAGCACAGAGAGAAUGGUCCCUCAUAAGGUUCCAAGAUUUCAAAUCUGUGGCAGCAUAUAACUCUGCAGUUCACAAGGUUAACUCAAAACUAAGGUUUUGCAAUCAAGCAAUUUCCAAAGAAGACCUUAUUGAGAAGACCUUGUGCACUUUCCACCCCUCAAUGAGAGUACUACAACAGCAAUACCGUCAACAAAAAUACAAAAAGUAUUCUGAGCUCAUAUACACUUUACUUCAGGCUGAGAAACAUGAUGAACUUCUCAUGAAGAAUCAUCAGACACGCCCAACAGGCUCAAUGCCACUCCCUGAAGCACAUGCUAACACUCAGUUUACUAAAAAGUAUGGGGGCAACAAAAAGAAUUUCUCGAAAUUCAAUGGAAAGUGGAAAAGGAACAACAAGCAGAAAAGCUUUGGUCAAUCUAAAGGUAAAGGUCACUUCAAGAAAAAUGACCGAAACACCAACUCCGAGAUUUGUCAAAGGUGUGGAUGUACUAACCAUCGUACUAGCAAAUGCCGAACUCCCAAGCAUCUAGCGGAUUUAUAUCUCAAAUCCACCGGGAAAGGCAAACAAGUUCAUGGAAAAGCAGAAGCUUACUUCAAUGCUUUACAACAAGAAGAGAACCUUGAAGCUAGCACCUCUCAAAGCGCUCCCCAGGAAACAAGGAAGAAGGAUGAAGAUCUUCUUGAUGUCGACAACAUGAUGGUGGAAUACACCCAAGACGCAUACGGAGAUCUCAUAUAAUCUCCACAUCACUCAUUUGAUGUUAUUAGCUAUUUUAUUGUAAUAAUGGAAGUUAUAAUUUGUAUAACCCUGAGUAGAAUAAAGUCCUACGGACCAAUCAUAUAUGUAAUUCACACACAAUGUCAUAUUUAUAUUUGUAACUGUAAUAUGAAUACUUUGUAUGUAUUUAUAUGUGAGUAAUGAAUAAAAUUUCAUGCUAAAAUAUUCUCUCACUCUAUAUAGAUUUUACGGGAAAAUAAUCCAAUGGAAGAAGAAUUAUGUUUGGUGGACAGUUGUACCACUAACACAAUAUUAAGGGAAAUAAAAUAUUUCCAAACUCUAACUAAGAGAAAAGGGAAUAUUAUGACCAUCGCCGGUCGCGAUGCCUCGAUUAUUUGUUCAGGACGAGCCACACUCGUUCUACCUAUGGGUACUACAAUUGUAAUUGAGGAUGCACUCUUGUAUCCUGAAUCUACACGCACCCUUCUAAGUUUCAAAGACCUCAGAUCAAAUAAUUUCCAUCUAGAAACAAUUUCUAAAAAUAAUUCUGAAUAUUUACUUUUAACAAAGAGUACUGGGUCUCAGAAACAAACUCUUGAGAAAUUCCCCUCGCUUCAUCUGGAUUAUAUUACAGUUAUACAAAACCCGUUCCACAUGUUGCGUACAAAAUAAUUUUUCAAGACCUUGAUAAAUUCAAGACUUGGCAUGAUCGCCUAGGUCAUCCUGGCAUAGGGAUGAUGGGAAAAAUUAUUGACAAUUCUAUUGAUCACAGCCUUCCAACUAAAAACUUCCCUAAAUCAUCAGAUUUUGUGUGCACUUCAUGUGCAACUGGGAAAUUAAUUAUAAGACCAUCUUAUCUUAAAGUAAAAAAUGAGUCACUUAAUUUUCUUGAACGCAUUCAAGGAGAUAUAUGUGGUCCAAUUCAACCACUAUUGGGACCUUUUAGAUAUUUCAUGGUACUCAUAGAUGCAUCUACUAGAUGGUCACAUGUGUGUCUAUUGUCCACACGAAAUCAUGCUUUUGCCAAGAUAAUUGCUCAAAUUAUCAAAUUAAGAGCAAAUCAUCCUGAAAAUAGGAUAAAAACAAUUCGAAUGGAUAAUGCCGUUGAAUUUUCUUCACGUGCAUUCAAUGACUAUUGCAUGGCUAUGGGCAUUCAUUUAGAACAUUAUGUGCCAUAUGUUCAUACUCAAAAUGGUUUGGCUGAAUCUCUCAUCAAAAGAGUAAAAUUAGUUGCUCGACCCCUAUUACAGAAUUGUAAUUUACCAGCAUCUUGUUGGGCACAUGCGGUAUUACACGUCGCCGAUCUAAUACAAAUCAAACCAACUGCAUAUCAUACAACCUCCCCGAUACAGAUAGUACGUGGCACUCAGCCAAGUAUUUCCCAUCUGCGAAAAUUCGGUUGCGCAGUAUAUGUACCGAUAUCACCACCGCAACGUACAACCAUGGGCGCCCACAGAAAACUAGGGAUCUAUGUGGGUUAUAAUUCUCCGUCAAUUAUAAAAUAUCUUGAACCUCUUACAGGGGACCUAUUUACUGCCCGCUAUGCUGAUUCUAUUUUUGAUGAGGACCAUUUCCCGACAUUAGGGGGAGAAUCAAACCACAAAGAAUGCCAGGAAAUCGAUUGGAAUGUAACAGGCAUCCAGUCCUUAGAUCCACGUACUAAAGAAUCUAAAACUGAAGUUCAGAGGAUUAUAGAUUUGCAACACAUUGCAAAUAACCUGCCAGAUGCAUUUGCUGACCAUAAAGGUGUCACUAAAUCACAUAUUCCCGAUGUUAAUGCACCAGAACGAGUGGAGGUGCCAAGUAAAACCACUCAAACCCCAAAUGAGAGUAAGAGGGGGAGAAAUCUGGUUAGCCGGAAUAUAGCUUCUCAAAAGCCUCCGCGGAAACAGAGGAAAUCAAAUCCUCUACCAAUAAAUGCAAUUCAACCUCAAGUUGAAGGACACCAAUCAGAUGCUCAAAAUCUAGAACCCAGCAUAAAUGCGCAUACAAAUAUAAUAGCUGGGACAUCGGAACACCAUGACUCUAUUGUUGUGGGAAAUCACAUAGAGUCCGAAGGUAUAAAAGAAAUUUCCAUAAACUAUAUAGAAUCAGGAGAAUCAUACAACAGAGAGACUACAAUUGUCGACAUAUAUUUUGCCUCCGAAAUUGCCGAAACCCUUCAACUGGAUCUAGAACUAAAGACCGUCAGGGAGUGCCUCAAGCGUCCUGAUUGGCCUAAAUGGAAGGAAGCAAUUGAGGCAGAACUACGCUCGCUCAAUAAAAGAGAGGUAUUUUCCUCAGUAAUACCUACUCCUCAUAAUGUCUUCCCUGUGGGAGCGAAAUGGGUUUUUGUUCGGAAAAAGAAUGAAAACAAUGAGGUGGUGAGAUACAAAGCAAGGCUUGUAGCACAAGGGUUCACGCAGAGACCCGGCAUUGAUUACGAUGAUACAUACUCUCCUGUUAUGAGUGGAAUAACGUUUCGAUAUUUAAUAUCUAUGGCAGUACAAAUGAGUUUAUCUAUGCAGUUGAUGGAUGUAGUGACAGCAUACUUAUAUGGGUCACUCAAAUCGGACAUAUAUAUGAAAGUCCCUGAAGGACUUAAAAUGCCGAAUCCAAAAUCAAAUAGCAACGCAUAUUGUGUAAAAUUACAAAAUUCACUCUAUGGCUUAAAACAGUCGGGUAGAAUGUGGUAUAACCGACUAAGUGAGUUCCUUAUUCAGAAAGGCUACUCAAAUAAUGAUGAUUGCCCUUGUGUAUUUAUAAAGAAAUCCUCAAAUGGAUUUUGCAUCAUCUCUGUGUACGUUGAUGACCUCAAUAUCAUUGGGAGUACACCUGAUAUAGAAGAAGCACGCAAUCAUCUAAUGGCGGAAUUUGAGAUGAAAGAUUUGGGAAAGACCAAAUUCUGCUUAGGCUUACAGCUUGAGCACCUUCCCUCAGGAAUUUUAGUAUACCAACCUGCUUAUAUUCAAAAGGUUUUGGAGAAAUUUAAUAUGGAUAAAUCAUAUCCAACCAAGACACCCAUGGUUGUCAGAUCCCUUGAUAUGAAUAAAGAUCCUUUUAGACCUCGGGAUGAUGACGAAAUAUAUUAGCACCUGAGUUCCCAUAUCUCAGUGCCAUUGGUGCGCUAAUGUACCUUGCAAAUUGCACCAGGCCUGAUAUUGCAUUUGCGGUAAAUUUACUAGCUAGACAUAGCUCAGCUCCAACAAAACGUCAUUGGACGGGAGUAAAGAAUAUCCUUAGAUAUUUACAUGGCACAAAAGAUCUUGGUUUAUUCUAUCAGAAAAACCAAGAUAUGACUAUGGUAGGAUAUACUGACGCUGGCUAUCUAUCUGAUCCUCACAACGCCAGGUCACAGACAGGUUUUGUAUUCUUAUAUGGUGGAACUGCUUUUCCAUGGAAGUCAACAAAACAGACUCUUGUAGCAACUUUCACUAAUCAUUCUGAAAUUAUUGCAUUAUUUGAAGCAUCAAAGGAAUGUGUAUGGCUUCGCAUGAUGAUUAACCACAUUCAAACUGCAUGUGGUGUUGGUUCAUUAGGAUCACCAACUAUUAUUUAUGAAGAUAAUGCAGCUUGUGUUGCUCAAAUGCAAAUGGGUUAUAUAAAAAGUAAUAUCACAAAACACAUUUCUCCUAAGUUGUUCUAUCCUCAUGCAUUACAGAAAAAUGGAGAAAUUGGUAUUUUGCAAACUAAAUCAUGUGACAAUCUAGCAGAUUUGUUCACAAAGUCUUUACCAAAUUCAACAUUCCAGAAAUGCAUUCAUGGAAUUGGUAUGAGACGACUUCGAGAUUUGCAAAGUUUGGGGGGAGAAAUCUCCUGAAAAUAUAAUCCUUUUAGUUAUCAGCAGAUAAUGAAUAUUGUACUCUUUUCCUUUUGAGUUUUUCCAAUAGGUUUCUCAUAAGAGGUUUUUAACGAGACAAUUAAAUACAAGCGUUAAUGUAUGCCAUAUCAUAUUUCUCCUUAUAUUUUUCCUACUAGGUUUUAAAGGAGUUUUUCAUGGCACAUCUGAUUGCACUCUUUUCAUUAUGAGUUUCUUUGAAAUUUUUCUCAUGAUGUUUUUAAUGAGGCAAAUAUCUUCAUAAAGAUUAUAUGCUAUACUUUCUAUUUUUCCUAUGAAGGUUUUUAAAGGAAAGUGUCUAAAGCAUGUUUAUUGUUCUCUAACUCACUAAUAAUUUUCUCCUUCUUUGAAGGUUUUUCUCAUAUGAGUUAUCAAGAGACAAUAAUCUCUAUAUGUUGCAUCAUUUUCUCCUUAUUUUUCCCACUGGGUUUAAAGGAGUUUUAGCAACAUAUCUAUACCAUUCUCCUCAUAUUUUUUUCCCACAGGGUUUUUGGAGGAGACUCUCAAGAGAUGAAUGAUAAAUAUACAAGAAGCUUUCAAAGAUGAAUCAAAAGAAGAGACGUUGUACAAGGGGGGGUGUUGAGAACUGACAUCAACGAAGCGGCUUUAGCGAAUCGUCGUUAGGAAACGUAGUUAGCGGUCAUUAGUAUCCAAGCGUCGUACGGACGCAUCUGUCCGUACAGGCGCCUCUUUGUACAGAUGCCUUUACAAUGCGUCCCAAAUCUUGUAUAAAUAUGUGAUUCUCAAUCAAUGAAAGCAUCAGAUCAUUCGUACAAUCACUUUUAUCUUUACAAAGACGACGACGACCGGCCCCCCCUCCAGCUGGCUGAUGGGCCCUGCUGGUAAGCCCCUCAGUCGUUGACCCGGCUGACGCUGACGUGGAUAAGUGGAAGCGUAGUUCCCAGAAUACGCUUUCAGUUUUUUUGUCCAGGCCCCUGUUUGAAAAUAUUUUUCUUGCAGAAAGGUCCCUGGCAGAAAACACCUCAUAACUUUUUAUCCGUAACUCCAAAUGAGGUGAUUCCAAAGCCUACUUCUUCGUUUUGUAGAUCCCAUUCUGUUGGUUUCAUUUUGAUUAUGGUUUGACACUGUGAAAAUGACCAUUAUGCCCUUGCCCUUAUUCAGCCCCCUCCGAGAGAGAACGUUUUCCGGCGAUUCGUUCCACGAGUUUCUUGCACUUUCUCCUGCUGAUUUCUUCCACCCCAGGCAAGCCACAAUACCCACUUGCAUGAUAGUCAUGCAGUAGCCAUGGUUUUCAACUUGAAUCUUUAUUAAAUGUUUGCCUGUUGAAAAGAUGGUUAUCGUUGUUCCAGUGAUGUUUAGAUUUGCAUGUUCACUUUUGUGCUAUGUUGUCUUGUACUCUGUUAUCAUGUUCUACCCGCUAGUAUUUCCUUUCAUUUGUUUAUGCUUGCUAGUAGUAAAUGUUGAUGAUUAGUGAUGGUCUUUGGUGCAUGAUUGCCGUCUGUCCCGAUUACCGUUGUUAUGCAUGUUCCAUUGCAUCCAGUUGGUUAAAUGCUUGCACGAUGGCAUUGUUGAUAUGUUCUUGCAUGAUAUUUAUUGUUGAUGCUAGUGGUUAUGUUAUGUUUCAGACAAGUAUGUACUGGUGAUGUUCAUGCUAGUCAGUAUGCCAUGCUCAGUGGAUAUGAUUCAUUGUUGAUAUGGUGGUAGUUAUGUGAUACCGUUAUGAUUAUGUUGAUAUCAUGUUCAUGCAUUGUAAUUUGCAUCAUGUUAUUUUAUCAUGGCUCAGCAUAUUUGCAUUCAAGUUUAACCAGAUUAAAGUGAACUUGAACAACUGUUGGCUGAGUCAUGGUGCCACUGAAUCGAGCUGACCAGUGCAACCACGCUUGCCAGUAUGGGAUGGCCCUAACUGGGUUUAUUGUUGUGCCUCUCGCUGGUGCCUCCAACGAGGGAAGGUUAUGGGCGCGCGCUACCCUGAUCAGGUAGGCGGACAUAAGCCUUGUGUGCCCGUUGUUGUUAUAUGGAUCCGGGUCCCUGUGUGGGAUCGUUUAUGUUUUGGCCAUGACGGUGGUCAUUGUGUCUUUGGUAGACAUGGGGCCACCCAGGACUAGCCUAGUGGGGAGUGAGUCGAAGUGGCCGGGAGAGUGUCAUGGCAGUAGGACGGUUUUGUCGGAACGCCAUUGGUCCACCCGAAUGGGAGUGCGAGGCCAUGGGUUCCAUAGUGUGGGUACAGUGUACUAACCUCUAUAGAGUGUAUAUUAAAUCUAUCGAUAGCCGCGCCCGCGGAUAAGGGCCCACUUCGUAUCGGUCACACUGUGAGUCAACAGUAUUAAUAAUAACUUGAUUAAUGACAAUCCCGGUUCGAUGAUGAGAUAAGUUGGUUGUGAUCGUCAUAAGGAUCGCGGUUUGAGGCCAAGUGUUGGUCGUGGUUGUGAUCGCCGUAAGGAUCACGGUUUGAGGCCAAGUGUUGGUCGUGGUUGUGAUCGCCAUAAGGAUCACGGUUUGAGGCCAAGUGUUCGUUGUGGUUGUGAUCGCCGGAAAAAUCACCGUUUGAGACCAAGUGUUGUUCGUGGUUGUGAUCGCUAGAAAGGUCACCGUGGUACCGAGGAUACCGAGUUGUUGGAUAUUCGUGAUGUUGUGCGAGAGUCGUGGGUAAAAAUCAAGCUCCUUGUGGUCAUUUAAUGAUCGCUACGGUAUUGUUCAUACCAAGCUUGAUUUGAUCCUGAGAUGAUCGUGUGAUGUCCGAGGUUGGUAUGUGAUGCAUGUGACGGUUACCAGGUAACCCGAGCAGAAUAAGUGGUGCAUAUAGUGUCAUCAUGUUGCAUGCUAGUAUCGUCAGAUUCAUAUGUUCAUGCCAUGCUCAUAUUAUUCUAGCUGUAUCAUGUUUAUGUUGGUCAUGCCAUGUUAUUCUGAUGAUCUCAUGAUAAUUCAUGUUUAACCUGUAAUUGCCAUGUUGUUUUGAAUGCUUCUGGUUAUUGUGAGCUGCAAGUACAUUCAAUGUACUGACCUGGUGUGUCAUGCCAGUUUGCAGGUCAUGCUGGAUUUGAUUGCUUGCUUGUCGUGGUUUCCGUUCGUGCGAGCUAGGAUAAGCGUUCCAGCCAGAGUCCCUGCGGAGUGGAGUUCACCACUGUCGUCAUGGUUCCGCUGCUAGAAGUUUUUCCGUUGCAUCGUGUUGCUCUGCUACUUGCAUAGAGCAACUGAGGAUGGCGUAGUGUCGCCGUACCGAUGUUAUUCAUUGUAAUAUUGGAGACCUUGUAAUCAUAUCCGUGUAAUAAUAGAGAGCUGAUUUGUUCUAUGCUAAGCAGUUCUGUAUUCCAGAAGACUUCUCCUCAAUCUCUAGGCUGAAAUAUGGGGCGUUCCGGUUUGUCUAAGCCGGGGUGCCACAGGCUUGCUAUUAGAGCAGGUUUGGCUGUAGGACACUCUAGUCAGCGCGAGCGGUAGAAACUGGUAGAAAUCGAUAGUAUAGAGUCGGAUUUGUUUAUUGCAUUUGGUUGCUGCAUUUGUUUGUUGCAUAGCAUGCAUAUUAGCCUUAGUAUUUGUGAUAACGGUUUAUCUGGUGAGUGUAUCUGGCAUCGGUUCGGAUCCACUACAGCUCAACCUUUGCAUUUCUCCAGUUCCUUUUUCUUUCGGUGUUUGGUGUCAUUUCUGUCCUAGCAGAGUGAUGCCAAGUGAUCCCAACACUAUUUGCAAAAAUGGUGCUCAGGUAUCGCGCCGAUGUCUUUCUUUCAGUCUCGUCUAUCGUUUCGGUGAUGGACAUGCUUCUAUCCCGAAUCGUUCUUUUAUUUUGUCGUGUUGGUAACCCUUAAUGAUCUUAGUUAUCAAGAAAGGGCAAUGUCAACAGCCUCAGUUUUUCCCCGCUAUCCUAUUUCUUGGACGAGUACGGAUCUUUUUCCGUCCGCUUGAUAAUAAUGUGGGUGCGACCUUCGUGUCCCACUACAUGAUUACCGAGUACGUCCUCGCCUCCGAGCUAGUCCAGGUUGCUACCUGACUAAGCUAGCACUUGGUGUAGCGCUGUUUACACUAAUUCUUCCACACAUUUAUUCGUCCUCGUGCACAUCGUCACAGCAUGUUAGAUCGUAGUACCGGAUAUUCCGUGAAAUUUGUGUGCUUAAGUAGGCAUGCAUAUUGUGUGACUAGCAGAAAUAUGUGACAUUGAUUGUGUGUGAAUUGAUUGUUGUUGUGUGUUUUUGUUUAGUUGAGUUUUCUUUUGCCUCUUUCUUUUUGGGCCCCGGUGUUACAUUAUUUUUCCCCUAUAAAGAAUUGCUCAUCCACCAACACCAGACUCAAAGAAGCAAUAAGGAUUUGAAAUAUUUGAAAGAAGCUCAGCUAGACAUUAUUGGCUACCCCGUCAACUGCAUUAUGGGAUUAAAAUCUGCUUAGAAUACCAAUGGUGUAUUGAGUUGAUUAUCAGCAUCGAGUCUACCUCAGUGCAAAAUCCUCACAGCAGUUAUGAUCCAGCCAGCAGAAAGACAAGUCAGGUACAAGAUCAACGGUAUAUCUCCAGACAGAGGUAUGGAUCAUAUACAAAAAUUUGGCUCAGCAAUGCAUGAUGCUUGAAAUAUGUUAUCAUCUGAAGUAAAGUCAAAAUGUGGUAUGCUCAAUAAAGAGAGUCAAACCAUUUUUCUCAUGCAAAUAAUCAGCCUCAUAAUAUUAUGGGCGUGUGUACGGAUUUCAAUCUGCAUAUCAGUAUGAAGUUUUGGGUAUAAGAAACUCAGUCCUCUUCCACACGCUAUCGGAAAAAAAAUAUGAUGCAAGGCUCCUUUUUCCUCAACAUGAUAUGUGAACCAUUUCCGGCCCAUGAUACCCAGUCUUUCUCAGCAAGAUAUCUUAGUAAAGGCUGCUGACAAACGGAAAUGAAAUUUUCUAAACAAGCAAACCCGAGGAGAAGCUUCUCAAGUACGGAACUCAGGCUUCUCCAGCACAAUAAUCAGAGCAAGCUUUGUGUGUAAGCCAUAGAGCCUUCUUCUGCACGAUACCCAAACAAAAGCUUUGAGCAGAAGUUAACAAGUCUUCCUUAGCAAGCUACUCGGAUGGCUUCUCUCAUAAGCUACCUAGUCCGCGUCAGUACCACAAUAUUGCACCAUCCUCAGAGAUUAUAUGAUGAGUUUUUGAUGUAUGGCAGUACUACUCAAGGACCAGACUUGCAAUAAUUUUUGUCAGAGGUAAAAUUCGGUCAAAACAUAUGCCUACCGCAAGGAUCGAGUGAUUGGUGGCAUAUCCUUAUUAUAUAUGGUGAGCAUGUAUCCCCAGUCAUAUCAGUAACUCAUACGUGAUGCGACAGUGAUCCAGCAGAUAUACCUAAGGAAAGUAAGGAUUCAACAACCUCCCCAGUCAGGCAAAGGAAAAAUAAGCAGAGAUACAUCUCCUAAAUUGCAAGGAUCGACAAGGUCUGGAGAUGACAUCACAGAAUCCACAGUCUUGACAGUGGUCAUCAAGGACAUUAUUUCCCCAACUGACAAGGAGAUAUUAUAAAACCUUGUCACCUUCUUGUAUGAUUGGCCUCAGCAAUGAGCUCCGUAUAGCUACAAACCCCGAAUAUAUGCCAUAUAAGUGCGAACCUAGGUCGGAAAAACAAGCACAAGGAAUAAUGCCAAAAAUAUUGCACUAAUCACAUUCAUGGCCAUACGAAGAAUCAAGGACAUGUGUGGCCAAGUUAUUUCUGUAAGGUAUCCUGACAAAGAAAAUCAUGACCGUAAAAAGGAUGAGACCGACCGCAAAGGUAUGAUGAUUUUUGCACGACCAUCAGGGUCCGGAUGCCCAAAUCAGUUGGAGGCCAUAAUUCCAUAUGGAUCCACAAAGGCAUACUCUCAGCGGCCUACUCUAUUUACAAGGAUUUUUAAUAUCCCACUGACCCGCUUGACAUGGUUAGUGUGGAAUAUCUAAGUCUGUUAUGUCAGAUCCAAGAUUCCUUUGCAACCUCGGCAAUUUGACUUCAGCGGCAGUGUUAAAGCAUAUCACAGCCUAUUACCACAGAUGGGUAUAUCAACAAAAUGAGAAAGUCAAAAGCCAAACAAUCAGCUCAGACCCGGUAUACUCACCGACGAAAUCAAGUACACGGUCAGUCGGUCAGGAAAGCAUUUGUCCGUCAGCCCCUGUCGAGCCAAUCUCAAGAUGUAAAUAUUUGAGGUAUGACACUCUAUUAUAUUGCUCAUGACAGAAGGCAGUCAAAUCUUUGGUACAUAUCUCAUGCUCGAGCCAAAGAAAUAAAUCAAGAUGAAUCAGUGCCACCUGUGAGCAGUCAGAUCCCGUCAGAAGAUGGCCAUGAUUCUCAGCAUUUAUUGAACCUAGAAGGCCUGCAUUUAUUUGAAGCAACCCCAUGGCGGAAGUAAAAAAAGUUUUCAUGACCAAGGGAAAAUUUAUACUCAUAUCCAUUGGAUAUCACCACAGAUAUGAGAAAAUUCACGUCAACAAAAAGAUUUGGUAUAUGAGCAAAGACCUGUCAGAAUUUGGGAAAGGUGAAGCAAACCACCCCAGAGCAAGAUAAGUUGAUCAUCUGAAAUUCUUGUGGGGACAAUAAAUAAAGGAACAAGGAUACCCGAGUUGGAAACGCUGUCCUCAAGUCAUACUUGUUCCCUGAGCAAUCGAAUCUCGAGGACGAGAUUUCUUUAAGGGGGUAAGAGUUGUAAUAGCUUGGAUUUUGGCCCUUUUCUUUUUCUUUUGAUUUAUUUGGUUUUUUUGCUCUGUUUUUCUUUUUGCAGUGGUUCCGUGGCCUUGCCACCUGGGAAAUCAUCCUCAUUCCCCCUCCCAAGUGGCUAAUAAUUCUCAAAACCUUGCCAAGAUCAUGUCCCUUCACUCCUUGACCAAACCCUAAAAUAUUUUUCCUAGGGAAAAUUCAUUUUUCAUUAAAGGAAUAACCCUAUCUGCCCUAGGUUCUGAAGCAACCAAUAUUUCUGUCCAUCCAAAAAAUCCCAAAUAAUUAUCAUAAUUCCUUUGGGUCAUAUAUAGCUCAAAUAUGCCCAAACAUUGCCUUGGCCAGUUCAAAAAAAUUCCCCAAUAAUUACUCUUCCUUUCUGCCCUAAAUGGCACUUUGCGAAAGAAGUGUCAUUUACAUUUCUCCUAGUGCUUCCCAACCUUUUUGGGCAUGAUUAUAUGUCCAAAUAAUUGCCCCAUGCACAAGUUCAAAUUUAUUUGCCUAGCCAAUCUUCCUUAGUGAAUUUUCAAAGUUUCUGUCAGAUAGAAGGCUUUAUGAAGGAAGUACUAGAUAGGAGUACCCAAAUGAUUUGAAAUUUUGCAGACUCCUUAAUGUGCUCAUAUUAAUCCUCUCCACCCAUUUGCAGCCCCAUAAAAUCAUCUAUGUGAGCACAGGAGCAAAUCUUUGAUUCUGGCAAUAUUUUCAGGUUGUGAAGCAAGUGCAUUUUAUAUUGCUUCAAAAAUCCUAAUAAAUUACCAGAUCAUUGUUAUACCCAUAAAACAUCUGUCCACCCAAUUUGGCAUCAUUUCAAUAAGCCAUUUGAUCACCAAAAUUAUUCCAAGUUUCAGGACAGAAAUGAUGUUUGUGAAUCAAGUGCCAUUUUUGCUUGUCCAUUUGGCAUGAUCUUUUUACAUCAUCAUCAUAUGUCCAAUUGAUCAAGCUUUGCCCAAUCUUAGCCCAAGUUGACACUCUAUGUGAGUGCACCAUCAUGAUCUAGUUUCUGGACCAUUUUGGUCAGUUGUGAAGCAACUGCAGUAAAUCUUGGUCUAUUUCCCCUAAAAACCUCCAGGAUGAAAGUCCUUCUUACCGUAAACCUCCCAGAAAAAUUAUUUACUGAGUUACCUAGCUGGUGUCCCCACUGCACAGCACAAACACUUGGCUACUGGUUUAGUUUGGAGCUAAGUGCAAAACUCUUCUUUGCCCCUGGAGCGAUUUGUUUCCCUAUUUAUACUAAGGUCACUAGGGCCAUUCCAGUGGACAUGGUAGGCCCAGCCAGAAUGCGCCAUUUGCACCAGAGCCCGUGGUGAUCACGAUGGCGUCACACACAUUUCGUGCUCUGGCUAGUUCUUGCCACUUUGCUCGUCUCCUCCCUCCUCGUCUUGACCCCCAACCAUGUCUAGUAGCUGCCCCGUGAGCCUCUGCAUCGCCCUGCGCCUCUACCUUGUCGCCGUUCGCCAUAAAUGAGUCGCUAGCUCCACGUCCGUGCCACGUCCAGCCUCUACCCGCCAUUAAAGCUUGGUCGGGAGCUCGUCCUCGGGCCCUAGAGCCCUCCUCCGCGACUAUAUAAGGACCCCCGAACCCCUCCGCACCUCACCAGCCUCUCCGCAAGCCUCCUCGACCACCGGAGUCGCCCAAUCUCGCCAUUUUCUUCUUCGGCCACCGCGGCCACCACCGGAGUUCAUCUCCGUUCCGGCCACCGCAGGCCCCCUCUCCUCCUUCCAAGCCCUCCACUAGCUUCCCCUCGUUCCACUCAGCCGCCCCACCCCCUUGCCCCUUCCCGGAGUACCCCGCAUCACCGAGAGCCCCCGCCGCCCGAAGCUCUCUGUAGUCUUCCAUCACCGCGGCCUCCCCUCCAUUCUGCUCCUCCCAGGCGCCGGUUCUUCCUCUCACUGGACACGGCGUGGUUCUAUGGUCCCGCCGGUGUCCUCAGAUCAGCCGGAGCCCGCCGGAUCAGCCUGCGCCAUCGCCGCCCGUCCGCCCCUAUCUCCUCCUAUCGUCGCGCGCCGCCGCGACCUCGGACCUCCCUGACGCCUGCUAGCCUCCGGGAUGGAUGCGGGAGGCCAGGCCGCAGCCGCCGGUGGUUGCCGNNNNNNNNNNNNNNNNNNNNNNNNNNNNNNNNNNNNNNNNNNNNNNNNNNNNNNNNNNNNNNNNNNNNNNNNNNNNNNNNNNNNNNNNNNNNNNNNNNNNNNNNNNNNNNNNNNNNNNNNNNNNNNNNNNNNNNNNNNNNNNNNNNNNNNNNNNNNNNNNNNNNNNNNNNNNNNNNNNNNNNNNNNNNNNNNNNNNNNNNNNNNNNNNNNNNNNNNNNNNNNNNNNNNNNNNNNNNNNNNNNNNNNNNNNNNNNNNNNNNNNNNNNNNNNNNNNNNNNNNNNNNNNNNNNNNNNNNNNNNNNNNNNNNNNNNNNNNNNNNNNNNNNNNNNNNNNNNNNNNNNGCUAACACUGACGUGGAUAAGUGGAAGUGUAGUUACCAGAAUACGCUUUCAGGUUUUCUAUCCAGGCCCCUGUUUGAAAAUAUUUUUCUUGCAGAAAGGUCCCUAGCAGAAAACACCUCAUAACUUUUUAUCCGUAACUCCAAAUGAGGUGAUUCCAAAGCCUACUUCUUUGUUUCAUCAAGCCUGUUCUGUUGGUUUCAUUUUCACUAUGGUUUGACACAGUGAAAAUGACCAUUAUGCCCUUGCCCUUAUUCAGCCCCCUCCGAGAGAGAAUGUUUUCCGGCGAUUUGUUCCGCGAGUUUCUCGCACUUUCUCGCGGUGAUUUCUUCCACCCCAGGCAAGCCACAAUACCCACUUGCAUGAUAGUCAUGCAGUAGCCAUGGUUUUCAACUUGAAUCUUUAUUAAAUGUUUGCUUGUUGAAAAGAUGGUUAUCGUUGUUCCGGUGAUGUUUAGAUUUGCAUGUUCACUUGUGUGCUAUGUUGUCUUGUACUCUGUUAUCAUGUUCUACCUGCUAGUAUUUCCUUUCAUAUGUUUAUGCUUGCUAGUAGUAAAUGUUGAUGAUUGGUGAUGGUCUUCGGUGCAUGACUGCCGUCUGUCCCGAGUACCGUUGUUAUGCAUGUUCCAUUGCAUCCAGUUGGUUAAAUGCUUGCACGAUGGCAUUGUUGAUAUGUUAUUGCUUGAUAUUUAUUGUUGAUGCUAGUGGUCAUGUUAUGUUUCGGACAAGUAUGUACUGGUGAUGUUCAUGCUAGUCAGUAUGCCAUGCUCAGUGGAUAUGAUUCAUUGUUGAUAUGGUGGAUAGUUAUGUGAUACCGUUAUGAUUAUGUUGAUAUCUUGUUCAUGCAUUGUAAUUUGCAGCAUGUUGUUCUAUCAUGGCUCAGCAUAUUUGCAUUCAAGUUUAACCGGAUUAAAGUGAACUUGAACAACUGUUGGUUGAGUCAUGGUGCCACUGAAUUGAGCUGACCUGUGCAACCAUGCUUGCCGGUAUAGGACGGCCCUAACUGGGUCUAUUGUUGUGCCUCUCGCCGGUGCCUCCAACGAGGGAAGGUUAUGGGCACGCGCUACCCUGAUCAGGUAGGCGGACAUAAGCCUUUUGUGUUCGUUGUUGUUAUAUGGAUCUGGUUCCCCGUGUGGGAUCGUUUAUGUUUUGGCCACGACGGUGGUCGUUGUGUCUUUGGUAGACACGGGGCCACCCAGGACUAGCCCAGUGGGGAGUGAGCCGGAGUGGCUGGGAGAGUGUCACGACAGUAGGACGGUUUUGUCAGAACACCGUUGGUCCACCCGGGAGUGUGAGGCCAUGGGUUCCGUAGUGUGGGUACAAUGUACUAAUCUCUGCAGAGUGUAUAUUAAAUCUAUCGAUAGCCGCGCCCGCGGAUAAGGGCCCACUUCGUGUCGGUCACACUGUGAGUCAACUGUAUUAAUAAUAACUUGAUUAAUGGCAAUCCUGAUUCGAUGAUGAGAUAAGUUGGUUGUGAUCGCCGUAAGGAUCACGGUUUGAGGCCAAGUGUUGGUCGUGGUUGUGAUCGCCGUAAAAAUCACGGUUUGAGGCCAAGUGUUGGUCGUGGUUGUGAUCGCCGUAAGGAUCACGGUUUGUGGCCAAGUGUUGGUCGUGGUUGUGAUCACCGGAAAGAUCACCGUUUGAGACCAAGUGUUGGUCGUGGUUGUGAUCGCCGGAAAGGUCACCGUGGUAUCGAGGAUACCGAGUUGUUGGAUAUUCGUGAUGUUGUGCGAGAGUCGUGGGUAAAAAUCAAGCUCCUUGUGGUCAUUUAAUGAUCGCUACGGUAUUGUUCAUACCAAGCUUGAUUUGAUCCUGAGAUGAUCGUGUGAUGUCCGAGGUUGGUAAGUGAUGCAUGUGACGGUUACCAGGUAACCCGAGCAGAAUAAGUGGUGCAUAUAGUGUCAUCAUGUUGCAUGCUAGUAUCGUCAGAUUCAUAUGUUCAUGCCAUGCUCAUAUUGUUCUAGCUGUAUCAUGUUUAUGUUGGUCAUGCCAUGUUAUUCUGAUGAUCUCAUGAUAAUUCCUGUUUAACUUGUAAUUGCCAUGAUGUUUUGAAUGCUUCUGGUUAUUGUGACCUUGCAAGUACAUUCAAUGAAUUGACCUGGCGUGUCAUGCCAGUUUGCAGGUCAUGCCGGAUUUGAUUGCUUGUUUGUCGUGGUUUCCGUUAGUGCGAGCUAGGAUAAGCGUUCCAGCCAGAGUCCCUGCGGAGUGGAGUUCACCACCGUCGUCAUUGUUCCGCUGCUAGAAGUUUUUCCGCUGCAUCGUGUUGCUCUGCUGCUUGCAUAGAGCAACUGAGGAUGGCAUAGUGUCGCCGUACCGCUAUUAUUCAUUGUAAUACUGGAGACCUUGUAAUCAUAUCCGCGUAAUAACAGAGAGUUGAUUUGUUCUAUGCUAAGCAGUUCCGUAUUCCAAAAGACUUCUCCUCGAUCUAUGGGCUGGAAUACGGGGCAUUCCGGUUUCUCUGAGCCAGUGUGCCACACGCAUUUUGUGGCAGUGGCAAACAGAUCAUAGGCCAUAUAAAGCACCAUUAAAACUAAACACAUCUUUGGUCGUGGCACCUAGGAGUAUUUUAGAAGCAGGCCGGUUUGUUAGUUUCAGCUUAGAUGUGCAUGAAUUUACCUGUUGAUUCUUUCUCAUCUUGCACAAUUAUUAAAAAAACACUCAUUUGCAUGCAACAAGACACAUGAGAUAUAGUUUAAUUGGCUUCUUUCGCCCCAUACAGACGCAUCUUGGGGCUUAUUGGUUUCUAGCCACACUUUACCACACCUCACCUUAGGCAAGUUUGACCAAGUUAGGUGGGUGUUUGGUUCUAGCCACACAUAAGGCAAGAAUUCUUUUGUGAGCAGUGAACCCCACAUAUCAUAGACACAAAAAGUGUGGCAAGAUUCCCUUAGGCAAGCCAAAGUGUAGCUAUCAAUUUGAGCAACUCAAGUUAAUCAAGUGUGGGAAAAUAUAGUGGCAAUAUAAGGCAAACAUAGUCACAAUCCAAACUGAACCAUAAAGCAAAUUUUCAUCAGGUGAAAAAUAGUCGUCCAGAUAAAUUCAUCAUUGUACAAGUAGGUGAAGAAAUAAAAAUAGGAAAAGUAGGAAGGAAACAAAGUGUUGGUCCGCCUCAACAGUCUUACUUAUUACUCCUUGUAGGGUCGAGGACGUGCCCCGCAAAGACAACUGCUCCGGUCGCCUCCUCCACUAUGUACUCCCUCCGUUCCAAAAUAGAUGACCCAACUUUAUACUAACUUUAGUAUAAAGUUGGGUCAUCUAUUUUGAAACGGAGGGAGUAGUAGGCAAAUGGAUGGUCGGCGAUGAAAUCCACAUGUGGAGGUGUUGGAGGUGAUGGCAUUGUGCAUCCAAGACCCUGGACGACCAUGGUGACAGCGGCGGCUUCAGUCCCUUCCUCGUUUACCUCGACGAUGGCCUUGUGAAUGACAUCAUCCACCACUAUCGGCAAGCCAGAGCCAUCAUCCUCCACCAUGUCCGACAGGUUGCCCUGCUGGCAAAACGAGAGCUCAAGCCCAAGCUUCUUGAGGACGGCGGCAAUGCUGCUGUGGAAGGACAACUUGAACUUUAGUAUCCGGAACUCGUGGAGGGCGAUUCUCUGCUCCGGCAGGUGGUCGUGCAGGAACCCAGGCUGGGAUGCCAUCGUGUCCAGCAGCCCCCACGGGACGUCAUGGGCGUCCUGGAGGAAGAUGCACAUGGAGAACUGCAUGUACCCGGUAUGAUCGGAGCUAGAGUGCGCCCAUGAAGCAGCACCCUGGGAUGGGUAGGCAUUGCCUGUCCAUGGAUCAGGCGCGUAGCUAUUGCAAAAUGCAUUAUGGCGGGGGAAAUAUGGGUUACGAGGGUGGCCAAUCAGACCAACACGACCAAAUGGAACCUGGAGGGCAUAUGAUGGAUUAGGAAGGUAGCCAAACCGACCAAGUGCGCCAUAUGGAUAUGGCCUAGGAUGGGCGCACGAAGAGAAGGUGAUGCCGGCCCAGGGAGGAGGAUCCUGACGAUGGUGACGGAAGUAUGGUGAGGGUCCGGUGGGAAGAUAAUUUGGAGACGGACCCCCAUCGUUGUAAGCAGCACUCACAUGGCGAUGGGCGUAGGGAGCACCAUGGCCAUGGGCGCCAUGGUCACCAUGGCCCAAAGGAGGAAGAGGCGCAUGUUCCAGUGUCGUGCCCUCAUGAUCUAGCUCCUCCAUCUUGUACCGGAGUUUGAGGACCUUGAACCCAUCGUGGACGGCGACGAACAAUGACUUAAAGCUCUGCAUGAAGGGCACGUUAACUUGGAUGCGGUCGAGCCAGCGGAAGGGUUUGUGCGCGGUGUGCCUCCUGUUUUUUUAGAAAAGGGGGAGAUCCCCGGCCUCUGCAUCAGAAUGAUGCAUACAGCCACAUUUAUUAAAAAGCAAAUAAGUUCAACAUAGGUCCUCAAGUCUCAGCAUGAAUGAAACAAAAAAGCUCACAAAGAGCAUGAUGGUGAAAAUAAAGCCACAACUGGCUGGCAAAAGAAAGAUAGGAAAACUAAUUGCCUAUCCUAUUACAUGACCGCCAUCCAAACCGGUUGAAUAUAGCCCGAGCUACCAUCUCCCAUAGGAUAGAUCCAGUAACUAAACGCUCCUUGGCCUCCGUCUGAGUGAGUAGCGACCACAUACGGAUCAACACAGUGGCUCGGAAGAUAACCUGCAAAAAAUGAGUAUUUGUUGUUCUGUUAAAAACCAAAUCAUUCCUGCAGUUCCAGACUGCCCACAGUAAAGCACAUACUCCUACACGAAUGUGUCUUGCUGUUUCAAAAUCUAUCCCAUCAAGCCACGUCCCAAAUAACGUGUUGAUAUUAUUCGGAGGAGUAAUAUUAAAAGCAAUGUGUACAGUCCACCAUAAAAUUUUCGCCAUCAGACGGUCAAGAAAGAGGUGUUUGAUGGUCUCAUCCUGGUCACAAAAACUACAUCUAGAACCAGCCCAGUUGCGUUUUGCCAAAUUGUCCUUAGUUAAAAUGACUUGUUUGUGUACAAACCACAUAAACACAUUAACCCUCAAAGGUACUUUGACAUUCCAAACAUGUUUCAAUCUAGGAAUAGACCUAGAGUUGAUAACAUCCAGAUACAUGGAUUUAACUACAAACUCUCCAUUCCUGGUUAGUUUCCAGCACAACUGGUCUGGGAGCUCAGAAAGCUGCACGCCCAUCAGUCUUCUUACUAGAUGGAGCCAGGCUUCCCAACGGGCACCGGCAAGUGUUCUCCUGAAAUGAAAUAUUAAGAGGAGUGGACUGAAGCACAGUUGCAACGAAAGCGUCUCUUCGUUCAACAAUGCUAUACAGUGAAGGAUACUGAAGCGCGAGGGGUGUUUCCCCUAGCCAUGUAUCCUCCCAGAAUCUCGUAGAUGUACCAUUUCCGACUUUAAACUUUGUCCUGUUGAAAAAGACUGAUUUAACUCUCAUCAGACCUUUCCAAAAAGGCGAGUCCGUCGGCCUCACUGUCACCUGGGACAAAGUUUUGGAAUGAAGAUACUUAUUACGCAGAAUCUGCACCCACGUGGCCUUCGACUCUACAGAUAGCUUAUACAGCCACUUGCUGAGAAGACAUCUGUUUUUUACCUCAAGAUUUUCAAUACCUAGACCCCCUUGGUCUUUUGGUCAACAAAUUAUAUCCCAUUUAGCGAGUCGAUACUUUCUUUUCAGGUCAUCACUCUGCCAGAAGAACCGGGAUCGAUAGAAAUCUAGUCUUUUCCGAACUCCAACUAGCACCUCGAAAAAAGACAAUAGAAACAUAGACAUGCUCGUGAAUACCAAAUUAAUGAGAAUUAAUUGGCCCCCAUAUGACAUCAGCUUGCCCUUUUAUCAACUCAGUUUCUUUUCAAAUCGAUCCUCAAUACACUUCCAUUCUCUAUUUGUUAGCUGGUGAAUUGGUAUACCCAAAUACAUGAAAGGUAAAGCCCCCCAGUUCAUAGCCGAACAAUUGUUUGUACGCCUCUUGUUCCUCUUUGGCUCUUCUGAAGCAGAACAAUUCGCUUUUGUGAAAGUUAAUUUUUAACCCGGUCAAUUGUUCGAAUAAGCAUAACACCAGCUUCAUGUUUCUCGCUUUUGCCAAUUCAUGCUCCAUGAAUAUAAUAGUAUCAUCAGCGUACUAUAGGAUAGACACCCCUCCAUCAACUAUAUGAGGUACUAGUCCACCUACUUGACCAGCAUCCUUUGCCCUUCCUAUUAGAAUUGUCAACAUGUCAACUACAAUGUUGAACAGACUAGGUGACAUUGGAUCUCCUUGUCUGAGGCCCUUAUGUGUUUGGAAGUAGUGACCUAUGUUGUCAUUCACUUUGAUUCCAACACUCCCUUUUUGCGUGAAAGAUUCAACCUGGUGUCUCCAGGCCUGAUCAAAACCUUUCAUGCGCAAUGCUUGUUGCAGAAAGGGCCAUUUGACUUUGUCAUACACUUUUUUGAAAUCCACUUUGAAAACAACCCCAUCUAGUUUUUUCGUAUGGAUUUCAUGGAGCGUUUCAUGAAGGACCACAACUCCUUCCAGGAUGUUCUGUCCGUCAUGAAAGCAGUUUGGGUCGGCUGCACCACAGAGUGCACAAUCUGUGUGAGUAUUAGUCCCAACCUUGGUAAAAAAUUUGAAACUAACAUUAAGAAGACAGAUAGGCCUGAACUGCUCAAUUCUCACAGCCUCUAUUUUCUUCAGAAGCAAAGCUAUAGUUCCAAAAUCCAGGUGAAACAGGUGAAGCUGUCCGACGAAUAGAUCAUGGAACAUCGAUAACAAAUCCCCUUUAAUUAUGUGCCAGCAUUUUUUAUAAAACUCCGCCGGAAAUCCAUCCGACCCUGGAGCUUUACUAUUCUUCAUCUGUGAAAUAGCUUCAAACACCUCUUUCUCCGGAAAAGGGGCGGCUAACACAUCAUUCUCCUCCGCAGCCAGCUGAGGAACAUCCUCAAUUCGAGACUCAUCCAAGGACACAAAAUUAUCCUUUGGAGGUCCAAAAAGCUGCUUGUAGUAAUUGGUUAUGUAUAAUUUUAGGUUUUCAUGUCCUAAACUCAUCCCCUCGUCUUGCUCAAGCUAAAGAUUCUUUUAUUUCUAUGCUUGCCAUUGGCGGUCAUAUGAAAGAAUUGAGUGUUGGAAUCCCCUUGGACAACUUUGCGAACCUUAGCUCGCAAUUCCCACUUCAACUCCUCUUCUCGCAGAAGUUCUUUUAGUCGCAUCUCCGCGUCUACUUUAGCGUGGAGCUCCGAGGUUUCUAAAUUGUGGACUUGGCUUUCAAAUCUAGGGCCUGAAUAAGUGUAUGGAGCCUCCUGUUGAAUGGCUGGCCCUCCCACUUGCCCUUGAAGUACAUGGCGUUGCCGAGCAUGACCCAAGUCGUUGCCGGAUUUAUCGAUCCCAGGGGAAGGCCGGAGUCGAUGAGGUUCCUCGUCACCUAAGCCGCCCACGCAUUGAUCUGGUGGCAAGCUUCCUCUAGCGUGUCGCAGAAGUUAACGGUGCUCGCCUCGGCCUUGUACGUUCCCACGACGGCUGAGCAGAAGGCCGGCUUUGGCGGCCGCGUCAGGUCGCUCCACACGGCGCACGCGAACGCCACACGGGGGCCGCCUGAGGCCAACCUGUCAUGGGGCGUGCCCGCCGCCAUGCGAGACAUGAAGUUCUCGAGCUCGCUGCACGACCACAUGCCGAGGACGCGUAGGAUCUCGUCCAGUGUGGCGUCCCUGGCGCCGGCGGCCAAGAGCGACAGGGCUGCGUAGAUGGACAACAGUGAGAAUAUUAGGUUGUCGUUCGUCCUCCUAUCGGCGAGGCACCUCGCGAGCCCGACGGCAAGCGCUGCCAGGACGCUAGAGCCAGGAUUCCCCAUAGGCCCUACUACGUCGAACUGCGCUGGCAAGUUUUUGGUCACCGGCGAGUUUCUGGUCAUCGGCAACUCGAAUCCUCUAUCAUGUAGUCGAUGCUCGUUAAGUGCACGCCGUUGUUUCUGUUGCACAAUCCGCGUCGGGCUGUUACCAUUGCUAGGGUCGACGACAUGCCCUGCAAACAUGAUCGCGCCGAAUGCCUCCUCGACUAUGAAAUACAUGAAAGGAUGGUCGGCGAGGAAAUCCACCCUCGACUUCGGCAUCAUCAUGGGAGCACAUCCAAACUCCGCACUCAUCAUGGUGACAGUCGCAACUUCCAUUCGUAGGACCUUGAGAAGAGGUGUCUAGAGGGGGGGUGAUUAGACACUAAGUAUCAAAGUUGCAGUUUUUAACUUCUUUAAGUUUAAGUGGAGUUUAGGAACAAGUUUAACAUUCACAAUACAUAACAAGCAAGCAUGCAAAGAGUAUAUGAGCAGCGGAAAGUAAAGCAUGCAACUUGCAAGAAUGUAAAGGGAAGGGUUUUGGAGGAUUCAAACGCAAUUUGAGACACGGAUGUUUUUGUCGUGGUUCCGAUAGGUGGUGCUAUUGUACAUCCACGUUGAUGGAGACUUCAACCCACGAAGGGUAAUGGUUGCGUGAGUCCACGGAGGGCUCCACCCACGAAGGGUCCACGAAGAAGCAACCUUGUCUAUCCCACCAUGGCCGUCGCCCACGAAGGACUUGCCUCACUAGCGGUAUAUCUUCAUGAAGUAGGCGAUCCCCUUGCCCUUACAAACUCCUUGGUUCCACUCCACAAUCUUGUCGGAGGCUCCCAAGUGACACCUAGCCAAUCUAGGAGACACCACUCUCCAAGAAGUAACAAAUGGUGCGUUGAUGAUGAACUCCUUGCUCUUGUGCUUAAAAUGAUAGUCUCCCCAACACUCAACUCUCUCUCAUAGGAUUUGGAUCUGGUGGAAAGAAUAUUUGAGUGGAAAGCAACUUGGGGAAGGCUAGAGAUCAAGAUUCAUAUGGUAGGAAUGGAAUAUCUUGGCCUCAACACAUGAGUAGGUAGUUCUCUCUCAGAACUGGUAAGUUGGAAGUGUAGGUUUGUUCUGAUGGCUCUCUCCACGAAUGAAUAGGAGGUGGAGGGGUAUAUAUAGCCUCCACAAAAAAUCUAACUGUUACACACAAUUUACCAAACUCGGUGGGACCGAAUCAACAAACUCAGUUGGACCGAUUUAGUAAAUCUAGUGACCGUUAGGGUUUUCGGUGGGACCGACAUGCAACUCGGUAGGACCAAUAUGGUUACGGUUAGGGCAUAACGUAAUCUCGGUGAGAUCGAUUACACAAACUCGGUGAGACUGGUUUUGGUAAUUACCUAACCAGAGAGUUGGUCAGGCAAACUCGGUGGGACCGAUUACUCAAACUCGGUGGGACCGAUUUUGGUAAUAAGUUAACCAGAGAGUUUGCAUUGUAAUCUUGGUAGUACCAAUUGCUCAAACUCGGUGAGACCAAUUUUGGUAAUGGACAUACACAGAGAGAUUACAAUCCCAUCUCGGUGAGACCGAGAUCCCUAUCGGUGAGACCGAUUUGUCUAGGGUUUGUGGCAGUGGCUAAGACAUUUGAACUUGGUGGCGCCGGAUAGAAAGAAUCGGUGGGGCUGAGUUUGACUUUAGGUUUAGGUCAUAUGUGUGGAAGUGGGAAAGUAGUUGAGAGUUUUGGAGCAUAUCACUAAGCACUGUGGAGCAAGAAUCUCAUUAAGCAACACCUCAUCCCUUCUUGAUAGUAUUGGCUUUUCCUAUAGACUCAAUGUGAUCUUGGAUCACUAAAAUGUAAAAUGAAGAGUCUUGAGCUUGAAGGUUGAGCCAAUCCUUUGUCCUUAGCAUCUAGAAGGAGUUCCCACAUCCUUUAGUCCAUGCCACUCCAUUGUUGAACUUAUCUGAAACAUACUAGAUAAAAGUGUUAGUCCAACAAGAGAUAUGUUGACAUUAAUUACCAAAACCACCUAGGGAGCACUUGUGCUUUCAAUCUCCCCCUUUUUGGUAAUUGAUGACAACAUACAUCAAAGCUUUAGAUAAAGAUAUAAAGAAUAGCAAGUAAAGCUUUGGAAAGACAUGUAACAAGCAUAGGCUCCCCCUACAUGUAUGCAAUCAUGUGAAUAUGGAAUAUAGAAGCAUGUGAGAGCAUAACCAUGAUAGAGUAGGCAAUGUGUUACAUGUAUCUUGGCCAUAUGCAUCAAAGCAAAGAAUAUUAAAGAAAAUACCUUCAUGCCCAUGAGUCCUUCUUGCAAACAGUAUGUACAUCAGCAAGAAUUCCUCAUACACAUGAUUGUGAUGCAUAUACUUACCUUGUAGUCUUGAGUUGGCUUAGGAUGGAAUGAACCUGCGUAAACAAGGUUAGAUAACACAGGUACAUCUACUAACCAGAGCAAACAGAAGAAACCACAAGAAUACCAAGGCUGGGAUGACAUGUAGAGAGUGAGUACUAAGUACCACAUUGGAUUAGACAUGUCCCCAAGAGUAAAGAUAUGCAAUGAAUUUAAAUGAUUUCUUUCCCUUAGAUGUCUUGCUCCCCCUGAAUCUAGCAUGGGAUACUGGGAGAAGAUAGGGAACAGAAAAUCAGAGCUGAAAGAUAUAAAUGAAAAGAGCUAAUGCAAAUAAGCACAUAUGAACAUGUCUUUCCCCUCAAGAAGACAUGUGGCAUCUAUCCUCUUGAACACCAAGCAUCUGGGAUCCUUGAGAAAUACUUUCUACUUGAGUAUUCUCUCCCCCUGGAGAUCUCUUUCUCCCCCUGUGGAAGUAAUGCUCUCUCCCUUUUGGAAGUAAUAAGCUUUGAUGUGAUCUCUCUCUCCCCCUUUGACAUCAAUUUCCAAGAAGGGUUUGAUCCUUGAGUCACAACACAAAGCAUUUAUAUAAAUGUGAUGCUUGUAGAGGACAAGAUUCAUUGAGUGGAGGUGGAUCAGAAGAAACACAGAAUAAGUGGCAAACUGUUUUUUCCUGUUGUGAAAUCGGUGGCACCGAGUGGUAUGCUUCAGUUGUACCGAAAGGAUUCAGUUGGACCGAAAACAGCAAAUCAGUGAAACCGAGUUCAUCGCAGAGAAAACACUUGUCACCUCAGCUCACUAGACUAGUAAGAUCUCACAAAGAUUUGCAAGGAAUUUACUGAAUGAUAUGCAAUGAAUUGGAUGCAGAAAAUGCAGAGCAAACGGAAAGAAAUCUAGAUGAAUUUUUUUUUGAAAGGGGAAAUAAAUAUGCAUGAGAAAAAUGCAAAAACACAGAAAAGAACACAAGAGAACUUCAUCUAGAGAUGGUCGGCGACAAAGUCACCUAUGUUAGAGUAUAUUGACUUAGGAGUCAAGUGAGAUCACUUGAUCAUAGGUCAUACUCAUCAUUCAAGCUCAAAAUGGGGUUGCCAUUUUUCGUUUAAGCAUCUUGAUGUAUUCACAUCUUGUCGAGUUGCUUUAGCUCAUGACUUGGAGUAAAGCUUCUCUAAGAUGGAAUAACAUACCUUGGUUGGUGGUGUUGAACAUGUAGUUGAACUUGUGUGGGUUGCUCAAGGUUGAUGUAGCUCAUCAAGAAUUGGGAGCACCACUUGGAAUUUGAGUCCAUCUACCUACAUGGGUUAGUUCUUGCAAGGAAGAGCACUUGUGUAUCCAAAAAUGACAAUCAUGAAGCUCAACAUAGAAUUUGUCAAAGGAUAUGUUCGAAUGGUUCCGUGCUUCCUUGUCUUCAACCACCAUAGUGUAGAAACUUGGUGAUGUAGAGAUUGCUCAAGAUGUGAGUAGAUCUCAAUCUCAUGGAAUUUGAUUCAACCAAGUACCUACAUGGGUUAUAUAACAUGCAAGAUGCAAAUAUAUCCAAGACAUAAGAUCUUCAUCAUAAGAGAAAUAUCAAGGAUUAGUCAUAAGCUCAUGUCUUGCAUGUGUCCAAUGGAGUUUCUACUCCAAGUUUGAAGCAUCUAUGAUGUUCAAUUCUCCUCUCAACCUGCAAAACACUUUCUCAUCAAGAGGUUUAGUGAAUAUAUCCGCUAAUUGCUUUUGGGUGCAAACAUGCUUAAGAUUAAUGUCACCCUUAGCAACAUGAUCUCGAAUGAAAUGAUGACGAACUUCAAUAUGCUUAGUUCGAGAAUGUUGUACGGGAUUAUGAACAAUUUUGAUAGCACUUUCAUUGUCACAAAGCAAUGGAACAUGUUUCACAUAUAUCCCAUAAUCUUUAAGAGUUUGGGUCAUCCAAAGUAACUGAGCACAACAUGAACCAGCGGCAAUGUAUUCCGCUUCGGCGGUGGAUAAGGAUACCGAGUUUUGUUUCUUGGAGGACCAAGACACAAGAGAUCUACCAAGAAAUUGACAAGUACCCGAAGUGGACUUUCUAUCAACCUUGUCUCCAGCAUAGUCCGAGUCGAAGUAGCCAACAAGAUCGAAAGAGGCCCUCUUAGGAUACCAAAUGCCAAAAUUUGGUGUAUGGAUUAAGUAUCUCACUAUCCUUUUCACGGCCUUAAGAUGACAUUCUUUAGGAGCAGCUUGAUAUCGUGCACACAUGCACACACUUAGCAUGAUAUCGGGACGUGAAGCACAUAGAUAUAACAAUGAACCAAUCAUAGAGCGAUAAACCUUUUGAUCAACCGGUUCACCAUCUUUGGUCAAGUCAAGAUGUCCACUAGUAGGCAUGGGUGUAGUCAUACCUUUGCAUUCUUGCAUAUUGAACUUCUUGAAUAGGUCCUUGGUGUACUUCGUUUGAGAGACAAAGGUACCUUCCUUAGUUUGCUUGAUUUGCAAACCAAGAAAAAAUUUGAGUUCACUCAUCAUAGACAUCUCAAACUUCUCCGACAUUAGCUUCCCAAACUUUUCACUAAAAUGAGGGUUAGUUGAACCAAAUAUAAUAUCAUCAACAUAGAUUUGGCACACAAAUAGUUCUCCAUUAACCCUUUUAGUAAAAAGUGUGGAAUCAAUUUUCCCAAUUUCAAAGCCUUUUUCAAUGAGGAACUUGGUCAAGCAUUUAUACCACGCUCUAGGAGCUUGUUUAAGACCAUAAAGGGCUUUGUGAAGUUUGUAGACAUGAUUUGGUUUCUUAGGAUUGACAAAGCCGGGAGGUUGCUUAACAUAAACUUCCUCCUCUAUUUCACCAUUUAGAAAAGCACUUUUAAUGUCCAUUUGGUACAAGGUGAUAUCAUGGUGAUUAGCAUAGGCAAGUAAGAUGUGAAUGGACUCAAGUCUAGCAACGGGAGCGUAAGUCUCACCAUAGUCCAUACCUUCGACUUGUGUUUAGCCUUGGGUGACGAGACGUGCUUUUUUGCGAACUACUUGUCCAUCUUCAUCUUGCUUGUUGCGAAACACCCAUUUGGUACUGAUGAUAUUGUGGUUGUUGUCGGGCUUCUCAACCAAUGUCCAAACUUGGUUCCUCUCAAAGUUGUGUAGCUCUUCAUGCGUAGCAUUUAUCCAAUCCGGAUCUUCCAAUGCUUCUUCGACCUUCAUAGGUUCAAUGCUAGAGAUGAAAGAAUAGUUUUCAAAAAAGUUAGCUAAACGAUUUUUAGAGCGAGUGAUUCUCCCGGUUUGAAUAUCAUUGUAGAUUUGCUUGAUGGGAUGGUCUUUAGCAAUUCUUGCUCGAACUCGUGAAAGCUUUUGCUUGGUUCUUGGUUGAACUUCUUCUUUAUCUUGUUCUUCUUCUUGGCCUUCUUCAUUGUUGGCGUUGGCGUUCUCUUGUCGUGGUGGAGAAGGAGGUUGUUGACGUUCAUCUUGAUGCACUUCCUCGUUUUCUUUAUCUUGGUGUGUCCCACUUGUGGAUGCUUCCGUAUCAACUCUUGGUUCACCUUGUCAUGAAGUAGAAGCUUCCACUUGGACGGACGAGGUACUCUCCUUCACCUCCGUUGGACGGACCUUGCCAAUAGACAAGUCUUGGAUUGCUUCCGAAGGAUCUUUGUCUCCUACAUCAAUUGGCAAUUGCUCUACUUGCGAGCCGUUAGAUUCAUCAAACUUCACAUCUACCGUCUCUUCAACCUUUCGGGUGAAAUUGUUGUAGACACGGUAAGUGUGAGAGUUUGAGCCAUAACCUAGUAGGAAACCUUCAUGAGACUUAGGAGCAAAUUUAGAACGACGAUGCUUAUCAAGAAUGUAGCACUUUGAGUCGAAUACUCGAAAGUAUCCAACUUGGGGUUUNNNNNNNNNNNNNNNNNNNNNNNNNNNNNNNNNNNNNNNNNNNNNNNNNNNNNNNNNNNNNNNNNNNNNNNNNNNNNNNNNNNNNNNNNNNNNNNNNNNNNNNNNNNNNNNNNNNNNNNNNNNNNNNNNNNNNNNNNNNNNNNNNNNNNNNNNNNNNNNNNNNNNNNNNNNNNNNNNNNNNNNNNNNNNNNNNNNNNNNNNNNNNNNNNNNNNNNUGCCGAGUAGCUUGUGAAGAUACAAGCGAUUUGUUGCAUGACAAGCUGUCUCAACUGCUUCUGCCCAAAAGUGCUUCGGUGUCUUGUACUCAUCAAGCAUCGUUCUCGCCAUUUUGAUGAGCGUCUGUUUCUUCCUCUCAACAACUCCAUUUUGUUGAGGUGUGUACGUAGCCGAGAACUCGUGUGAAAUCCCUUCUUCGUCAAGAAAGGUGUCCAUGUUUGCGUUCUUGAACUCUGUUCCGUUGUCGCUGCGAACCUUCUUGAUCUUCACUUCAAACUGAUUUUGAGCUUUCCCGGCGAAGUUUUUGAAGACCUUUUGGACCUGCGAUUUAUCAUCGAGAAAGAACACCCACGUAAAUCUUGAAAAAUCAUCAACUAUAACUAGACCAAAAGAAUUUCCACCGAGACUAUUGUAAGCGUUGGGACCAAAAAGAUCCAUGUGAAGUAGCUCAAGUGGCCUCCUUGUGGUCAUGAUGUUUUUCACGGGAUGCCUUCCUCCAACCUGUUUACCUGCUUGACAAGCACUGCAAAGUCUACCCUUAUCAAAUAUGACAUCGUUAACACCAAGGAUAUGAUUCCCUUUAAUAAGCUUGUCAAGGUUUCUCAUGCCAACGUGACCUAGUCGUCUAUGCCAUAACCAACCUUUUGAGGAUUUAGCAAUGAAGCAAGUUUUAGGUUGAGCCUUUUUAGAGAAAUCAACAAUGUAAAGAUCACCUCUACGUAUACCAGUAAAGACCAUUUUAUGAUUGUCUCGACGAAACACUUGGCAAUCUACUUCAGUAAAUAGGACAUUGAAACCGAAAUCAGCAAGUCUAGAUACUGAAAGUAAGUUGUAGCCAAGAGAUUCAACGAGCAUAACAUUCUGAAUGGAGCUAUCAUGUGAGAUGGCCACCUUACCGAGGCCAACCACCUUACCCUUUGAGUUGUCACCGAAAGUGACAUACUUUCAAGGACUAUCAUUUUCAGCAAGCUCACGAAACAUGUCUUUAUCUCCAGUCAUGUGAUCGGUACAUCCACUGUCAAGAACCCAUUCCUUUCCUCCUGACAUAUAUCCCCGAAGAUUUUCCAUAAGACCAAAAUGUCUCAUUGCAUCGUCAAGAUCGAAGUCACUAUCAUCAUCCUCAUCAUAGUAUCCAUGUUCAACAUCGUCAUGUGGUGGAUCAAGUCCUAGAGAGGGUAAUUCGUUAGAGUGAGUUUGACAAUGAUCUUGCUUAUGAAUUCUUAUAGCUUCGGAAAUAAUAUCACCAAUAAUUCCAACAUCUCCUUUUGCACGCAUAAGGUUUGUAAGUUCAAAUAGACGAUCACCAAACAUAGGAUCACUAGUAUUCAUCUUACUCAAGGCAAUAGACUUAUGGAGAAUUUCAUCUAGAUUUUUCAAGGAAUAAUUUGGAAAGCAUUCCUCAAGAAAUUUCCAUAUAGUGUAGGCACACUCAAGAGUAGGCAAGUUUCUAAUUAAGUUUCUAGGAAAGCCUCUAGUGAUAAGAUUAACAGUUCUAAUAUUCCUAAUCAUGUCAAUUGACUCAUCAAGAGUAGGAUGCAUAGGAUCAACAUGAGGUGCACAAGGGCUAGCAAUGUACUUGUUCAAAUGAUAUUGAUUGAAAAUUACAAGCAUCUCAUUUUUCCACUCAUGAAAAUACUCUCCAUCAAGUAUAGGCACUCUAUGCCUAAGACUCCCCAAAGUAGACUCAUCCAUCUUCCUCCAAUGGUGAUUAAACCAAGGCAACGGAGACCAAUGCUCUGAUACCACUUGUAGGACCUUGAGAAGACAUGUCUAGAGGGGGGGUGAUUAGACACUAAGUAUCAACGUUGCAGUUUUUAACUUCUUUAAGUUUAAGUGGAGUUUAGGCACAAGUUUAACAUUCACAAUACAUAACAAGCAAGCAUGCAAAGAGUAUAUGAGCAGCGGAAAGUAAAGCAUGCAACUUGCAAGAAUGUAAAGGGAAGGGUUUUGGAGGAUUCAAACGCAAUUUGAGACACGGAUGUUUUUGUCGUGGUUCUGAUAGGUGGUGCUAUCGUACAUCCACAUUGAUGGAGACUUCAACCCACGAAGGGUAACGGUUGCACGAGUCCACGGAGGGCUCCACCCACGAAGGGUCCACGAAGAAGCAACCUUGUCUAUCCCACCAUGGUCAUCGCCCACGAAGGACUUGCCUCACUAGCGGUAGAUCUUCACGAAGUAGGCGAUGCCCUUGCCCUUACAAACUCCUUGGUUCAACUCCACAAUCUUGUCGGAGGCUCCAAGGUGACACCUAGCCAAUCUAGGAGACACCACUCUCCAAGAAGUAACAAAUGGUGCGUUGAUGAUGAACUCCUUGCUCUUGUGCUUCAAAUGAUAGUCUCCCCAACACUCAACUCUCUCUCAUAGGAUUUGGAUCUGGUGGAAAGAAGAUUUGAGUGGAAAGCAACUUGGGGAAGGCUAGAGAUCAAGAUUCAUAUGGUAGGAAUGGAAUAUCUUGGCCUCAGCACAUGAGUAGGUAGUUCUCUCUCAGAACUGGUAAGUUGGAAGUGUAGGUUUGUUCUGAUGGCUCUCUCCAUGAAUAAAGAGGAGGUGGAGGGGUAUAUAUAGCCUCCACACAAAAUCUAAUCGUUACACACAAUUUACCAAACUCGGUGGGACCGAAUCAACAAACUCGGUCGGACCGAUUUAGUAAAUCUAGUGACCGUUAGGGUUUUCGGUGGGACCGACAUGCAACUCGAUAGGACCGACAUGGUUAGGGUUAGGGCAUAAUGUAAUCUCGGUGAGACCGAUUACACAAACUCGGUGAGACCGAUUUUGGUAAUUAGCUAACCAGAGAGUUGGUCAGGCAAACUCGGUGGGACCGAUUACUCAAACUCGGUGGGACCGAUUUUGGUAAUAAGUUAACCAGAGAGUUUGCAUUGUAAUCUCGGUAGUACCGAUUGCUCAAACUCGGUGAGACCGAUUUUGGUAAUGGACAUACACAGAGAGAUUACAAUCCCAUCUCGGUGAGACCGAGAUCCCUAUCGGUGAGACCGAUUUGUCUAGGGUUUGUGGCAGUGGCUAAGACAUUUGAACUCGGUGGCGCCAGAUAGAAAGAAUUGAUGGGGCCGAGUUUGACUUUAGGUUUAGGUCAUAUGUGUGGAAGUGGGAAAGUAGUUGAGGGUUUUGGAGCAUAUCACUAGGCACUGUGGAGCAAGAAACUCAUUAAGCAACACCUCAUCCCUUAUUGAUAGUAUUGGCUUUUCCUAUAGACUCAAUGUGAUCUUGGAUCACUAAAAUAUAAAAUGAAGAGUCUUGAGCUUGAAGCUUGAGCCAAUCCUUUGUCCUUAGCAUCUAGAAGGAGUUCCCACAUCCUUUAGUCCAUGCCACUCCAUUGUUGAACUUAUCUGAAACAUACUAGAAAAAAGUGUUAGUCCAACAAGAGAUAUGUUGACAUUAAUUACCAAAACCACCUAGGGAGCACUUGUGCUUUCACCGUUCCUUCCUCGUUGACCUCGAUGACAGCCUUAUGGAUGACCUCUCGAAUGAUCAAAGGCAACCCAGUGCCGUCGUGCUCCACCAUGUCCGACAGAUCAGAACCCAUGCCAAACGGCAGAAUGAGCCCUAGCUGUUUCAGGACCUCAACGAGGCUGCCCGAGUAAUCAAGAUUGAACUUGGGAACCCCGAAGUCGCCGACCUUGACGGAGAUCGCCGGUAGGUGGUCGUGCACAAAGCCCAAACGGGAGGUUAUCUCGUCGACGAGACUCCGCAGGCCAUCAUACGCGUCUGGUAGGAAGAUGCACAUAGAGUAUCGUGUGGGUGGCUUGAAGCUUGUCGUAGACUCGCACGAUGUAAAUCCUCACUGCGGCAUCUUGUACGGUAGCGUGAGCACCUUGAACUCGUCGUGCAUGGCGAUGAGGUGGCGGGCGGGGUUGCGCAUGAAGGGCACAACGACGGUGGUUCCGUCGCGCCGAUGGAACGGCUGGUCCUUGGUGUCCCUCUCCUCGAAUGGUUGGGCCCACUCGCCUUUGAAGUGCAUGGCGCUCGCGAGCACGACGUCGGGUUUCCGGCCAAAGGUUCUCGGGGAUACGACGUUGUUGAUGAGGUUCUUUGUGGCCUCGGCGACCCAGGUGUUGAUGCGCUGCGCCGCUCCCGCCGGGUUCUCUCAGAGAUCCAGUGCGCGCGCCGGCGACGGCCUCGCGGUAAGCCGGCUUCAGCGGCCGCCUUUUGUCGACCCACACGCCGCGCGCGAACAUGAAGCUCGGCCCGCCAGAUCCGGACAGGUCCUGGAACGCAUCCUCCGCCAGGCGUGAGAUGGAUUCCUCGAGCUCGUCUCGGGAGGACGCGCCGAGGAGGUGGAGGACCUCGUCCAGGGUGCCCCCACGGGCGCCGGGCGCCAGGAGCGCGACGGCCGCGUAGAUGGACAGCGGCAAGAAGACGAGGUUGGUGCUGCAGAUUUCGUCGGCGAGUUGCUUGGUGAGGCGGGCGGCAAGCUCCGCCAGGCCACAGCCGGACUGCCGUGACUUGGUGGUCGGCCAGGCCAUCAUCUCUGCGGAAUCCAUCAAAGCCGCUCGCAGAAGACGUACGUAUAGUUCGUUCGGGGCGAUUUUGAUGUGCUUGUCCAGUAUAUAGACUAGCCACAAUGGUGAGUAACAUACACUAGUAACAUACACAUAUCCCUAGACUAUGUUACUACCUUCAUAGUGGGUAGUAACAUAAGUAUGGUAACAUGCAAAGCUUCAUUUAUUAGGUUAUAGACUCAUAUUGCAUUGGGACAUGUGAUGUUACAGUAACUAGCUAAGUUACUAUAACAAUCUAUUUCCUCAUUAACUCACUGCCACAUAAGCAAAUUUGCUGAGUUGGACUCGAUGUUACUGCUGAAGUUACUCCCACUCUGACUAGUCUAAUGCAGAACGCACGACGUCCGAUCCGAUUUGGAGUCGGUUGCAUACUUUCGUUCUAUUUUCAUACUAGUCAAUGCGUACUUGCAAUGCACGUUAAUUUAGAAGUAUAUUAAGUGCAUGUGGAUAUUAUUUGCGUGUUAUUAUAUGAUUAGCACGCAGGUGUUUAAAAAAAGUGUUAAAAAAGCACUAUAUUUAGCAUGAAAUUAAUUGCACGCUAAAUGAUACGUCCAUUUUGCAUCAUGCUUUUAUAUUAAUAUUUAUUGCAUUAUGGGCUGUUAUUUCACGUUAUGUCACAAUACUUAUGUCUAUUCUCUCUUGUUUUACAAGGUUUACAUGAAGAGGGAGAAUGCCAGCAGCUGGAAUUCUGGGCUGGAAAAGGAGCAAAUAUUGAAGGCCUAUUCUGUGCAACUCCAAAAGUCCUGAAACUCCACGGAAUACCUUAAAAUAAAUAAAGAAAAAUCAUCGCCAAAGAUGAAGGCCAGGGGGCCCUCUCCGACGCCCAUCUUCUCCUAUAUGAAGUCUUUCGAUGAGAAAAAAAUAGAAGGCAACCUUUCGGGAUGAGACUCCACCGCCACGAUGCGGAACCUUGGCGGAACCAAUAUAGGGCUCCGGCAGAGCUGUUCUGCCGGGGACACUUCCCUUCGGGAUGGGGAAAUCAUCACCAUCGUCAUCACCAACGCUCCUCUCAUCGGGAGAGGGCAAUCUCCAUCAACAUCUUCACCAGCACCAUCUCAUCUCUAAACCCUAGUUCAUCUCUUGUAUCCAAUUCUUGUCUUCAAGUCCGGGAUUGGUGCUAGUAGGUUGCUAGUAGUGUUGAUUACUCCUUGUAGUUGAUGCUAGUUUGUUUAUUUGGUGGAAGAUCAUAUGUUCAGAUCCUUUAUGCAUAUUAUUACCCCUCUGAUUAUGAACAUGAAUAUGCUUUGUGAGUAGUUACGUUUGUUUCUGAGGACAAGGGAGAAGUCUUGCUAUUAGUAGUCAUGUGAAUUUGGUAUUCGUUCGAUAUUUUGAUAAGAUGUAUGUUGUCUAACCUCUAGUGGUGUUAUGUGAACGUCGGCUACAUAACACUUCACCAUUAUUUGGGCCUAGAGGAAGGCAUUGGGAACUAAUAAGUAGAUGAUGGGUUGCUAGAGUGACAGAAGCUUAAACCCUAGUUUAUGUGUUGCUUCGUAAGGGGCUGAUUUGGAUCCAUAUGUUUCAUGCUAUAGUUAGGUUUACCUUAAUACUUUUGUUGUAGUUGCGGAUGCUUGCAAUAGAGGUUAAUCAUAAGUGGGAUGCUUGUCCAAGUAAGGGCAGUACCCAAGCACCGGUCCACCCACAUAUCAAAUUAUCAAAGUACCGAACGCGAAUCAUAUGAGCGUGAUGAAAACUAGCUUGACGAUAUUCCCAUGUGUCCUCGGGAGCGCUUUUCCUAUUAUAAGAGUUUGUCCAGGCUUGUCCUUUGCUACAAAAAGGAUUGGUCCAUCUUGCUGCACUUUAUUUACUUUUGUUACUUGUUGCUCGUUACAAUUUAUCCUAUCACAAAACUAUCUGUUACCACUUAUUUCAGUACUUGUAGAGAAUACCUUGCUGAAAACCGCUUAUCAUUUCCUUGUGCUCCUUGUUGGGUUCGACACUCUUACUUAUCGAAAGGACUACGAUAGACCCCCUAUACUUGUGGGUCAUAAAGACUCUUUUCUGGCGCCGUUGCCAGGGAGUGAAGCGCCUUUGGUAGGUGGAAUUUGGUAAGGAAAAAUUUAUUUAGUGUGCUGAAAUUUUCUGUCACUUGUUACUAUGGAAAGUAAUUGUCUGAGGGGCUUGUUCGGGGUAUCUUCACCCCGUCCAGUAGAGCAAAGAGUUGCUCCUCAACCUACUAAACCUACUGAACCUAUUGAAAAUGAAACUCCUUUUGAAAUUCCUUCGGGUUUGAUGGAAAAACUGCUAGCUAACACUUUUACAGGAGAUGGAACAAAGCAUCCUAAUGAACAUCUACGCUAUGUGGAUGAUGUUUGUGGACUAUUUAAGCUUGCAGUUAUACCCGAUGAUGUUGUUAAGAAGAAGGCCUUCCCUUUAUCUUUGAAGGGAGACGCAUUGACAUGGUAUAGGCUAUGUGAUGAUAUGAUAUCAUGGAACUAUAAAAGAUUGAAAUUGGAAUUUCAUCAAAAGUAUUACCCUAUGCAUCUUGUUCAUCGUGAUCUCAAUUAUAUAUAUAUAAUUUUUGGCCUCGCGAAGGAGAAAGCAUCGCUCAAGCUUGGGGGAGGCUUAAAUCAAUGUUAUAUUCAUGCCCCAAUCAUGAGCUCGCAAGAGAAGUAAUUAUGCAAAGUUUUUAUGCUCGGCUUUCUGAUAACAAUCGCACCAUGCUCGAUACUUCUUUUGCUGGCUCUUUUAUGAUGUAGCCUAUUGAAUUUAGAUGGAAUUUAUUGGAUAGAAUUAAAUGCAACUCUGAAGAUUGGGACCUCGACGAAGGUAACGAGUCAGGUAUGACACCUAAGUUUGAUUGUGUUAAAUCUUUUAUGGAUACCCAUAUUUUCCGUAAGUUUAGCACUAAAUAUGGACUUGACUCUGAGAUAGUAGCUUCUUUCUGUGAAUCUUUUGCUACUUAUGUUGAUCUCCCCAAGGAGAAGUGGUAUAAAUAUCAUCCUCCCAUAGAAGUAAAAGUAGCUGCACCUAUUAAAGUUGAAGAAAAGGCUGUCGCUUACAAUGAUCCUAUUGUUCCCACUUCUUAUGUUGAGAAACCACCUUUCCCUGUUAGAAUGAAGGAUCAUGCUAGAGCUUCAACUGUUGUUCGUAAAAGCAAUAUUAGAACUUAUAUACCUCCUGAGCAAGUCAACGUAGAACCUAAUAUUGCUAUUGUUAAAGAUCUCUUGUCUGAUAAUAUUGAUGGGCAUGUUAUUCAAUUCUCUGGUGAAACUGCUAGACUUGCUAAACCCUGUGAUAGAGAUAAACAUAGACCUGUGGUAGGCGUGCCUGUUAUUUCUGUUAAAAUAGGAGAUCAUUGUUAUCAUGACUUAUGUGAUAUGGGUGCUAGUGCUAGUGUUAUACCCAUUGACCUAUACAAAGAAAUUAUGCAUGAAAUUGCACCUGCUGAGUUAGAGGAUGUUGAUGUUACAAUUAAACUUGCCAAUAGAGAUACUAUAUCUGCAAUAGGAAUUGUUAGAGAUGUUGAAGUCUUGUGUGGAAAAACCAAAUAUCCUGCUAAUUUUCUUGUUCUUGGUUCUCCACAAGAUAGCUUUUGUCCCAUUAUAUUUGGUAGACCCUUCUUGAAUACUGUUAAUGCUAAGAUAGACUGCAAAAAGAAUGUUGUUACUAUUGGCUUGGAUGAUAUGGUUCAUGAGUUUAAUUUCUCUAAAUUUAGUAAACAACAUCGUGAGGAAGAAUUGCCUAGUAAGGAUGAAAUUAUUGGUCUUGCUUCUAUUGCCGUACCUCCUAGUGAUCCUUUAGAACACUAUUUGCUAGACCAUGAAAAUGAUAUGUUCAUGAAUGAAAGAAGGGAAAUAGAUGAAGUAUUCUUUAAACAGGAACCUAUUCUGCAACACAAUUUGCCUGUUGAAAUCCUAGGGGAUCCUCCUCCACCCAAGGGUGAUCCUGUGUUUGAGCUUAAACCGUUGCCUGAUAAUCUUAAAUAUGCUUAUCUUGAUGAAAAGAAAAUAUAUCCUGUCAUUAUUAGUGCUAACCUUUCAUAGCAUGAAGAAGAAAGAUUAUUGAAAACUCUCAAAAUGCAUCAUGCCUCUAUUGGAUAUACUCUGGAUGAUCUUAAGGGCAUCAGUCCCACUCUAUGUCAACAUAAAAUAAAUUUGGAAGCGGAUGCCAAACCAGUUUGUGAUCCUCAACGACGUUUCAAUCCUAAAAUGAAAGAAGUGGUAAGAAAGGAAAUACUCAAGCUUCUGGAGGCAGGUAUAAUUUAUCCCGUUGCUGAUAGUCAGUGGGUAAGUCCUGUCCAUUGUGUCCCUAAGAAGGGAGGUAUUACUGUCCCUAAUGAUAAAGAUGAAUUGAUUCCGCAAAGAAUUAUCACAGGUUAUAGGAUGGUAAUUGAUUUCCGCAAAUUAAAUAAGGCUACUAAGAAAGAUCAUUACCCCUUACCUUUUAUUGAUCAAAUGCUAGAAAGAUUAUGCAAACAUACACAUUAUUGCUUUCUAGAUGGUUAUUCUGGUUUCUCUCAAAUACCUGUGUCGGCUAAAGAUCAAUCAAAGACUACUUUUACAUGCCCUUUUGGUACUUUUGCUUAUAGACGUAUGCCUUUUGGUUUAUGUAAUGCACAUGCUACCUUUCAAAGAUGCAUGAUGGCUAUAUUCUCUGACUUUUGCGAGAAAAUUUGUGAGGUUUUCAUGGACGACUUUUCUGUCUAUGGUUCCUAUUUUGAUGAGUGCUUGAGCAAUCUUGCUCGAGUUUUGCAGAGAUGUGAAGAAACUAAUCUUGUCUUGAAUUGGGAAAAUGCCACUUUAUGGUUAAUGAAGGUAUUGUCUUGGGGCACAAAGUUUCUGAAAGAGGUAUUGAAGUUGAUAAAGCCAAGGUUGAUGCUAUUGAAAAGAUGCCAUGUCCCAAGGACAUCAAAGGUAUAAGAAGUUUCCUUGGUCGCGCCGGAUUCUAUAGGAGGUUCAUUAAGGACUUCUCAAAAAUCUCUCGGCCUCUGACUAAUUUAUUACAAAAAGAUGUACCAUUUGUCUUUGAUGAUGAUUGCGUAGAAGCAUUCGAAAUACUUAAGAAAGCAUUAGUCUCUGCACCUGUUGUUCAGCCACCUGAUUGGAAUUUACCCUUUGAAAUUAUGUGUGAUGCUAGUGAUUAUGCUGUAGGUGCUGUUCUAGGGCAAAGAGUUGAUAAGAAAUUAAAUGUUAUCCAUUAUGCUAGUAAGACUCUAGACAAUGCUCAAAGAAAUUAUGCUACUACCGAAAAGGAACUUUUAGCAGUUGUAUUUGCUUGUGAUAAAUUCAGACCCUAUAUUGUUGAUUCUAAAGUAACUAUUCACACAUAUCAUGCUGCUAUUAAGUAUCUUAUGGAAAAGAAAGAUGCAAAACCUAGGCUUAUUAGAUGGGUUCUCUUGCUUCAAGAAUUUGAUUUGCAUAUUGUUGAUAGAAAAGGAGCUGAGAACCCCGUUGCAGACAACUUAUCUAGGUUAGAGAAUGUUCUUGAUGACCCACUACCCAUUGAUGAUAGCUUUCCUGAUGAACAAUUAAAUGUCAUAAGCACUUCUCGUAGCACUCCAUGGUAUGCUGAUUAUGCUAAUUAUAUUGUUGCUAAAUUUAUACCACCUAGCUUCACAUACCAACAAAAGAAAAAGUUUUUCUAUGACUUGCGACAUUACUUUUGGGAUGACCCACAUCUUUAUAAAGAAGGAGUAGAUGGUGUUAUUAGACGUUGUGUACCUGAGCAUGAACAGGAAUAGAUCCUACGCAAGUGUCACUCCGAAGCUUAUGGAGGACACCACGCUGGAGAUAGAACUGCACAUAAGGUAUUGCAAUCCGGUUUUUAUUGGCCUACUCUCUUCAUGGAUGCCCGUAAGUUUGUUUUGUCUUGCGACGAAUGUCAAAGAAUUGGUAAUAUUAGUAGACGUCAAGAAAUGCCUAUGAAUUAUUCACUUGUUAUUGAACCAUUUGAUGUUUGGGGCUUUGAUUAUAUGGGACCAUUUCCUGCCUCUAAUGGAUACACACAUAUUUUAGCUGCUGUUGAUUACGUUACUAAGUGGGUAGAAGCUAUUCCAACUAGUAGUGCUGAUCAUAACACUUUCUAUUAAAAUGCUUAAGGAAGUUAUUUUUCCGAGGUUUGGAGUCCCUAGAUAUUUAAUGACCGAUGGUGGUUCACAUUUUAUUCAUGGUGCUUUCCGUAAGAUGCUUGCUAAAUAUGACGUUAAUCAUAGAAUUGCAUCCCCAUAUCACCCGCGGUCUAGUGGUCACGUAGAAUUGAGCAAUAGAGAGCUCAAAUUAAUUUUGCAAAAGACUGUCAAUAGGUCUAGGAAGAAUUGGUCCAAGAAACUGAAUGACGCGUUAUGGGCCUAUAGAACUGCAUACAAAAAUCCUAUGGGUAUGUCUCCGUAUAAAAUGGUUUAUGGAAAAGCUUGUCACUUGCCUCUCGAACUAGAACAUAAGGCAUAUUCGGCUAUUAAAGAGCUCAACUAUGAUUUCAAACUUGACGGUGAGAAGAGGUUAUUUGAUAUUAGCUCACUUGAUGAAUGGAGAACCCAAGCUUAUGAAAAUGCCAAGUUGUUCAAGGAAAAGGUUAAAAGAUGGCAUGACAAAAGGAUACAAAAGCGUGAGUUUAAUGUAGGUGAUUAUGUAUUGCUAUACAACACUCGUUUAAGAUUUUUUGCAAGAAAACUUCUCUCUAAAUGGGAAGGUCCCUACGUUAUCGAGGAGGUCUAUCGUUCCGGUGGCAUAAAAAUCAACAACUUCGUAGGCACAAAUCUGAAGGUGGUAAACGCUCAAAGGAUCAAACACUAUAUCUCAGGUAAUCCUAUAAAUGUUGAAACUAAUAUUAUUGAAACCGUAACCCCGGAGGAAUACAUAAAGGACACCUUUCAGACCAUUCCAGACUCCGAAAAGGAAUAGGUAUGUGGUACGGUAAGUAAACUGACUCCAAAACAAUUUUUAAGGCAAUAUUUCUCCGUUUUGGAAUAGUUAGAAAAAUAGAAAAAUAAGUAGCAGUCCGGGGAGGACACGCACCCUCCACAAGGGUGGAGGGCGCGCCCUACCCCCCUGGGCGCGCCCCCUACCUCGUGAGCACCUCGUGUGCCCUCCGGACUCCGUUUCCUUGCACGAUACGUAUUUUGGUCGGUAAAAAUUCAUUAUAUAUACUCCGAAAGGUUUUGACUCCCGUAUCACGCAAAUCUCCCCUGUUCUUGUUUCGAGCUGUUUUUCUGACAGGUCUAGAUCAUCAUGACGACCCCAAGUGCUUCCAAGGACAAGUUUCUUCGAGAAGGUGAUCAACCCUUACCUCGCGGAGGUGCUGCGACACCCUCAAACCAUUGAGAUGCAUGAUGGGUUGCUGCACAUCCGCGAUGUUGUGGGACCAAAUGGAACCGGAAGCGUGGAGUCGAGGCUCAAAGCAAUGGAGCAACAAGUUUUCAAGUGCCAGGGGAUGGUGGAGCGUGGAAUCAACGCCACCCACAAGAUGCUCGCGGAGUUCACCAACAACUAUGAGCCGGAUGCCAAGAAGACCGAGGAGGCCAUCUUCAAGCUACAUGAGAAGAUCGAGCACCUCCAAGCCCAAAUCUAUGAUCUGCAAAACCAAAACUGUGAAUAUGAAUAUAGAUUCAAAAGGAUGAGUUUGGCUGCAGAUUUGAGGAUUCCGGAGACUCGAUCAUCCUUCUAUGAUGGUGAGCCUAUGCCAUGGAAGGUGGACGACAAGCUUGCAUCAUCAACAACACCUCCACCGUCAACAACAAAGAAGGAGACAUAAUCACAUGGGUAUGGGCACUCCCCUUGGCAACUGCCAAGCUUGGGGGAGGUGCCCUGGUAUCGUAUCACCAUCACAACUCCUAUCUUUACCGUUUUUCUUAGUUCGAUCCUUUUAGUAGUAUCUUGAUUUAGUAGAAUGAAGUCUUGGCAUGAUCUAGUUUUGAGUUUUGCUUUAUGAUCCUUCUUUGUAAUCGAGUCCGUGAGCUAUAUAAUAAAGAUUAGUGUCGAGUCAAGGGCUUGUUUAUUUUGCCAUGAUCUUGGGUGAUUAGAAGAAAAAGAGUAAGAGAAUCAAAGAGUUCAUAUUGAUCUUAUUGAAAGUAAUGACUUCACAUAGAAAGAGUAUGAUGACUAAAGGUUGUUGGGAGUUGGCAAAUAUAGCUUUGGUCAUCGUUGCAAUUAAUAGGAAGUAAUAAGGAAAGAGAGGUUUCACAUAUAAAUAUAUUAUCAUUGACAUCUUUUAUGAUUGGGAACACUCAUUAAAAUAUGACAUGCUAAAAAGUUGAGGUUGGACAAGGAAGACAACAUAAUGAGUUAUGUUUUCUUACAUCUGAGAUAAAGUAUGUUGUCAUGGAUCUUCUACCAUGUUGAUCUUGCCUUUCCCCCUCAUGCUACCCAAAUUCUUAGCACCAAGUAGAAAUACUACUUGUGCUUCCAAAUACCCUUAAACCAGUUUUGCCAUGAGAGUCCACCAUAUCUACCUAUGGAUUGAGUAAGAUCCUUCAAGUAAGUUGUCAUCGGUGCAAGCAAUAAAAAUUGCUCUCUAAAUAUGCAUGACUUAUUAGUGCAGAGAAAUAAGCUUUGUACGAACUUGUUGUGGACGCAAUAAAAGCAAUGGACUGCAUAAUAAAGGUCCACAUACAAGGGGCAAUAUAAAGUGAUGUUCUUUUGCAUUAAGAUUUUGUGCAUCAACCCUAAACGCGCAUGACAACCUCUGCUUCCCUCUGCGAAGGGCCUAUCUUCUAUUAUUAUCAUCUACCUUAUGCAAGAGUCACGGUGAUCUUCACCUUUCUUUUUUUCAUUUUAUCCUUUGGCAAGCUCAGCAUGUUGGAAAGAACAUGACAUAUAUAUCUAGUUGGAUGUUGGGGAGCAUGAAUUAUUUAUGUUGACAUUACCCUUGAGGUAAAAGGUUGUGGGGCAAAACUAUAAGCCCCUAUCUUUCUCUGUGUCCGAUUAAAACUCCGUAACCACAAGUAUUGGGUGAGUGUUAGCAAUUAUGAAGGACUAAGUGAUAGUUGAGUAUGUGGACUUGCUUUUAAGCUCUGAUAUAGACUCUUUCCGAUGUUAUGAUAAAUUGCAAUUGCUUCAAUGACUGAGGGUAUAAUUUGUUGGUGCUCAAUAAGGUUUCUGAUUCAUACUUUGGCUUUGUGAAAAGAUCAUCACUUGAACAUAAGUAAUCAUAUGACAAAAUCUAUAUAUGUUGCUGUUAUGAAAUAAUCAUGAUGCCUUCAUGUCCGUAUUUUAUUUUUUAUCGACGCCUCUACCUCUAAACAUGAGGACAUAUUUAUUGUUAUCGGCUUUUCGCUUGAGGACAAGCGAGGUCCAAGCUUGGGGGAGUUGAUACGUCCAUUUUGCAUCAUGCUUUUAUAUCAAUAUUUAUUGCAUUAUGGGCUGUUAUUUCACGUUAUGUCACAAUACUUAUGGCUAUUCUCUCUUGUUUUACAAGGUUUACAUGAAGAGGGAGAUUGCCGGCAGCUAGAAUUCUGGGCUGGAAAAGGAGCAAAUAUUGAAGGCCUAUUAUGCGCAACUCCAAAAGUCCUGAAACUCCACGGAAUACCUUAAAAUAAAUAAAGAAAAAUCGUCGCCAAAGAUGAAGGCCAGGGGGCCCACACCCUGCUCACGAGGGUGGGGGGCGCCCCCCCUGGGCGCGCCCCCCUACCUCAUGGGCCCCAUGGUGGCUCUUCGACGCCCAUCUUCUCCUAUAUGAAGUCUUUCGAUGAGAAAAAAAUAGAAGGCAACCUUUCGGGACGAGACUCCGCCGCCACGAGGCGGAACCUUGGCAGAACCAAUCUAGGGCUCCGGCAUAGCUGUUUUGCCGGGGACACUUCCCUCCGGAAGGGGGAAAUCAUCACCAUCGUCAUCACCAACGCUCCUCUCAUCGGGAGAGGGCAAUCUCCAUCAACAUCUUCACCAGCACCAUCUCAUCUCCAAACCCUAGUUCAUCUCUUGUAUCCAAUUCUUGUCUUCAAGUCCGGGAUUGGUGCUAGUACGUUGCUAGUAGUGUUGAUUACUCCUUGUAGUUGAUGCUAGUUGGUUUAUUUGGUGGAAGAUCAUAUGUUCAGAUCCUUUAUGCAUAUUAUUACCCCUCUGAUUAUGAACAUGAAUAUGCUUUGUGAGUAGUUACGUUUGUUCCUGAGGACAAGGGAGAAGUCUUGCUAUUAGUAGUCAUGUGAAUUUGGUAUUCGUUUGAUAUUUUGAUAAGAUGUAUGUUGUCUAACCUCUAGUGGUGUUAUGUGAACGUCGACUACAUAACACUUCACCAUUAUGUGGGCCUAGAGGAAGGCAUUGGGAAGUAAUAAGUAGAUGAUGGGUUGCUAGAGUGACAGAAGCUUAAACCCUAGUUUAUGUGUUGCUUCGUAAGGGGCUGAUUUGGAUCCAUAUGUUUCAUGCUAUAGUUAGGUUUACCUUAAUACUUUUGUUGUAGUUGCGGAUGCUUGCAAUAGAGGUUAAUCAUAAGUGCGAUGCUUGUCCAAGUAAGGGCAGUACCCAAGCACCGGUCCACCCACAUAUCAAAUUAUCAAAGUACCGAACGCGAAUCAUAUGAGCGUGAUGAAAACUAGCUUGACGAUACUCCCAUGUGUCCUCGGGGGCGCUUUUCUUAUUAUAAGAGUUUGUCCAGGCUUGUCCUUUGCUACAAAAAGGAUUGGGCCAUCUUGCUGCACUUUAUUUACUUUUGUUACUUGUUGCUCGUUACAAUUUAUCCUAUCACAAAACUAUCUGUUACCACUUAUUUCAGUACUUGCAGAGAAUACCUUGCUGAAAACCGCUUAUCAUUUCCUUCUGCUCCUUGUUGGGUUCGACACUCUUACUUAUCGAAAGGACUACGAUAGAUCCCAUAUACUUGUGGGUCAUCACUAAACGUGUCGGGCGCUCGACAUUGAAGCAGUCUAGGUCGUUGGAUUGCCAUGAUUUGAUGGCCAAGAUUAAUUGGAUCUGCCCCUUUGCAUCUUUUUGUAUUGGUAUAGAUGAUGUGUUGAGUGAGGCAUUUUGUCUCUCAGAUCAUCGGCACCUGCGCUCAAUAAAAGAAUCAAAACAAAUACUACACAAAUUCACAAAUUUCCAAAAAAAAUUGGCAUGGUAGAUAAUAUGGUGCGUGAUGUCCGCUCCAAAUUUCAAAUCAUUUGGACAACUGAGUAGCUCUCGGCAAAAAAGACAAAUUUAGGGCUAUGAAAUAGUGUACUAUUCAUAUACUGUUCUGACCCAAUUUGUUUUUUUCUGAGAGCUACUAAAAUGUCCAAAUGUUCUAAAAUUUAUAGCGCACCUCAUGCACCAAAUUAUCUACCUUGCACAAAAAAUGGAUUUUGUUUUAUUUUUUUAUGAAUUGUUUCUUGAGUGGGUGCAGAUGAGACCGGGCUCAGAAUUGGAUAUUCGACUCAGUUCGAGCUAAUAUGGCAUUUCCUAUUGUGCAAUACCCAGUACAAAAUCAAGGCAAUGAGAUAAGUGGGAAUGUAUCCGUGCAACCACACUUGUGCUACCAGUCCAUCGGAUGUCGCAGAAUGUUUUAAAAAAUCUAAAAUAAAUCUAACGCGUUGACACAACAUCAAUGUAUGAUGUCACGAAAUUCCGUACAAAAAUUUGAAAUAUUUUUUGACAUACAAAAAUGACAAACUUGACAUCAAUGUGAUAGUGGGUCAAAUCUAAAGCCCAAAUUAUGUUAUGUACUAUUUAGUGUUGAAUUUGUCAUUCUUGUUUUUUGAGUUAUGUUUUGAAUUUUGAGUUGUAAUUCUGUAACAACUAGCAUUGCUGUUGUGUGAGUGCCCUGAUUUUUUCAGAAUUUUUUGAACAUUUUGAAAGCACAAUUGAGCUCGGUGCACUAGUGACACCACAAGCUCCGGUGCAUCAGAUAUUUUCCCCGAGAUAAGUAGCUUAUUACUUCCAUUUAAAUAAGGUUCUUUCUAGCACAUCUAGAUGUGUCCUGGUUAUUGCAUAUCUAAGAACAUUUUUAACUGAUCCCUUAAAAUAUAGCGGAGUAUCCGGUAGUAAACCUUAGUGGAGUAUUUAUACUUCACUAAAUUUUGGUCGGUUCUAGCCGAUCCCCUAAACUUAGUGGAGUAAAUGUAAAUUUGCAUAAAUUCAAUCUAAUUUCAACCAAAAUUUGAAUGCAUUUAAACAUAGGAAAAUGUUUCAUGACGGAGCGUCGGCCGAACCGUUCGGCCGGCCGCGUCCACGCAUGAACGCAUCCAGCAACUCGGCUAGGGACACGUAGGAUGGGGGCGCGCCCACGUGCGUCUUCUUCCUCCUUUUUCUCUUCUCUGGUCGCUCGUCUUUGUCCGUCCUUUCUCUGCCUCCUUCUCAGGCCCCGGUGCCAUGGUCAACCGCCGCUGCCUGGAGGCCUCCCAGGGCACCGUCGCCACGAGAAUCAGCCGAUCCGGCCACCCUCGGCCAGAUCCGCUUUUGGAUUCGCGCCACCGAAGCUCUGCCUACCUCGCCGGACCUGGCAACAUCGGAGCUGCAACCGUUCAUAAUGGGACUACGCCCCUCGACGCAAUUUUGCUGGAACCGGCGGGCGUCGAGGGUACAACCAUGUUGAUUUUUUGCUAUAACUCACAAGCCUCAGUUCUACAUCCUCUCGGUGCAAAAUUGCUGGAACCAGCGGACGUCGAGGUUACGACCAUGGGGAUUUUUUGCUACAACCGACGAGCAUGGGUGCUACAACCUGCAUCUCUUUUUGCUACAAACAGCCAUGACGAGACGACUUUGUUACAACCAUUGUUGGUUUUGCUACUACCGGCGAUCAUUUUUGUUGCAUCGGUGACGGUGAACGAUGUGGACACCAGCAUGGCAUGCUACAACUAGGCAAGGGGAGCUGCAACCAUGGCCAGAAGAGCUAGAACCGCAGUCCAGCAGAGCUGCAAUGGUGGUCCGGUGGAGCUGUAUUUUUUGCUUCAACCGGAAACAGGAAAGCUACAACCGGCACUCAGAUUUGCUACAAACAGGCAACCAUGGAAGCUUCCACCGGUGUGGGAUUUUUGCUGCAACCAUGGGUGGGCUUCUAGAACUGCGGCUUUUUAGGAACGAGGAUGGCGAACGGCGGCUAGCCGGUGAGGUCAUGAGCAUUGGGGGUGUUCGGGACUGGCAGGGUUUGAUUUUUCCUUUUUGUUGGGUCCAUUUUUUUGCUGCAUAAGACGGGCGGGGGCAUGGGGCACCAAUGCUCCAACUGGCGAGCAGAGGGGCGACAGUGAGCGGCGACAGCAAGGCGAGCAGUUGCGACAGCGUGGCGGGCGGUGCGAGCCGGCGGUGCUUCACGGUUGCGCAUCCAUGGCGGCCCCGACUGGCUCGCUCCUCUGUGUGUGUGUGUGUGUGUGUGUGUGUGUGUGUGUGUGUGUGUGUGUGUUGGAGGCGAGGAUAAGGUAAGAAAAAGGUAGAAGAGGAGUUGCGAUCUGACGGUCUCGCGUGGGCAGAUCCGGGCGGCUGGGGGCAGACCGGCCGAAACUUUCGGCCAGGGUGCCGGCGCCCAGUGCUGGCCCUAAACAUAAGUUUAACAUGGAUAGUCUUCACAACCGAACAUUAAACAUAAAUUUAAACUUAAACUAAACUACACUAAAAACUACUUAAAUUGAGGUAAUAACACCAGCGGUGCCUAAACUUGCCAUCGAUGUUCACUUUCGUGUCUGAACUUGAAAAAUACACCGAACUUGUUCUAUAACUUGACAGUAUGGUUCAAAUACGAUUCAAAUGACGUCUGGAUAUGUAUGUAUUGCUGACUAGACAUGCCAGCGUGGCGUGGGGCUGAAGGAAAUAUGCCCUAGAGGCAAUAACAAAGUUGUUAUUUUAUAUUUCCUUAUUCAUGAUAAAUGUUUAUUAUUCAUGCUAGAAUUGUAUUGAUCGGAAACUUAAAUACAUGUGAUACAUAAACAAAUACCGUGUCCCUAGUAAGCCUCUACUAGACUAGCUCGUUGAUCAAAUAUGGUUAAGGUUUCCUAACCAUAGGCAUGUGUUGUCAUUUGAUAACGGGAUCAUAUCAUUAGGAGAAUGAUGUGAUGGCAACACCCAUCCGUUAGCUUAUCAUAUUGAUCGUUCAGUUUAUUGCUAUUGCUUUCUUAAUGUCAAAUACAUAUUCCUUCGACUAUGAGAUUAUGCAACUCUCGGAUACCGGAGGAAUACCUUGUGUGCUAUCAAACGUCACAAUGUAACUGCGUGAUCAUAAAGAUGCUCUACAUGUAUCUCCGAAGGUGUUUGUUGAGUUGGCAUAGAUCAAGAUUAGGAUUUGUCACUUCGAGUAUCGGAGAGGUAUCUCUGGGCCCUCUCGGUAAUACACAUCUUAAGAAGCCUUGCCAGCAAAGUGACUAAUGAGUUAGUUUCAAGAUGAUGUAUUACGAAACGAGUAAAGAGACUUUCCGAUAAUGAGAUUGAACUCGGUAUGAAGAUACCGACGAUCGAAUCUCGGGCAAGUAACAUACCGAUGGACAAAGGGAAUUAUGUGUGUUGUCAUAAGGUUUGACCGAUAAAGAUAUUCGUGGAAUAUGUAGGAGCCAAUAUGAGCAUCCAGGUUCCGCUAUUGGUUAUUGGCUGGAGAGGUGUCUCGUUCAUGCCUACAUAGUUCUCGAACCCGUAGGGUCCGCACGCUUAACAUUCGUUGACGAUAUAGUGUUAUAUGAUUUGGUGACUGAAUGUUGUUCGGAGCCCCGGAUGAGAUCAUGGACAUGAUGAGGAACUCUGAAAUGGUCCAGAGAUAAAUAUUGAUAUAUAUAUAUAAUGAUAAUAUUCGGACUCCGGAAGAGUUUCGGAGUGCACCGAGUAGUUAUCGGAUCACCGGAAGGGGUUCCGGGCACCCCCGGGAAAUAUAUCGGCCAUAUGGGCCAAAAGAGGGGAGCACACCAGCCCACAAGGGGCUGGCGCGCCCCUCAUAUGGCAGCCGGCCUAGGGGAGGAAAGGAAAGGGGGGAUUCGGCCUCCCCCUUCCUCUCUCUCCCCCCUUUCCUUUCUCCCGGAAGCAAAUAUGGAAGGGGGGUGCAACCAAGGGCAGGAACCCAAGUAGGAUUCGGUCCUACUUGGGGCUCCUCCUGGCCUCUCCCCUCUCCUCCCCACCUAUAUAUAUGUGGGAGGGGGCGCCACACAUAACCACGCCAAUUGCUUAGCCGUGUGUGGCGUUCUCCUCCAUAGUUUAGUCUGUCGGUCAUAUUUUCGUAGUGCUUAGGCGAAGUCCUACGGAGAUAGCUUCACCAUCACCGUCACCAUGUUGUCGUGUUACUAGAACUCAUCCACUACUUCACCGCCUUUUUGGAUCAAGAAGGCGAGCACGUCACCGAGUUGAACGUGUGCUGAACGCGGAGGUGUCGUACGUUCGGUACUCGAACGGUUGGAUCGUGAAGAAUUUCGACUACAUCAACCGUGUUAACAAACGCUUCCGCUUUUAUAUUGAUAUUUAUUGCAUUAUGGGUUGUUAUUAAACAUUAUGGUACAAUACUUAUGCCCUUUCUCUCUUAUUUUACAAGGUUUACAUGAAAAGGGAGAAUGCCGACAGCUGGAAUUCUGGAUGAGGAAGGAGCAAAUCUGAGAGACCUAUUCUGCGCAACUCCAAAAGUCCUGAAAUUUUACAAGAAUUAUUUUGCAAUAUAUAAAAAAUAUUAGGCGAAGAAUAUAUCAAAGGGGACCCACCAGGAGGUCACAAGCCUGGGGGCUCGCCCUACCCCCCUAGGCGCGCCCCUAGGGCUUGUGGACCCCUUGGCAGGUCUUAGGUGCCCACCUUCUGCUAUAUGGAGGGUUUUGACCUUGACAAAAUUAUAAGAGAGCUUUCGGGAUGAAGCGCCGCCAUCUCGAGGCGGAACUUGGGCAGAACCAAUCUAUGGCCCCGGCGGAGCUGUUCUGCCGGGCAAACUUCCCUCCCGGAAGGGGAAAUCGAAGCAAUCGUCAUCACCAAUGAUCCUCUCAUCGAGAGGGGUCAAUCUCCAUCAACAUCUUCACCAGCACCAUCUCCUCUCAAACCCUAGUUCAUCUCUUGUAUCCGAUCUUUGUCUCAAAACCUCAGAUUGGUUCCUGUGGGUUGCUAGUAGUGUUGAUUAUUCCUUGUAGUUGAUGCUAGUUCAUUUAUUCGGUGGAAGAUCAUAUGUUCAUAUCUUUAAUGAUAUUUAUUAUUCCUCUGAUUAUGAACAUGAAUAUGUUUUGUGAGUAGUUACUUUUGUUCCUGAGGACAUGGGAAAACUCUUGUUAUGAGUAAUCAUGUGAAUUUGGUAUUCGUUUGUUAUUUUGAUGAGAUGUAUGUUGUCUUUCCUCUAGUGGUGUUAUGUGAACGUCGACUACAUGAUACUUCACCAUUGUUUGGGCCUAGGGGAAGGCAUUAGGAAGUAAUAAGUAGAUGAUGGGUUGCUAGAGUGACAGAAGCUUAAACCCUAGUUUACGUGUUGCUUCGUAAGGGGCUGAUUUGGAUCCAUAUGUUUCAUGCUAUGGUUAGAUUUAUCUUAAUUCUUCUUUCGUAGUUGUGGAUGCUUGCGAGAGGGGUUAAUCAUAAGUGGGAGGCUUGUCCAAGUAAGGACAGCACCCAAGCACCGGUCCACCCACAUAUCAAAGUAACGAACGCGAAUCAUAUGAGCAUGAUGAAGCCUAACUUGACAAUAAUUCCCAUGUGUCCUCGGGAGUGCUUUGCUUUAUAUAAGAGUUUGUCCAGGCUUUUCCUUUGCUACAAAAAAGGAUUGGGCACCUUGCUGCACUUUUGUUAUUUGUUACCCGUUACGAAUUAUCUUGUCACAAAACUAUCUGUUACCGAUAAUUUCAGUACUUGCAGAGAAUACCUUGCUGAAAACCACUUGUCAUUUGCUUCUGCUCCUCGUUGGAUUCGACACUCUUACUUAUCGAAAGGACUACAAUAGAUCCCGUAUACUUGUGGGUCAUUAAGACACACUCUCCCCCUUGUUGCUAUGCAUCUCCAUGGAUAGAUCUUGCGUGUCUGUAGAUUUUUUUUGUUUUCCAUGCAACAUUUCCCAACAGUGGCAUCCAAGCUAGGUCUAUGCGUAGAUGAUAUGCACGAGUAGAACACAAAUAGUUGUGGGUGGUGAUAGUCAUACUGCUUACCACCAAUGUCUUAUUUUGAUUCGGCGGUAUUGUGGGAUGAAGUGGCCCAGACCAACCUUACAUGUCCACGCACAUGAGACCGGUUCCACCGACUGUCAUGCAACUAGUUUUGCAUAAAGGUGGCUGGCGGGUGUUUGUUUCUCCUACUUUAGUUGAAUCAAAUUUGACUACGGUCGGUCCUUGAAGAAGGUUAAAACAGCAAACUUGAUAAAUCACCAUUGUGGUUUUUGCAUAGUUAAGAACGGUUCUUGCUAGAAGCCCGUAGCAGCCACGUAAAACUUGCAACAACAAAGUAGAGGACGUUUAACUUGUUUUUGCAGGGCAUGUUGUGAUGUGAUAUGGUCAACAUAUGAUGUGAUAUAUGUUGAUGUAUGAGAUGAUCAUGUUUUGUAAUAUCGACAACCGGCAGGAGCCUUAGGGUUGUCUCUUUAUUGUAUGAAAUGCAAGCGCCAUGUAAUUGCUUUACUUUAUCGCUAUGCUUUAGCAAUAGUUGUAGAAGAAUAGUUGGCAAGACGACCCCAACACGACGAUGGAGAUCAAGGUGUCGAGCCGGUGAUGAUGGAGAUCAUGAUGAUGCUUUGGAGAUGAAGAUCAAAAGCACAGGAGGAUGAUGGCCAUAUCAUGUCACAUAUUUUGAUUGCAUGUGAUGUUUAUCCUUUAUGCAUCUUAUUUUGCUUAGAACGGCGGUAGCAUUAUAAGAUAACCCCUUCACUAAAUUUCAAGAUAAAAGUGUUCUUAUCGAGUAUGCACUGUUGUAAGAGCAUAUUUAUCCCUAAGUGGUUUUGGUGAUUGAUGACAGUGCUUUGCAGACUAAUCGUGUGCAUUGAGCAUUUUAGAUAUCUCAUGUCUAGGUACAAGACGAUUCGGUGCCCCUUGGAGCCUAUCGAAGACGGCGGUUCUCUACGUUUCUUUUCGGUGGAUUUGAGUCGUAGGAAAUUCGUACUAUUAAGAGGUGGUCCGCUUCGGAAAGGUUAGGGUGGAAUCAACAUGUACACAUAUGUUCCUUUGCACCACCUUUCCUUCGCUUUGAUGGAGCAUCGUCCGUUUAUCCUUGUCUCUGCGAAAUGAAGGCUGCCAAAUGCUAAAGUGUCUGUGGCAUGCGGUAGUACUGCUCAAGGGAGCAGUAGUACCGCAGGGGCUUGCGUUAGUACCGCUCAAGGGAGCGGUUGUACCGCAGGUCCCAGCGGUAGUACCGCUCCUGGUGAGCGGUAGUACUGCUGCCUCCAGCCCUGAUGCUGACGCAUGGGGAAGUAUGCGCGGAUGUAAUUUUUUACUUCUGCUCCUACGCAGUAGUACCGCUCCCUGUGAGUGGUAGUACCGUGCCGGAUUUUUGCACAGCUCCCACCUUAGUGGAUGUAGCUACGGAAGCAAUUUAUUUCUUUCGUGCUUCUCCAAUGCCAGUUGAGCCCUGCCUUACGAUAGUACCAUAGGGGGGUGCGGUAGUACCGCUCCAGUGGUUCUACCGUUGUUGCCCUGUGCAAUACGUCCUCACCUGGUCACUACCGCACUAGCGGUAGUACCGCACCCUGCAGCGGUAGUACCACAACUAUAUGUAGUAGUACCGCGGCUCUGUGUGGUAGUACCGUGCCGUGCGGACUGAGAGAGGGGAUAACGGUUGGAUCUUUUCCCCUGCUAUAUAAAGGGGGUCUUCUUCCCCAGGAAAACUACCUCUUCCCUCCUUAAGCUCCAUUGUUGCUCAAACAUCCAUUUUCGCCCGAUCUCUCUCCUUAGCCAAUCAAACUUGUUGAUUUUCUAGGGGUUGGUUGAGAAGGCGCCGAUCUAUACUUUCACCAAGAGAAAUUUGAUUCCCCCCACUAAUCUAUUGCGGAUCUUGUUACUCUUGGGUGUUUGAGCACCCUAGACAGUUGAGGUCACCGCGGAGCCAUAUUCCAUUAUGGUGAAGCUUUGUGGUGUCGUUGGGAGCCUCCAAUUAAGUUGUGGAGAUAGCCCCAACCUUGUUUGUAAAGGUUCGGUCGUCGCCUUCAAGGGCACCAAUAGUGGAAUCACGGCAUCUCGCAUUGUGUGAGGGCGUGAGGAGAAAACGGUGGCCCUAGUGGCUUCUUGGGGAGCAUUGUGCCUCCACACCGCUUCAAUGAAGACGUACUUCCUCUCAAAGGGAAGGAACUUUGGUAACACAUCCUCGUCUCCACCGGCUCCACUCUUGGUUAUCUCUUACCUUUACUUGUGCAAGCUUAUAUUGUGUUGUAUCCCUUGCUUGCUUGUGUGCUUGUUGUAGUUGCAUCAUAUAGGUUGCUCACCUAAUUGCACAUCUAGACAACCUAUUUUGAUGCUAAGUUUAAUUUGGUCAAUAAAAACUAAGAUUGCUAGUUGCCAAUUCACCCCCCACCCCUCUAGUCAACCAUAUCGAUCCUUUCAACUAUGGCCAAAGUUCGUCGUCUCGAAGCACCUCGUGAUGAUCGGGUGUGAUAGACUCUACGUUCACAUAUAACGGAUGUAAGACAGUUUUACACAUGCAGCAUACUUGGGUUAAACUUGACGAGCCUAGCAUGUACAGACAUGGUCACGGAACACUGGAGACCGAAAGGUUGAACGUGAGUCAUAUAGUAGAUAUGAUCAACAUAGAGAUGUUCACCAUUGAUGACUACCCCAUCUCACGUGAUGAUCGGACAUGGGUUAGUUGAUUUGGAUCAUGUAUCACUUAGAUAACUUGAGAGAUGUCUAUUUAAGUGGGAGUUCAUUAGUAAUUUGAUUAAUUGAAGUUAAUUUAUCAUGAACUUAGUCUUAUAGUUUUUCAUAUCUAUGUUGUAGAUCAAUGGCCCGAGCUACCGUUCCCCUGAAUUUUAAUGCUUUCCUAGAGAAAACUAAGUUGAAAGAUGAUGGUAGCAACAACACGGACUGGGUCCAUAACUUCAAGAUUAUCGUCGUUGCUGCACAGAAAAAUUAUGUCCUUGAUGCACCGCUAUAUGACACACAUGCUGCAGGAGCUACUGUAGAUGUUAUGAACGUCUAGCAGGCUCGAUCUAAUCACUACUCGAUAGUUCAGUGUGCCAUGCUUUACGAUUUAGAACCGGGACUUCAAAGAUGUUUUGAACGUCAUAGAGCAUAUGAGAUGUUCCAAGAGUUGAAGUUAAUAUUUCAAGCAAAUACCCGGGUUGAGAGAUAUGAAGUCUCCAACAAGUUCUACAACUGCAAGAUGGAGGACAACAGUUCUAUUAGUGAACACAUACUCAAAAAAUUUGGGUAUCAUAACCACUUGACUCAGCUGGGAGUUGAUCUUCCAGUUGAUAGUGUUAUUGACAGAGUUCUUCAGUCACUGCCACCAAGCUACAAAGGCUUCAUGAUGAACUAUAAUAUGCAAGGGAUCAAUAAACGAUUCCUGGGCUCUUCGCAAUGCCUUAAGGCCGCAGAGGUAGAAAUCAAGAAGGAGCAAGUGUUGAUGGUUAACAAGACCACUAGUUUCAAGAAAAAGGGCAAGGGAAAGAAAGGGAACUUCAAGAAGAAUGCCAAUCAAGUUGCCACUCCCGGGAAGAAGCCCAAAGCUGGACCCAAUCCUGAAACUCGGUGCUUCUACUUCAAAGGGAAUGGUCACUGGAAGUGGAACUACCCCCAAAUACUUGGCGGAUAAGAAGGAUGGCAAAGGGAACAAAGGUAUAUUUGAUAUACAUGUUAUUGAUGUGUACCUUACUAAUGCUCGUAGUAGCGCCUGGUAUUUGAUACUGGUUCGCUUGCUCAUAUUUGUAACUCAAAACAGGAGCUGGGGAAUAAACAAAGAUUGGCAAAGGACAAGGUGACGCUGCGCGCCGGGAAUUGUUCCAAGGUCGAUGUGAUCGCCGUCGGUGCGCUACCUCUACAUCUACCUUCAGGAUUAGUUUUAGACCUCAAUAAUUGUUAUUUGUGCCAGCGUUGAGCAUGAAAAUUAUAUCUGGAUCUUGUUUAUUGCGAGACAGAUAUUCAUUUAAAUUAGAGAAUACUGGUUGUUCUAUUUAUAUGAGUAAUAUCUUUUAUGGUCAUGCACCCUUGAUGAAUGGUCUAUUUUUUUGAAUCUCGAUCGUAGUGAUACACAUAUUCAUAAUAUUGAUGCCAUAAUAUCGACCAGAGUGGUACGGUAAUCCUAUUCUGAAAGUCAUGUUAUUAGACCAAGGCGAACCUACGAACUAUGAAGAAGUUAUGAUGAGCCCAGAUUCCGAUAAAUGGCUUGAGGCCAUGAAAUCUAAGAUAGGAUCCAUGUAUGAGAACAAAGUAUGGACUUUGGUGGACUUGUCCGAUGAUCAGCAAGCCAUAGAAAAUAAAUGGAUCUUCAAGAAGAAGACUAACGCUGAUGGUAAUGUUACUAUCUACGAAGCUCGACUUGUUGCAAAAGGUUUUCGACAAGUUCAAGGAGUUGACUACGAUGAGACUUUCUCACCCGUAGAGAUGCUUAUGUCUGUCUGAAUCAUGCAAUUGCCAUAUUUUAUGAUUAUGAAAUCUGGCAAAUGGACGUCAAAAUUGCAUUCCUCAAUGGAUUUAUUAAAGAAGAGUUGUAUAUGAUGCAACCAGAAAGUUUUGUUGAUCCUAAAGGUGUUGACAAAGUGUGCAAGCUCCAGCGAUCCAUCUAUGGACUGGUGCAAGCAUCUCGGAGUUGGAAUAUAUGCUUUGAUGAGGUGAUCAAAGCAUAUGGUUUUAUACAAACUUACAGUGAAGCAUGUAUUUAUAACAAAGUGAGUGGGAGCUCUGUAGCAUUUCUGAUAUUAUAUGUGGAUGACAUAUUGUUGAUUGGAAAUGAUAUAGAAUUUCAGGAUAGCAUAAAAGGAUACUUGAAUAAAAAAAAUCAAUGAAAGACCUCGAUGAAACUGCUUAUAUAUUGGGCAUCUAUACCUACUAAUAAAGGAAAUAGGUACUCUUAGUCCCUCAUGCUAUUUUAUAGAAAAAACCCUGAUGUUUCUGACAUUAAACUCGCAGUACAUAUCAAAUGUUCUUUUUAAAAUACUCAUAUCUUCUAAAUCGUAACUCCAAAUUUAGCAUGUUAUAUAUGGAAUUUGAUUAGAAAAAUAUAUAAAAUAUGAAUGUGAUGUUAUUUUACCUGUUAACCAUUUAAAAAAUGCUAUCUAGGGUGCAAUCUUAAUCAACAGUGCAUUAUCCGUCUUUCUUUCAUAUCGGUGCUAAUCCGGGUUGGUACUGUUCCGGAUUGUGGAUGAACAUCUCAGCAAAAUUAGGAUUGGAGACAAAAUUGAAGAUCACUUGCUCGUUUCUUUCUACGUAUUAAAUCUACACGCAAGACUUGUUUAAAUAGAGGACACGUGAAAUCUUGAACUUACGCUUUUGUAGGCAAAGACCAUCUUUGUUGGGAUGUAGCUACAAAUACUCAGAUUAUAGACCAUUGUUUGUAAAUUAAGAGCAUGUGGUAUUAUUUUCUCCCGUUGCAACGCAUGGGCCCUUUUGCUAGUCAAGAUCUAUAGAGAUAGAUCGAGACGCUUAAUAGGACUUUCACAAAGCACAUACCUUGAUAGAGUUUUGAAGAAGUUCAAAAUGGAUCAGUCAAAGAAAGGGUUCUUGCCUGUGUUACAAGGUGUGAAGUUGAGUCAGACUCAAAGCCCAACCACUGUAGAAGAUAGAGAGAAAAUGAAAGUCAUUCCAUAUGCCUUAGCCAUAGGUUCUAUCAUGUAUGCUAUGCUGUGUACCAGACCUGAUGUGUGCCUUGCCAUAAGUUUGGCAGGGAGGUACCAAAGUAAUCCAGGAGUGGAUCACUGGACAGCGGUCAAGAUCUUCCUGAAGUAUCUGAAAAGGACCAAGGAUCUGUUUCUCGUUUAUGGAGGUGACGAAGAGCUCGUCGUAAAUGGUUAUGUCGAUGCUAGCUUCGACGCUGAACCGGAUGACUCUAAUUCAUAAACCAGAUACGUAUUUAUAUUGAAUGGUCGAGCUGUCGGUUGGUACAGUUCCAAGAAGAGCAUCGAGGAGGGAUCUACGUGUGAAGCGGAGUACAUAGCUGCUUCAGAAGCAGCGCAUGAAGGAGUCUGGAUGAAGGAGUUCAUAUCCGAUCUGGGUGUAACACCCAGUGCAUCGGGUCCAAUGAAAAUCUUUUGUGACAACACUGGAGCAAUUGCCUUGGCAAAGGAAUCCAGGUUUCACAAGAGAACCAAACACAUCAAGAGACACUUCAACUCCAUUCGUGGAAAAGUCAAGGAUGGAGACAUAGGGAUUUGCAAAAUACAUACGGAUCUGAAUAUAGCAACCCAUUGACUAAGCCUCUUCCGCGAGCAAAACACGAUCUACACCAAGACUCCGUGGGUGUUAGAUUCAUUACAAUGUAAUAUAGAUUAUUGACUCUAAUGCAAGUGGGAGACUGAAGGAAAUAUGCCCUAGAGGCAAUAAUAAAUUUGUUAUUUUAUAUUUCCUUAUUCAUGAUAAAUGUUUAUUAUUCAUGCUAGAAUUGUAUUGAUCGGAAACUUAAAUACAUGUGUGAAUACAUAAACAAAUACCGUGUCCCUAGAAACCCUCUACUAGACUAGCUCGUUGGUCAAAGAUGGUUAAGGUUUCCUAACCAUAGAUAUGUGUUGUCAUUUGAUAACGGGAUCACAUCAUUAGGAGAAUGAUGUGAUGGACAAGACCCAUCCUUUAGCUUAGCAUAUUGAUCAUUCAGUUUAUUUCUACUGCUUUCUUAAUGUCAAAUACAUAUUCCUUCGACUAUGAUAUUAUGCAACUCUCGGAUACCAAAGGAAUACCUUGUGUGCUAUUAAACAUCACAACGUAACUGGGUGAUCAUAAAGAUGCUCUACUGGUACCUUCGAAGGUGUUUGUUGAGUUGGCAUAGAUCAAGAUUAGGAUUUGUCACUUCGAGUAUCAGAGAGGUAUCUCUGGGCCCUCUUGGUAAUACACAUCACAAGAAGCCUUGCCAGCAAAGUGACUAAUGAGUUAGUUGCAAGAUGAUGUAUUACGGAACGAGUAAAGAGACUCUCCGGUGACGAUAUUGAACUAGGUAUGAAGAUACCGAUGAUCGAAUAUCGGGAAAGUAACAUACCGAUGGACAAAGGGAAUUACGUGUGUUGUCAUAAGGUUCGGCCGAUAAAGAUCUUCGUAGAAUAUGUAGGAGCCAAUAUGAGCAUCCAGGUUCCGCUAUUGGUUAUUGACCGGAGAGGUGUCUCGGUCAUGUCUACAUAGUUCUCGAACACGUAGGGUCCGCACGCUUAACAUUCGUUGAUGAUAUAGUGUUAUAUGAGUUAUAUGAUUUGGUGACCGAAUGUUGUUCGGAGUCUCGUAUGAGAUCACAGACAUGAGGAGGAACUCCGAAAUGGUCCAGAGGUAAAGAUUGAUAUACAUAACGAUAAUAUUCGGACUCCGAAAGAGUUUCGGAGUGCACCGGGUAGUUAUCGGAUCACCGGAAGGGGUUCCGGACACCCCCGGAAGUAUAUGGGCCAUAUGGGCCAAAAGUGGGGAGCACACCAGCCCACAAGGGGUUGGCGCGCCCCUCCUAUGGUAGCUGGCCUAGGCGAGGAAAGGAAAGGUGGGAUUCGGCCUCCCCCUUCCUUUNNNNNNNNNNNNNNNNNNNNNNNNNNNNNNNNNNNNNNNNNNNNNNNNNNNNNNNNNNNNNNNNNNNNNNNNNNNNNNNNNNNNNNNNNNNNNNNNNNNNNNNNNNNNNNNNNNNNNNNNNNNNNNNNNNNNNNNNNNNNNNNNNNNNNNNNNNNNNNNNNNNNNNNNNNAUGGAAGGGGGGUGCGGCCAAGGGCAGGAGCCCAAGUAGGAUUCGGUCCUACUUGGGGCACCUCCUGGCCUCUCCCCUCUCCUCCCCCACCUAUAUAUAUAUGUGGGAGGGGGGCGCCACAUGUAACCACGACAAUUGCUUAGCCAUGUGCGGUGUCCCCCUCCACAGUUUAGUCCCUCGGUCAUAUAUUCAUAGUGCUUAGGCGAAGUCCUGCUGAGAUAGCUUCACCAUCACCGUCACCACGCCGUCCUGUUGCCGGAACUCAUCCACUACUUUGUCGUCUUGCUGGAUCAAGAAGGCGAGGAUGUCACCGAGCUGAACGUGUGCUGAACGCGUAGGUGUCGUACGUUCGGUACUCGAUAGGUUGGAUCGCGAAGAAGUUCGACGACAUGAAUCGCUUUAACAAACGCUUUCGCUUACGGUCUACGAGGGUACUUGACACACUUCCCCUUUCGUUGCUAUGCAUCUUCAUGGAUAGAUCUUAUUUGUGCGUAGAUUUUUUUUUGUUUUCCAUGCAACGUUUCCCAACAUGGGCCCACUUGCAGUGCAGGGACAGACUACAUGAAGAAUGUGCGUCUCAAUGAUCAUCGGGUCCCACGUGUCAGUGCACAACUUGUGAAAUAAACAAAAAACCAUUGACCUGUGGGCCGCGAAGGACAUGCGCCAACAAACUCCCCCAUGUAAGUUUGUUGUUUACUACGCACUACAAAACUUUAUGUACUACGCAAUUAGUGCACCCAUUUUCCACAUGUUAGUUUUUUUUUAUUUCCUCUAAAAAAAGUUGUUUUUGUUUUAUUAAAAAUUACAAAAUAUUCACGUAGUAUAUGAAGUGUUCAUGCUUUUAGGAAAUGUAUUUCUAGUUGUAAACAGUGUUCAUGUGUUUUAAUAAAGUAUAUGUGUUUGUUAAAAGAUAUAUUUUCAAAUAGACAUAAAUUUUAAAAUAUGCUUGAAAAAAUAAAUAAUAACCUGGUUUUCCCCUAGGAUUUUAUACAUUCUUACAUUUAAAUUAACAAUUUAUCAACUGUACAUACAUUUGUCUAGUUAAAAAACAUUUUAAUUACAUGACUUUUUAAUAAUACAUAAAUAUUUUUUUGAAUUACAUUAACAUGUUUUAAAACAUUUUUAUGCAUAUUAUUUGUAAGAUAAGAAUAUUCUAGAUUUAUUUUUAUUGCUAUUACAAUAAUUUACAUAAGUUUUAGAAUUACUAAAAAUGAAAAAGAGACUCAUACAUCGAAGGGGCACGUAAAAAAAGAAAAUAUAACUAAUAUUUUUAAAAAGGGCCACGUGAUAUUUAAAAAAUGAAUAUUUUGAAAAUUAGAUUAACAUUUCAAAAAUGUAUAACUUUUAGAAAUUGUAAAAUUAUUUUAUUAUAUAUGUGAAUGCUUACGAAUAUUAUGAAACCAUUUCAUUAAUAUUUACUAUUAUUUUUAAUUUUGUGAAUAUUGAAAAUGUCAUUAACUUUUUUAGGGGUCAUCAACUAUUUAUUUAAUAUGGUGACUACAGUUUGAAUAUUUUUCUGAAAAACGAAAAAUAACUAAAUAUGGAAAAUUGGGCGCACUGAUUGCGGUCCAUUUAACUCCGCUGUCAGGCCAGGUACAUAAAGGUUAGUGAUGCGUAAUAGUCAACUAAUUUUCUUUGGUCAAAUAGUUAGCGCAGGUCCUUUGCAGUGUACAGGUAGCAAGUUCAAAUCCCAGUUGUGCUUGAUUUUUAUUUAUUUCGGUUGUGCACAGACAGGUGGGACCCGAUUGUCAUUUAGACAAACUCUUUCCAUGUCAGUCUGUCUCGGCCAUGCAAGUGGGCCCAAUGCCACGUUGGCAUGUCUAGUCAGCAAUACAUACAUAUCUGGAUGUGAUUUGGACCGCAUUUGCAUCAUACUGUCAAGUUAUAGAACCAGUUCGGUGUAUUUUUCAAGUUUAAGCAUCAAAGUGAACAUCGAUGGCAAGUUUAGGCACCACUGGUGUUAUUACCUCACUUAAAUUCAACGGUCAAAGUGGAGGUCGAGCCAACCCUUCCUCGUCAGGCCACCCUCGGCGAGAGCUGGGUCGGGGCCGGUGUCGUCGUCGUCGUCGGGGAAGACGCUCUACCACUCCUCGUCGACGUCGAUCUCCUACUCGCCGUCCUUCUUGUCGCCCUCCUCACCGCCUUCCACCUCGUCGUCGGAGAUGACGAUGACUUCCCCGUCAUUGACAGCGAAUAUCGUCCGCUCCACCUCCACGAGCUCCGAGUGCUGUCGGGGAGGUCCUCCAUGUACGCCUCGUCGGCAGCCUCUGCCUCGAGGCGCUCCCUCGCCUCUCGGUCCUCCUGCGUCAUCGUCGCGCUCACCACCCCCGGCUCCGGCGGAACGAAGUGGACCGGCGCCAUCCCGAGCGAGAAGUUUAGCCGGGCGGCGGCGCCGUGGUACCGAACUUGCUACCGGUCGUACUCCAUGGCCACGAACUCGGCCGUGUGGAACUACCCGACCCACAUCCUCUUGUGGGUCUCUCGGUCGGUGAUCUCCGCCACCCACGUCCCCCACGAGUGUUGCCGGACGCCGUGGUAGGUCCUCGUUGGCGGUUGCGGCAGAGGGCUCCGGGAAAUCGGCGAACCGGGUGGGGCGGGCGGAUCAGGCGAGCGGCGGCGGCUCGAGGAUGCGCCGGCGGACGACGACCCUCGGGUAUGGCAGCACGGAUCCACGUUGCAGAUCGGCGACGGGGACAUACAACCACCUCAUCCGACCAUUGGGAGGAGAAGGGGCGGGGGACACGCCUGUGGCUGAGCGAAGGGGAGAAGAGGAGGCAGAGGAGAGGAAGAGAGAAGGAGAGAAGUUUUACUCGGCCGCCAAGCGUUAGGAAGAUUUGCGGCGGUCAAGUAAUUUUUUUUACUCGACUAAUGUGUAUUGAGGAUCGGUUAGGUCCCGAUAGAGAAGUACUGCAUUUAAAAUAGAAAGAAAAAGGGAAAAGACAAAAGUAGUCAUAGGACAUCUAGAUGUGAUUUAGCAAAACUGUUUAAAUAAAAACAUGUCCUAUAUUCUCAAUAUCUUACUACAUUAUAAACAAGGAUCAGUCAAGACUCGUUAUGUCCUAAUCCUAUAUUCCUUUGAUCUUGCAUAGAGAUUCAUAUAGAGUAUAUAAUUUCAAUUGGGACACAUUUCAUUCAGAAUAUAAACAGUAUAACAAAUAAAUUAGGAAUAAAUGAGCAAAAUAAAGUAAUAGGGCAUUUCAAAUGGAUGAUAAUACUUGGUUGCUUACAGCUCUACUUGAGUAGAAACUAACAUAGAAUUUCAGUAACAAACUCCAGCCGAUAAAUACUCAUGUUCACGCAAAAUAUCAUCAACUACGAACUCAAGAAAGCUGAAAGUUGUGGGUAGUUUUGUCCAACUAAUGAAAGACAUCUUAAGCAGAGGCAGCAGGAGCCUUGGUAGCAGCAGAAAGCUUUGACCUCCUCUUGGCCAUGCUCUCGCUCCGGCGGUCUCUUUGCUCCUUCAGCCUCUGCGCAAGCAGCUUCUGGUACUCUGCAGCCUCUGACUUCUUCUUCGCGAUCCUCUUCUUCUUGUCGGCGAUUCUCGCGCGCUUCCUCUGGAGGGUCAACGGUGUCACAAGACGCUGGAUCUUGGGAGCCUUGCUGACGGUCUUGCCUGGAAAUAACAAACAAUAUUGUCUGCGUAAGAAACAAGUAAAUUAAAGACACAAUGUGAAUUGUAGAUUAAGUUUUUCGUUAGCAGGCUCAAGACAAGCAUUAUGAUAUUAAGACUUAAAAAUUUCUUCAAGAACAAUGGAAGAGGGUAAAAUAACACAAUAUAAUUCAUCAGUAAGCGAACAAAUCAAGGACAGCUCACCCUUCUUGUUUGUGAAGGACCUGCGGUAUGUGUUGACAUACUGGCGGACAUCAUCAUCCUUGCCAAGGUUGAAGAGCUUCUUGAUCUUGGAAGCCCUCUUGGGUCCCCUCAUCCUGGGCUUCUCAGUGUCGGUCAGGCCUGGCAGAUCAUUCUUGCCCUUCUUGACAAUCACCAAGUUGAUAACAGAUAGGUCUUGGCUGACAAUGCAACCACGGACAGACUUCCUCCGGCGCUCACCAACACGCCUGCCAUGUCCACGGAAGCAAGAUGUGCCUACAGAAGUGAGGCAAAAGAAAUACAGGUAAGAAUUCUAAUUUAAUACCGAGAAAAUGUCUGCAAGAAGUACAAUGAAAAUAAAGUAAUACCCCUGUGAAGCAGAAGGCGAACACGCCCAGGAGUUAGCACUCCUUGCUUCAUUGGGAAACCCUGCUUAUCACAGCCACCCAUGAUCUUGAAAAUAUAGCCCUCGAAUUCCUGAGAAACAGAAAAUGAUAGAUAUCUUUAAUCAAAACUACUAAAAUAUCAGCUGCAGGUUAAGUGUGAUGAAAUCACUUGCCAGUAGAUUACCUCACCCAGAAGAUCACCAACUACCUCCUGGGAGAUCCUCUUGUCAUAAAGGUUCCGCCUGUAGUUAUAUUAAACUAUUAGAUAUCCAUAUCAAAAAAACAGAGGGUAAACUCCCAACUGUUAUUAUUUUGACAAACAACAGACUAAAUUCCUACUACUAUAUUGAUCGUUGACUACUAAAAGCCUCAACUCAACAUUGUUCAUGGCAUCACAGGGUACAUAGUUAAAUAUGUCACCCAAAAAUUAUCAGUACUGAACAUCACAAGAAGUUGAAACUAUUCGUUGUUAAUCGAUACUAUGCUACAGAGAAAAUCAUCAGACAUAACUAGCUGCACCACAGACAAGUAGCAAUUACAUGAAUUUGGGGGAUGGGUGUAGUUUCUAUGCUUAGCCCUCUGCUUUGCACUAAUGCUAGCUCAGAAUACACAUACAAACAAAAUAGUGAAUGCUGUGACAUAGUGUAGUUAUCGAAACUGUUACAAGAACACCGACCUCAACGCUGACAGAACGUCCAUUCUAGUUCUCUACAACAGCAAAAGCCUCUAAUCAUGAUUCUAGUUCUCUAAAACAGCAAAAGUUCUCAACAAGAUUCCAAUCGCACCAUGACAUUUAUAAGAGCAGCAAUCACAAAUAAUAGUUCCGACAAACCCAGUCUAACAAUGUAACAGAACAGAUCCUCCACAGUCAACACGCCAAGUGUUAGAUCCACAGGAUAACAGAUUUAACGAGUCCACCAUACUAAUACAGGCCGACCACAAGGAUCCAAACUGAAUAGCAACACAAUUUCGAGAGGAAGUGUGGUGACUAGACUACACGACGCGGGUCUAAAGAAAGAAUGUGGGGCUGAGAAACACUCACAGCUUCAUGUCGUCAUCGAUCUCCACCUUCUUCUGGCACCCCGUGGUGGGGUUCGCGAUGUUCAACUGAAACCGACGCAAGAACCACACGAAUCAGGCGCCAGCACAAACGCAGAUCACAUCGGAGCACGACGGGGGAUGAGGAGAAGGUGCGUACCUUCAUGGUGAAGUUGCGGCGCAAGCUCGCGGGCCGCGAGCUGGGGGGCGGUGGGGCGGCGGCGGCGGCGGCGCGGGCGCUAGGGUUUGGGGGCGAGGAUGCGUGCGUGGGGAAGAUGUGAUGAGCUUAUAAAGGUAGGAGGCGUCGGGGAGAAGUGGAGUGGGCCGUUAGGGUCCAGCCUGCGGGUGCUCGGUUGAUCUGGGCCAUUUUCAGCGCGGGAGGGGUUUAGUUGGAGAAGAUUAAACCGGCCUAGAGUGUAUAAUGGGCCUAUGCUGUUGUCGCUAAACAAAAAACAUAAAUAAAGAAGCUCACAUUAUUACAGACCAAUAAAACCUAGUAGCUGUUUGUAUAAAAAAAGGCUAGCUGUUGUCGCUCAAAAAACAUAAAUAAAGAAGCACCCUAAAAAAAGAGAGCAACUAAUUAACGAGCGCUCCUUCGGGAGCCUCGCAACGAUCAGCGUCACUUGGCGCGCUCUCAGCCAUUCGCCACGUGUCGCACCCUGGGCGCUCCCUCCGGAAUUUUUUUUAUUUUUCCACACGCGUUUUUGGCUUUUUAAACAGUUCUUUUUUGGGGGUUCGACGUUUUGGUUUUCCAUCGGUCUUCUCUAGUUUUUCGACCAAAUUUUUUUUCAAAAAAAAUAUAUUGCGAGAGUCACGGUUUUGCUUCCGCGAGAGGCAUGGUUUUACUUUCACGAGUCAGGGCUGUGCCUCUCGAAAACGGAAAAAAAUGCGUUUUCUGUUGUUUUUUCUUUCGCGAGAGUCACGGUUUUGCUUCCGCGAGAGGCACGGUUGUGCUUUCGCGAGUCACGGCCGUGCCUCUCGGAAACGAAAAAAAACGUGUUUUCUAGUUUUUUUUUUCUCGAGAGUCACGGCUUUGCUUCUGCCAGAGGCGCGGGUGUGCUUUCGCGAGAGUUAUGAUUUCGUCAGAGGCACGGGCGUGCCUCUUUCAGAAGGGAAAAACCCGUGCUACCGGUUCGGUUAUUUCGUCUGUUUUUUUAUGAAAAAAAGUUCGUCAAAAUCUAUCAACAUGGGAUCUAGUUUUGAAGAUCUCGACGCGAGGAAUCCAACGGCGAAAGCGGUUAAAGAUUUGGACGCACGGUUUUACUAAAUAAAACAUUUUGAAUAAACGGAUCUACGAAAAAAAGGAAAAUUUUCAGGUUGCAACAAAUGGCGCACAUGCAGCACGCCACUUGUUGCAACCGGAAAAGUUGGAGUGAUCUUCGCAACGAGUACUUCUUAACUAGUGAUUUCACCUAAAAAACAUAAAUAAAGAAGCACUCCUAAAAAACAUAAAUAAAGAAGCUCGCUUAAAAAAACAUUUGUCUCAAAAGAAACUUUAAAAAAUAAAUAAAUAAAGUGAUCUCAACAACAACAAAAACAUAAAAGAAGCUCAUGAUUCUCAUAAGGAAAAAACGUAAAGAAGCUCAAGUUUACGACAACAACAAAGCCUUUAGUUCCAAACAAGUUGGGGGAGGCUAGAGGUGAAACUCAUAGGAUCUUACGAUCAACUCAUGGUUCGGUCACAUGGAUAACAAGUUUCAACGCAUUCCUGUCCAUAGCUAGUUCUUUUAUGAUAGUCCAAUCCUUCAGAUCUCUCUUCACGGACUCCUCCCAUGUCAAAUUCGGUCUACCCCGACCUCUCUUAACAUUCUUCGCACGCUUUAGCCAUCUGUUAUGCGUUGGAGGUUUUGGAUGCCUGCGCUGAAUAUGCUCAAACCAUCUCAGACGAUGUUGAACAAGCUUCUUUUCAAUUUCUACUCUACUCAAGUUUUUCAAAAGAAAAAAAACUACUCUGCUUGGUCCGGAGAGGUGUGGUUCUGUUUUACUUUUGGUUUGGAACAUGAAAUACUCUAGUUACCCUAAAAAAAUUGAACAUUCUAGCUACUCUAAAAAAAGGAGAAAUACUCAAAUACUGGUUCUUUUAAUUGCAAUACUAACUAUUUACUCCCUCCGUUCCUAAAUGUAAGUCUUUGUAGAGAUUCCACUAUGAACCACAUAUGGAUGUAUAUAGAUGCAUUUUAAGUUUAGAUUCAUUCAUUUUGCUCCGUAUAUAGUCCAUCUAAUGGAAUCCCUACAAAGACUUAUAUUUAGGAACGGAGGGAAUAGAAUAGUACAAACCCCUGUAAAAAUAGCAUCAAUACAACAUCAGGUGAGAUCGUAAUAAAAAAGUAGCAUAGGAUGAACACACGAUGGGUCAACAAUUAGGACGAUCCCUCCAACUGCUGCCUGCAAAAAAAUAGUAACAAAUAUAUAAACUGCCGAAGCGUAAAGAGAAUCAGAUCACCAGGAAUCCUACUGAUGACACCAAACACAUAUGGAAGUAUAUAGUUAUACUUAUACUUUAUCCACAGCAUCACUACGAACAACGGUUACAGAAACACAUGUAAUCAUACAACAGCACACCGCAACCCUCUGCAACAGACGACACACCAGAAGGAUGAACACAUUACAAACACAAAGCCACACCACCAAGGGGAACCACACCUGCCCGUCAC
RNAcentral lists this long non-coding RNA (92091 nucleotides) under Triticum aestivum (bread wheat). RNAcentral's name for it is "long non-coding RNA (TAES_LNC022093)". The record is from RNAcentral. Lineage: Eukaryota; Viridiplantae; Streptophyta; Magnoliopsida; Poales; Poaceae.